GUAGGAGCAACAAAAGCUUCAUUCCUUGGAGGGAGAAGAUUGAGAGUAAGCAAUGUACCUGUAGCCGGAUCACCGCGUGCUGCAACUACAGUGUGUGUUGCUGCCGACCCCGACAGACCCCUCUGGUUCCCUGGCAGCGUCCCUCCUCCAUGGCUUGAUGGCAGGUCAGUCAUGAUCCAGCUAGUAUAUCAUACUGUGUAUAUUUAUCAGGUGAAAGUUCACGCAAUCAAUCAAUCAAGCUAUUAAAAUUCCUCGAUCUAGCUAGUAUUAUAUAGUUUUUUUGGCAUAAUAUAUAUAGACGGACACUUAAACUUACCCUCAACCGAUAAGUAAGCACUCUAAUUUUGUGCACAUUUAGAUACCUCAACUUGAUUUUAACUAGCAACUAAACACUCCAACUUAUACUUACUGUGUCUCGUGAAUGCCCCACACUGAUGUGACUGGUACAGUGGAUACGAGCUGAGGUAUCUAGAUGUGUAUACUCAAAGUUGGAGUAGUUACUUGUCAGUUGAGGUCAAGUUUGAGUGCCUGUUUAUGUGUUAUGCCUUUUUAAAAAAAAGAAUAAUUGGAGUAGGAAAAGGGGAUUACAAGAUGGAAAAUCUAAAGCUCACCAAUAAGGUGAAAGUUCAUGUAAUCAAUCGACUGAACUACUGAGAUUUUCUAAUCUAUAUGCUGAAAUUAUUUUAUUCUUCUUCGUUUUGCAGCCUUCCCGGAGAUUUUGGUUUCGAUCCUCUUGGCCUAGGUAUAUAUCAGUCUAAUUCUGAUUUUUCAAUUUAGGAUACAUACAGAAGGGAAGCCUUGGAGUAACUGGUAAAGUUGCUGUCAUGUGACCAGAAGGUCAUGGGGUCAAGCCUUGGAAACAGCCCCUUGCAGAAAUGUAAGGUGAGGCUACGUACAAUAGAUCUUUGUGGUCGGGCACUUCCCCGGACUCUGCGCAUAGCGGGAGCUUAGUGCACCUGCCCCUUUAGUAUUGGAUAUAUAUAGAAGGGGAGCCUUGGAGUAACUGGUAAAGUUGCUGCCAUGUGACCAGGAGGUCACGGGGUCAAUCCUUGGAAACAUCCCCUUGCAGAAAUGUAAGGUGAGGCUACGUACAAUAGAUCCUUGUGGUCGGGCCCUUCCCGGGACCCUACGCAUAGCGGGAGCUUAGUACACCGGGCUACCCUUCAGUAUUGGAUAUAUAUAGAUGUCUAUAGAUAUAACUUGUGUAUAUCAUUUGAGUACAGGAUCUGACCCAGAGAGCUUGAGAUGGAACCAACAGGCAGAGAUUGUACACUGCAGAUGGGCAAUGUUGGGAGCUGCAGGAAUUUUCAUUCCAGAAUUCCUCACGAAACUCGGUAUCCUUAACACACCUUCAUGGUACACUGCUGGUGAACUAGAAUACUUCACGGACACAACGACUCUCUUCAUCAUUGAGUUGAUACUUAUCGGUUGGGCCGAGGGAAGAAGGUGGGCCGAUAUCAUCAAGCCUGGUUGUGUAAACACUGACCCUAUCUUCCCUAACAACAAGCUCACAGGGACAGACGUUGGUUAUCCAGGAGGCUUAUGGUUUGAUCCGUUGGGUUGGGGUUCGGGUUCACCUGAGAAGAUAAAGGAGUUGAGGACAAAGGAGAUCAAGAACGGUAGACUUGCUAUGUUAGCCGUUAUGGGCGCAUGGUUCCAACACAUUUACACUGGAACAGGUCCUAUUGACAACCUCUUUGCUCACCUUGCUGAUCCCGGUCACGCCACUAUUUUUGCUGUAAGUACAACCACAUUUUAAUUCAUACUCUUGGUUAUUCGAGUUACAACAACAACAUACCCAGUGUAUUCCCACCUACUAGGGUCUGGGGAGGGUAAAAUGUACGCAAUCCAUACCUGAUACCACCACCUAUCACCACCUCUGAAGAAGUAGAGAGGCUGUUUCCGAUAGACCCCUGACUCAGGACAAAAAGAUACUUAGAAAGUCUUGAUAAAACAUGAAACAAGAUGAAAUAACAUAAAUAAGACACCCACAAAGUAGUACUAUACACUAUUAACUAGAGACUCCAACUCUUGGUUAUUCAAGUUAAUGGUCAAAAACACAACUUAAAGUAUCCACAUUUUUCGAGUUUCAUAUCUAAAUUAUCAGGUGUGCGAGUCACUGAAGUUGUUUGUGAUUAUGUUUCAGGCAUUCACUCCCAAGUGAGAAGAAGAAGCAUGAGGAUAUUUUGAUGUAAUGAAUGAUGUGUAAAAGUAACAUUUGAAGUAGAUUUGUGCAAAGAGAACUAAUGUUUCUUUCCCACAUUUGGUUUGCUCAUGUCUGUCUUCUGUCGAAAAAGACUAAGCAAUGUACAAAUACAUUUCGACAACUCGUAUCAGAUCAAGAAAAUCUAUUUAUAUAUGUUCAUUCAUUUGCAUGAUAGAAGAUUUUUACUGCAAUAGUCUACAAAGAUACACAGGAACUGGAUGGUAAGAGACUUUGGUUCUAACCUUUAUUUUACCAGCUUUCGUUAUGUAAAAAGCUAAUAAGAACCGCGUUUCUCAUAGUAAAGUUAUUUCGUUAAGAAUCAGUAUGUAGAGUAGAAAGGGAGCCUUGGAGUAACUGAUAAAGUUACUGUCAUGUAACCAAGAGGUCACAAUUUCAAGUAAAGUAACAGACUUUCGCAACCUAUAUUUCACCAGUUUUCAUUAUGUAAAAGGCUAGUAAGAACUAAGUUGCUCAUAGUAAAGAUAUUGCUUCAUAGGGAUAAAGUUGUUUGAUCACGCGAUUGGUUUGGUUGUUUGUUUUAGAAUUCUGCUUCCGGUACCCUUCACGAAUCUAUUUUUGCCACUUCUGUUAAGAAUCGGUACCUAAAUUAGAAGUGGAGCCUUGGAGUAACCGGUAAUGUCGCUACCAUGUGACCAGGAGGUCACAGGUGUGGAUCAGCCUAUUGCAUAAAUGCAAGGUAAGGUUGCAUUGCAACCCUUGUGGUUCGUCCCUUCCUGGGAUCCCAUGCAUAGCAAGUGCACCGGGCUUCCCAAUCAAUAAGGAUAUUGAGUAUACGGUUGAUGUAUCAGACUCGACCUUAUCUUUGGUGGCAUGCAUUCCCAUCCAAUCCAUGUCAUAACAUUAUUUUGAACAUAUCCAAUAAUGUCCGAACUCUUUCUUCUGUAUCGAGUAUUAUCGAAAUAAACUUCAACUCCAGUUUAUUUUCCUCAUCUUAAUUUCAACUUUGGCCACGAUGAUUUUACCAUAUAAAUGUUGGACGAAAGGGUUAACUCCAAAUACUAUGAGCCACCAUAAAGCUCUACUGUAAAUUAGGGGAAAAAAACUCUAGUAACAAAUUGCUUUAUGGCACCAAAGUUCAAAAGUUACACAAAAAAGAUUAAAUCUUCAAGAGCAUGAUUAAUAAGUUAUUGGAUAUUAUAAAUGUUGUAAAAAUUCUAGUAGUGUGAUUAUGUGUGUGUUUGAAACUGAAGUACAAGAUAGGAGGACAAAAAUCGAAGUAAAAAACAUCUUCAUGUAACAGAUACAACAACAUACCUAGUGAAAUCCCACAAGUAGGGUGUGGGAGGGUUGAGUGUACGCAGACCUUACCCCUAGAUAAAGAGAUCAUUUCCGAAGGACCCUCGGCUAAAAAAAAAAAGAGUUAAAGUGAAUCAAGGCAAGCCAAGAGUAAGGGACACCUGGUCCUGUUCUAAAAGUACACAAAAAUUCAACAGUAAAACAAUUUUGAUAUAGCUUUCUAGGAGGGGCUUCGGGUUUGAACCAACAACAUCCUUCUCUUGUCUUUGCUGCUUCAUUUUUCUCUCUCAUUGCACGUGAACUUAGAAAGGCCUUGUGCAUUCCCUAUUGCUUUCGUCAAUGGUUCUAUGUGAUGAAGUUCAUACUGAUUUCAUUGUUUCUUUGGAUACUCCCUCGGUCCAAAUAUGGUGGAUCCAAUUCUCACAUUGGUGCUGCCCAUUUCUAUCUGCAGUAUUACGACAGAGAAUCAACACAACACGUACGAGCAGUUUCCAAAUGCAGCUUAUAUAUACUUUAAAUGAGCAAAAUAGAACCAGCUCAUAUUUUUCAUAAUUCCAUGCUUACUUCGGGAAUAAAACAGACUUCACAAAUAGUCCACAAAAUAUAUUAGGAAAUCCAUUGGCAGAAAGGCGAAAGAUGGCCAGCUUGAACAAUUGUAACUGAUUCAUAAACUUGUUUUGGGUUCACAAUACGAGAAAAAUAAGUUGAGGAGGAAAAUAUAUUUUUGCAUCAGCAUGCUAGAGGCGUUAAAUUAAACUUAAGGAUAACGGAGUAGUCAGCUGCCGCAAAUGAAAUUAAUAAGAAGUGAUUCUUUCAUUAGAAUUAAUUUAUUGGAUGAAAAAGAUCAGUUUUUUUAACAAGGUAAGAAAAUACCAGCUUACCGCUAACUCAAAGUCACUAGACAUGCCCAUUGAUAACUCACAUCGAGAUUCAGCCAUCCCAAGCACCUUGCAAACUUCAGUUCUACAAUUCAGUAGCGUCUAUCGCAUUACAAGAAAAAUGGAGAUCAUCAAUUUGGAGAAAUUGCGAAAUAUGGUGGAGUUAAUAUGAACAAUUUGAGUUAAUAUGAAAAAUGGAGUUAAUAUGAAGCUCCCAACAUGCAUGACUCAAAUAUAUCCAUUUGAUAACAAACUUCUCAAGGAUUCCAUAUACAGAAAUUACUUAGCACAAGAAAAGCAUCUUUCUAUAAUACAUAAGAUCUAAAGUAGGGAAAGAAAAGAAAGAAAAAUUCCCAUAACUAUGAAGAAAAUUGUUUUGGUGACUAUUACCAUUAAAAUUAACGAAAGAAAACUUCCCAUAACAAUGACGAAAAUUGUUUCGGUGACUAUUACCAUUGACGAAAAAGGUCUGCCUUCAACACUAGGUGAUUUCUUCACAUCUAUCCGGGCCUUGAUGGACAGAGCUACUCAGUUACCUCAUACCUGUGCUGGUGGGAGGUAGCAGGUACCUCAAGGAAUUAGUCGAGGUGCGCGCAAGCUUACCCGACACCACAGUUAUCAAGAAAAAAUGCCAGCUUUCAGUAGUUUAUGAUUGUUCUUCCUUUGCAUCUUUUAUUAGUAAAGAGUGGGACAUUUUCAAACAGUUGAGGGGACUUGGAAUUCUUAUAUGUCAUGUAAAACUAAAUUAUGGAUUCAUUACAGAACAUCACCUUGAAGUUCUCUGGGGUUGAAGUGUAGUCAGGCCUUCCAAUUGUCAUUAGGCCAGAGAACUCAAGGUUUGGGCAAUCCAGCUUGACAUGUCUGGCAAGCUCUAUGCAAUUUGAUGGAUCAACACCAGAUUUUGCUGCAUAUAGUUAAAUUAAUGAAUUUACGAGUUCCUUCGGAAGUAGAAAGACUGGAGUCCUUCUUUGGCCUUGAACGUCAAAAAAAAAGCAUUGUACAUUUCGAUCAAACAUGCAUUACUGGCACUGAAGGAAAAAAAAUCCAACAACUCAAUCCAAAAUUUGUGAGAUUUCAUCUGCAAGUUAACCAGUACUCUGAGGACUUGAAGCAACACAUCAGAAACCUUUCAAUAACCUAAACCAUAAAAAAGGGCAGCCCGGUGAAGAAAAGCCCACGCUAUGCGCGUGGUCCGGGGAAGGGACGGACCACAAGGGUCUAUUAUAUGCAGCCACACCUUGCAUUUCUGCCAAAGGCUGUUUCCACGGCUUGAACCCGUGACCUCCUGGUCACAUGGUUGACCAGCACUUAUACCCGUUACUCCAAGGCUCCCCUUGAAUAACCUAAACCAUAUUGCUCCGUAAACACCAACAACCUAAUAGCAUGUAGAUCUAAUUACUAGAGUUGUCGUCAAUCCUGCCUAGUUUCUCUCAGAAUCUGCAAGCAAGAAUGAGGAGAAAAGAUACUCACACUCCUCUCCGCUGGUAUUAACUUGAACCAAAACCUUCAAGGGCUGCCUGCCAAUGCUUGAAACCGCACGAUCAAGAUGAUUUGCAAGCUGCAGAUUAGAAAGAAAGUUGUAUGAUUGAUCAGCUUUGUUCAAUUCAAACAAUUAUAUGCAUUCAAAGUGACUAUAAUCUAAACAAACAAAAUUAUUAAAGCUUCAAGGUGUGGUUGAAUUUUAACAACGACCAGAUACAGAAGGAACUCAGGAGAGAAAUGAAUGAAGUAGCACAUUCCACCGCACUCAGUUUAUAAACCGACAGCGGAUCCACUUUGAUAUAGCUAUUUAUGUUAUGAUAACCAUGUGGGGCUAAUUUAUAUUGAUCUCGGUUUUUAUUAUCCUGAUGAACUGUGAAAGUAAAUUACAAAUAACCAUGCNNNNNNNNNNNNNNNNNNNNNNNNNUGCUGAACUGUGAAAGUAAAUUAAAAAUCACACUGCUGCUGGCUUAGUGGAAAUAGAAGUAGAAUAUGACAUUUUCAAGAUUAAACAAGUUGACUACUCCUUAAGUUCAUCAAGCUUUAAGAAACACAGGUAAACUCUUUACCUUCGGGUUAUCAACGCCAUGAAUCAUAGCUAGAUUGGGAACAGCAGCUGCAGUGAAGGAGGUAAACUUUAGACAAAUUUAAGAUUGAUAUACUUAUCCUAUUUACACAUAAGCAUAAAUGCUUCCUGAGAGUAAGGAGGGGGUCUGCUCUUGUCAGGAUACCCAAAAAAAAAAAAGGAACCGUUUAUACUCUAGUUAGACACUUCAACUCUCACCUUUCAGGUCCUUAGCACUAAAUAACAAAUUGUUAGUUGAAAUGGGAAAAGUGAAGUGGAAGAUCAUACGUCCAAAAGAAAAUAGCAGGCUUGUCAUUCACCAAAUUAAGCAUGGAGAGGCGAUUUUGGCCCUGAGUUGAUGGUUGAUACAAAAUAAAAAGGUUUCUGCACUCUACUCAGACACUUCAAUCUUAAUUCUUACAUUACAGCAUACAGGUCCUUAGCACAAAAUAACAAAUUUUUAGUUGGAAAAGGUUAAGAGAUAAUACAUUGAGGAAAUUAUGCAGACUUGUAUUUUACCAACAGAGCAAUUGGAAAAGAAUCAAAGUAACCAAAUAUAAGAUCCUAUGGAUCAUUGAGGAAACAAAUGCUAGCAACAAGAGGGGAAUCCAAAAUUUUGAAGUCUUUGUUGAAAACCACUGAAUCAAUGCAUACACACAACUUCCAACCUCUCGUUGGAAACCACAAAAAGUAAAGAGCGAGAAGUGAUGUCAAUUGAUGGACAAUUUAGGGAAGUUCGAUAAUAACAAAACAAAAUAUUGCACAAAAUACUUAGAUGAGCCCGUACUCAGGAGUUGCUUCACUUUAUUGCUCUGCAAAUGCCCAAUAUAAUGCCAUUCUAUGUCCUCCGGAAGCUGUAUAUGAACAAUACAUAAUCAAUAUACCACAAUGAAAAAAAUCUGCCCGCAACUAUCAACUACUCCAUUUGUCCCAAUUUACGUGGCACUUUUCACUUCUCGAGAUUCAAUUAUUCUGAACUUUGACCAACAUUUUAAAGUGUAUUUUUUCAACAUAUUAACAUGAGAAUAAUUGUGACUUAUAGUAGAUUGUAUAGUUGUUGAAUAUCCAAAUUUUACUUCUAAUCAAGUUGAUCCGAUAUCAGUCAAAUUCACUCGAGAAGGGGAUGGAUAGAGUAUCAUUUAUGUCUCAAUCCCAAAUUAACUCAGCUAUAAGAAUUCUUUUUAUAUCCAAAGUUCAUGGCCAAAAACACACCUGAAUUGUCCCAUUUUUCGCGAGUUUCCUACUUUCCUACCUGAACUAUCAUAGAGUAUUUCUCAAAACACACCUGAAUGGUCAGUUGUUCUUUUUUCCUCCGUGAACUAUCACUUGCUAAUUUUUUUUUUGAGUUCCAUACCUGAACUAUCACGUGUGUAAGUUUCCUACAUGAACUAUCACCAACUAUUUAUCAAGACAUACAUGAACUAUCGUGUUACCUUUAGUUCAUGUAAGGAAAAGGGAACAAAUGACGGUUGAAGUGUGUGUUGAUAAAUACUUUGGGUAUGAAAAGUGAAUCGGCUAGGAAACUCGCAAAAACGUGAUACUUCAGCUAUGCCCUUUAGCAAUUUCUCUUAUAUCUAUUCACCUUUAUUUAUGAACAUUUUUAAAAAGCAAAAAAAACGUUUUUCCUCUUCAACAAUUUGUCUCAAUCUAAAGCUCAAUUAACAUAACAAUAAAAUACAAUAUAAUAUGAUGCAUUAUGAAACAACAUGUAACAACCAUCCAAAUAGUGUAUAGUACUUGUUGUAUAGUUUAUUUAAAAUUCUAGAACAUUGAGUUGAUCUAGUGUUACCAUAUUGACCCGAGAAGUAGAUGGAUAGAGUAUCAUUUAUGUCUCAAUUCCAAAUUAAUUUCAUUACAGGAAUCCUUUAUCUCUAGAGUUACAAGUCAAAAACACACCUGAAGUAUCACCUUUUUUGCACGUUUCCUACCUAAACUACUACAACAACAACAACUACCUAGUGUAUUCCCACAAAGUGAGGUUUGGAGAGGGUAAGUGUACGCAAAAGAGGUUGUUUCCGAUAGACCUUCGGCUCAGGACAUCUAACAAUAUAACAAACACAAAAGCACACAGCAAGAUGAGAUAAUACACUGCUAGGUAAUAAAGAAAAUAAGACACCCACCAGAUACUACUAUAAACUAUCUAUCCAAGAUCAUAGGCACCACUGAAACACCAUGAACAAGAAACUUCAUACGCAAAUACAAACAAAGCACUCUCCCUACUAUAACGGCUUUCCUCCUACCCACUAACCCUCUACCCUAAUACGAGUCCUCCACACCUUCCUAUCAAGGGUCAUGUCCUCCGUAAGCUGUAACUGCUCUAUAUCAUGCCUAAUAACCUCUUUCCAAUACUUCUUUGGCCUACUUCUACCCCACCUAAAACCAUCCAUAGUCGAGGGUCAUGUUCGCCGUAAGCUGUAACGGCUCCAUAUCAUGCCUAAUAACCUCUCUCCAAUACUUGUUCGGCCUACCUCUACCCUACCUAAAACCAUCCAUAGUCAAGGAUCAUGUCCUCCGUAAACUAUAACUGCUCCAUAUCAUACCUAAUAACCUUUCUCCGGUACUUCUUCGACCUACCUCUACCCCACCUAAAACCAUCCAUCGUCAGCCUCUCACACCUCCAAAUAUUUAUCAAAAGACACUUGAACUAUCAAUUUUUCUUUUUUCUUAUAUGAACUAUCACCAACUAUUUAUCAAAACACACCUGAACUAUCAGUUGUUCCCUUUAAUUCAGGUAGGAAAAGGGAACAUACGACAAUGGACCUGUGUUUUGCUAAAUACUUCAGAUAUGAAACUCGCAAAAACGUGAUACUUCAGGUGCGUUUUUUAGCAUUAUAUCCUAUACAUAUUCAGCUCUAUUUACGCACAUUUUAUAGAAAAAAUAAAUCUCUUAUGUGAACAAUUUGUCACAAUCUAAAGCUCAAUUAACAUUACCAAAUGCAGAAAGGCAAAAAUAUGAGUACCUCGGGAGCCUUUUGAAUAAUCUCUUGUACAUAAUUUUCACCAAAACAUCUAUGUCCAGCUUCAUAAACUUGGUUAAUAAGAGAAAUAGGCUUCGUUUUGCUCACCGCCACCACUCUGACGUCAUCAGCACGGCGGCCGGACCUCUCCGCCGCCUGCCUUACACGGUGGAGCACUGACCGGAGCGCCGUCACGGCUAGUCCCUCGGCGGCCGGAGCAGCCAUUUCUGCUUCAGGCUAUGUUUGGGGGCGCGUUGUUCUCACGCGCUGUAUCAAUUUCGUGCCCCUUCUAUAACCACCAAAAGAAUGGCGGGUAUUUGUUUACUUAUCACACUUAUUUUACGAAGAUUAAUGAAUUAAUAUUUGAAAAUUGAGAUUAAAUUAACUUAGGUUAUUAAAUAUUUAAAAUUAUACGAAAAAGUAGUAUUAUAUCUUUUUAAUACUAAUAUGAUGAAAAUAUAUAUUUUCAACGUACAUAUUGAACGUAUGAGUGUCUUCCCGGGCCUACGACCUUCCUAUGGCCCAAUAUAUAUAAGAUCGACUUCAAACUUCUAACACAAAGUUAUGCGGUGCAUAGGCUAUGUCCCUUGCAACUUUGGGUUCAAACGAGUGUUAUAUCUUCCUCACCGCAGCUCAAGUCGACUCUUUUUCGUCGAGUCUAAAGGAUUAAGACGUACGUCGAAAUACGUUCACCCUAAUUUUUAUAUGUAAUACUUUGGUCAUCAGAGAGUAUCUUUACAAGAAGCCCCAGAGGACGACUAAAAUGGGAACAUUGGCCCAACACCUGACCCACUUGCCUAAUCCAAGAAGCCCAAAACCACUACAACAAAAACACACCCUCAGACGACGCGCAUUUUCCUAGCUUUGAUGUAUAAAGUUAUCUGAUAUUUAUUACCGGUGAGAGGUGGCAGGUAUCCCGUGAAUAUAGUCGAAGUGUGCAAAAGUUAGCCCGGACACCACGUUUAUAAAAACAAAAGGGCAAUUUUCAUAAAUUCUAACAGUUUAGUACAAAAUUACAUAAAAUUCUGACUAUUUUUAUAUUCACGUAAAAUCUCAUUUUCUUUUUCAUUAUUAUUAUACAUAGCUAAGACUCGUGAUACAUCACUAUCUGAUACAUAAGUAUCGAUAAAUAACUGUUAAGUAUUGAUAUCACAAGAUUUAUUUAAAUAGUUAUGUCUUAUACAUCAGUAGCACAAAAAUGUUCUGAUACAUGAUUUUUGUAAAUUUUCAACCAAACACGUCUUUACUGUGUAUCUGUAGCUUAAUAUUCAGUAAGAUACAUAACUUUUGGAUAUUUGGUGGAGGAUCUUGUGAUUUAUCUUCUUGUCCUUUUCUACUGGAUACAUUAUUCUUAUGUAUCUCCGAACUCUUUUAACACAUAUAUCAUUCUUAUAUAUCUUUAUUAACAUCAUCAUCUUCAACACAUACAUCAUUCUUAUGUAUCUUUAUUAAUAUCAUCUUCUUCAACCUCUAUUGACGAAUCUCCAAACUUUAGAAUUCCUCGUGGCUUGAACUACCAUGUACGUCGCCGUGGAUUUGAGAUGUGAUGGUGUAGUACAUCAUGGAUUUGAGAUCUGAUGGUGAAAAUUUGAGAUCUAUAUAUGAAUUCUUUCUGAAUCAUUCGAGAUCUGUAUAUUCAUUCGUCGUGGACGAGCUUGCCAUUGUGUUGGUUGGUGUGAGCUCAUUGAAGCUCGGGUGAUUUCAUCGUUGUUGUGUCGUGGUUCGCUCUGAUUUCAUCAAAGUUGGAGCUCCUCGCCAGAGCUAUGUCUUAAAUGGACGGGAGUGAUAGACAGAGCUGCAAGUAGUAGUUAGGUAGAUAAGUUAAGCAAUGGUUUUUGGGUUGUGUUGAUCACCGAUGAGGAGAAGGGAGAAAGAGGGUCGACUAUGUUGAGCAAAGAGAUAUUUUUUCUUUGUGAUAUUUUAGGAUUUGGAAUCUGGGGUAAUGCAUCUGCCCCGUUUAGACAGAGAAAGAGAAAUCAGAGAUUUUUGUAAUAAUUUUAAGCGAUCGAAAUUUUAAGCAAUAAUGAUAAGUUAAGGUGGACAUUGGGCCAACACCUGACCUCACUUGCCUAAGUCAACAAGCCCAAAUCCACUGCUCCAAAAACAUACUCUCAAUCCCCCAAACAUGGACUCAACAACACAAGCUUAUUUGCUCCAAUAAUUCCCAAUUCUCUAGGGUUUCUUUCUUUCUCACUCCGGCGAUGGAUCUAGAGGUCAGCGACCGCCAUGCCCUCCUCUUUGCCGAUGACUCCACGUCGGCGUUCUUCAACUGCUACGAUGCACAUUUGUCCCAGCCUUGAUGUACAAAGUCAUUUUAUAUCUGUUGCUGGUGAGAGAUGGUAGGUUUCCUAUGAAUUUAGUCGAAGUGCGCAAAAGCAGGCCCGAACGCCACGUUUAUCAAAGUAUAAAAAUUGCCUUAGGUAGAAAUUGGGCCCAACACCCGAGCCAACUUGCCUAAUUCAACAGGCCCAAAUCCACUAUAACAAAAACACACUCUCCAAUCUUAUUGCUCCAAAAAUUCCGAAAAUUCCCAAUUCCCUAGGGUUUCUAUCUUUCUCAUUCCGGCGAUGGAUCUAGAGGUCGUCGGCCGCCAUGCUCUCCUCUUCGACGAUGACUCCACGGCGGCGUUCGUCAACUCCGGCGAAGCUCUUGUUGAUUGGAACUCUCUUCAGAUUGAUCGUUACGAUGUUCGACACCUUCUCUCCGGUCCUCCACCGUCACGACGGCGGUCUCAGUCUUCUUCUUCUUUGGUUAACUCCGUUGAUGCUUCGAUUCAGCUCGAGCUUGAUCAUGAACGGUACCUUGAUCUUCCUUCGCCUUCAGAUGAACCAGGUUAACUUUGCUCUCGCUUCCUCGUCUUUGUUUGAAUGUAUCGUGGUUAUAUUUCGUGUAUAUUGUGUUGAUUUUAGGCGAAAAUGUUUAGAAGUUAAAACUGAUCGAAUAAUCGAUGAUGACUUGCUAGCUGAUGUUAAUAUUUGUUGUGUAUAUAUAUUAUGUUGAUUUUAACUGAAAAUGUUUAGAAAAACUGAUCGAAUAAUGAUAAUGACUGGAUAUCUGAUGUUAAUAUUCGUUGUAUUUAUUGUCGAUUUUCUCGAGCUGAGGGUCAAUUCAGCUCGAGCUUGAUCAUGUACGUUACCUUGAUCUUCCUCUGCCUUCAAAUGAACCAGGUAAAUUUAACUCUUGUGCUUCCUUAAUUUUUUUUUAUAUUGAAUGUAUUGAGGUGAUUUUUCGUGUAUAAAUUGUUUGUUUUAGCAUAAAAAUGUUUAGAAGUUCACUAUUGGAUAGUCGAUAAUGACUGGCUAGCUGAUGUCAAUAUUUGCUGUAUAUAUUGUCGAUUUUGAGCUCGAGCUGAGGGUCGAUUCAGCUCGAGCUUGAUCAUGUAUUUACCUUGAGAGUAAUUGAUAAUGACUGGGUAGCUGAUGUUAAUAUUAGUUGUAUGUAUUGUCGAUUUUGAGCUCGAGCUGAGGGUCGGUUCAGCUCGAGCGUGAUCAUGUACGUUACCUUGAUCUUCCUUUGCCUUCAAAUGAACCAGGUAAACUUAACUCUCGUGCUUAAUUUUUUUUUUGAAUGUAUCAAGGUGUUUUUUCGUGUAUAUGUUGUUGAUUUUAGCAUAAAAAUGUUUAGAAGUUAACGAUUUGGAUAGUCGAUAAUGAGUGGCUAGCUGAUGUUAAUAAUUGUUGUAUAUAUUGUCGAUUGUGAGCUCGAGCUGAGGGUCAAUUCAUCUUGAACUUGAUCAUGUACGUUACCUUGAUCUUCCUCUGACUUCUGAUGAACUAGUUUAACUCAACUCUUGCUUGCUUCCUAUGUUUUUUUGUUCACACGUUGCAGCGGAUUCUUUUUGUGUAUAUAUUUUUGUUGAUUUUAGCAUGAAAUGUUUUGAAGCUAACAAUCUGAUAAACAAUAAUGAGUGACUAGCUGAUGUUAAUAUUAUGUUGAUUUAGCAUAAAAUGUUUAGAAGUUAACAGUUUGAUAAACAAUAAGGAGUGGCUUGCUGAUGUUAGUAUUUGUUCUAUAUGUUUGUUGCUUUUAGCAUAAAAUGUUUUGAAGGUAAUGAUCCGGUAAACAAUAAUGAGUGGCUAGAUGAUGUUAAUAUCUGUUAAGUGGUUCUUUCUACUAUCCGUGUAUAUAUUGUUAAUUGUAGCGUAGACCGUUUAGAAGUUAAUAAUCUGAUAAACGAUAAUAAGUGGCUAGCUGAUGUUAAUAUCUGUUUAAGUUUUUUUUUUUCUGCUAGUUGUGUAUAUAUUGUUGUUUUUUUGCAUAAAAUGUUUAUAAGUUAACAGUUUGAAAAACGAUAAUGAGUAUUCCUGAUGUUAAUAUUUGUUGUGCAUUUAAUUGAUUUUAGCGUAAAUUGAUUAGAAGUUAACAAUUUGAUAAACGAUAAUGAGUGGCUAGCUGAUGUUAACAUUUGUAGUAUAUAUUGUUAUUUUAGCGUAAAAUGGUUAGAAGCUAACAAUCCAGUAAGGAAUAAUGAGUUGCUUGCCGAUGUUAAUUUCUGUUAAGUGGUUCUCAGGUGAAAUACAUAUAUAUAUAAUGGAACUGCUUCAAAUUAGAUAUAUUUAUGCUGACUUUGCAGACUUAAUGUUAGGGAUAAUCGUAUCUAGUUUGUAAUUAUCUGUAUUUAGUUUGUAGGUAUCUGUUAAAUUACACUAUUUAUUUUGAACGCAUAUAUAAGUACAUGUAAUGCAUGGCAGAGUUCAUAGGCUUGAAAAAAUCAUUUGGGUGUCAUUUUACCCAAACUCAACACUUCAAGUGCUGGAUUUGUAUCUGCAACAAUUUGUUGCCUGAGCUAUUUACAGUGCUCACUAAUGGGAUUUCCUAGCGUGGACAACCCAACCCAACCCAACCCAAAUAAAAUAAAAUAAAUAAAUAAAAAGGAUCUGCUAUCCAUCGAGUGCAUUUGCUGCAGUGAACAGACUUAAUUGACAUUAGAAAAUGUAAAUAAAUAUAUAGAACUAUCUUGGGGCAUAGUUGAGGGUCCAUUCUGCACCUGUCUUUGGUAUUCUUUUUCAUUGUGAAAACUUCCUCCGAUGGUAUCAUUUUCUGUUUAAGUUAUUUUGUUGUAUAUUCCCCUAUAUGUUCUUCAGCUUCACAAUGCUGAGGACCUCACCUAGAUGGUUAUUAGAAGUGUAUUUCUUAUUCAUCUUCCGAGGGGGCAACUGAGAAUAAUGUUUUGUUGUUAUGAAAAUGGCGUUGAUAGCAAAUGUUUAUAUAGGCAGGCAGUGCGCAGGCAGUGCCUUCCUAUAAUGUAGGCUGUGGAAAUGUAGCAUGCUUGCUGCCUAGAUAGCGACUGUAGAUUUCUCUUAGCUUCACAAUAGGACCUCUUAUACACAUUUCCAUAUCCCACAACUAGUAAGAUCGUUGUUGCAUAUCAAUGCAAGUAUCAUUAUUUUAACCUCAUCUCAUUCUGUCUCGAGUUCUUUUUCCUAUUGCUUCUGUGUAUGUGACACUGCUCUUGGAUAGUACAUAAAUAUGUUUCUAUAAUUUCUUCCCUCAGAAGUAGAAGAAGGUGAAGAGCCGGCAGAUGCUGGUGCUUAUCGUGCUGUUGGUUUCUCAUAUGGAAACACUGAUGAUUUUGCUGACAGAAAGAGUUCUGAGGCCCAGGAAAGCUCCGACUUCCGUCCCUCCUUUCCAGUGCCGGAAAGCCUUCUUCAGUGCUUGGUAAGCUUGUGCUCUGUGAUUUGUUUUUCUUGUCUGCUUUCGUAAAGCUUGGAUAUUGGUGUUUUCAUGCUUACGAGGUUUUCCCAUGUGGCCAAUGCUACUAGUUGUCUAAACCAUAUGUUAUUCUAAGGCUCACUGUGUCUAAGUUUUCAGAUGCUCGGAGCAGGGAUGGAGUUCCUUUGUCUAAGGUUGCCACUGACAGGCACCUUGUUCCCUUUUGAUGCAUGAGCAAGGGGCAGUGCAGGUGGGAUUAGGAAUGUAAAAAGUUUUCUUUGUAAGGACAAUUUGUUGCUAGUUGAGAGGGAUCUUCCCUUAAUUCACUUGAUAUUGCUCUUUUAUUCAUACUUGUGGAUUGGUAUGUUUGAAGCUUCAGAUUAUAUGUAAGGUUCUAGCUUAUUUUUAUCCAGAAUUGUGAAUUCUACAUUUUAAUGAAGUCUUUUGUUUCUUUUGGUUUUCAAUCUUUUUGCAGCCACCAACAGAAAAGUUACAUCAGAUAAUUGCCAGGACUGCUCUGUUUGUGAGCAAACAUGGUGGGCAGUCAGAGAUUGUUCUCAGAGUGAAGCAGGGAGACAAUCCAACAUUUGGGUUCUUAAUGCCUGAUCACGCUCUUCAUGCAUACUUUAGGUUUCUUGUUGAUCAUCCCGAACUUUUACAGUCUGAUAGUGAUUUGAACACUCAAGGUGAAGGGAAAAAUACUUCUAAUGAGCACAAGGAACAUGAUGGUGUUGGAGGUGCUUUAUCUAUGCUUGGUUCUGUAUAUGGGUUUGGGGAGGAUGAGGAGCCUGCAAAUGGGGAUGAUCCUGGAUCCAGAGUUUCCAGUGCACCGGUUGAUGUCUCUGAUAUCUCUAACAUUUCCCGUCCGCUUGAAAGGGCUGAAUCUAGUUCUAAGGCAUUUGAAAAUGGUGUGAGAGAAAAAGAUGAGAAAGUUUCAACUCAUUCUCUUCGUUCUGGUAAAGAUAAAGAAAAGACUCCUGCAAUGAAAACGAAUAAUUUGAUUAGUGCUUCCAAGAGCGGAAGUAGAAGGAGCACGCGGAAGGAAGAUAACUCUAGUUCGUUGGCUGCAUCAAAAAAGACAAAGUUAGAUAUUUCUGGUUUAGGAGCUAUGACUAAGCCUGGACCUUUGGUGGAGCCUCCAUCUGAAUUGAAGAAAUUGAUUGAUAAGAUUGUAGAGUUCAUUCUGAAGAAUGGAAAGCAGUUUGAGUCUACUCUUAUGGAACAGGACAGCAAACACGGGCGAUUCCCGUUUCUUCUUCCGUCCAACCAGUAUCAUCCUUACUAUCUAAAAGUACUCCAGAGAGCUCAAGAGGUGAAAGUUCUCUCUCUGUCUGGGAAAUGUCAUAUGGGUUCUUCUUCAUUCAAAUGGCUAGUCUUUUUAAAGUUUUUUUAAUGAACUUAAAUUUGAGCAUAUUUUCUUAGUUUCUUGAACUUAGCAUUUGUUUCUUUGACCAAUUAGCAGUAUUUUCUCUUUGGUUCUCGAUUAUUGGUGUAGCUAAUGCAUGUGAGCCUGGUUAUACUACUUUCCUUUUGGAGAGAAGUGUGUGGAAUUACUUUUAACAUUGCGUCUUUGUCUCCACUUUGUUGUGCAGUCAAAAGUCCAUGGAUCAGAAAAGAGAUCUUCUUUGAAGGGAAGUGAUUCUACCUCUUUAGGAUCUGCAGAGAAUGAUCUGCCAUAUGUAUAUGAUAAGAAAGAGAAGUUUAAGAUGGUGAUUGGCAAAUCCAAGAAGGAAACACAAGACUCUUCGGCUAGAGCUUCACAGCAAGAGGUUGAGGUCGGUGUGGACGCUGCUGCUGCUGCUGCUAUCCUUCAGGCUGCCACUAGAGGUAUUAAGAAACCCAAUUUGAGUAUCAUCUCAGGCUCAUCUAAGAACGGCGAUAGUCAGGGUCACAGCAGUGAUGGUGCCCAAGCCUCAAGCUUCUCCAAUGUACCUCCGCGUGGGCCCAGUAUAGUUGGUCAGAAGUCGGACAAGAGGAUGGAACAUAGUGUUUCGAUUCCAAAGGUGAAGGAAAUUGCAAAGUCUGCUGCCGCUGAAGCUGCAGGUGAAGCAGAUUCCUCUGAAGCACACUUGAGCAAAGAGCAGAAGCUAAAAGCGGAGAGGCUGAGAAGGGCGAAGAUGUUUGUUGCCCUUUUAAAAGGUGGAGCAGCUCCUGCCAAAAGAGAUUCACUUGGAGGGUCAGUGGAACUACAAGAAUCUGCCAUAUCAGGCUCUGUUGCAGAGACUAAAGUUGUUACUAAAGAAAGAGAGGGCAGUGCAGCUCCGGCAGAACUGACUGCUAGGGAGAGGGAAGGCAGUACAGCUCCAUUAAAUAACAAUAUGUCGAAUGAAAAUGAGAUAUCUGAAAUGAAAAAUACUGUUGAAGAGCACGAGCGGCGAGCUAGAAGGAAAUACAGGUCAAGAUCUGGUAUGCACAAAGAUGAGGAUGAAGAGGAAGAGAGACAGGAAGAAGAGGAGGAAGAGGAACAGCGCUCUAGGAAGAAGCGCCGCUCUUCAAGAAAAGAUGACGAGGAAGAAAGUGGUGAGGCAAGGGAUGAUAAGCGAUCCAGAAAAAAGAGGCGAUCACGCCGUCAGAGACACAGAGAUAGUGAAAAUGCUGAUGGGGAUGAGGAUGAUGAAGAUACUAGGCGAUCAAGAAAGAAGCAUCGCAGGCGACAUUCAUCCCCCGAAGAUGAUGACGAGCAAAGAGAUGCAGAGAGACAUCAUAAGCAUGGAAGGAAAAAACAUUCAAGUCAUCGGUCUUCACGUGAAAAUAGGAAAGAUGAUUAUGAGGGGGAUCAUAAGCAUUCCAAGAAGAAACGUAAAUCUCACAGAAGCUCCCACCGCAGCAGAGACAGACAUGAACACAGGACGAAGGAUUCUAGUGAUGAUGAGUCCGAUAGAUCCCGUAGAACCUCCCAUCACAGUAAAGAUAGACACAAACUCAGAACAAAAGAUUCUAGCGACGAUGAACCUGAACACAACCAUAAGCAUGCAAGCUCUGCCGACGAUGAAGAGCAGCGGUAUGACAGGGCUGAUAAGAAUGAUAAAGGUACAAAAGAAAGAGAAGAACUGGAAGAAGGUGAGAUCCUUGCCAAAGUGUCGGAUCAAUCAAGAGGAAGUUUGGGAGGUUCCGUCAGCAGAGAAGCUUCAGUGGAUGUAUCUAGUUCCCAGCAAAGAGCCUCGUCUCAGCCGUCUGAAUCUACUGAGAUAUCAGAUGAUCUUAGGGCCAAAAUCCGCGCAAUGUUAAUGGCGACUAGGACGUAGUUAAGGAAUCGCCAAUCUCGGUACAUUACCUAGAGAAUCCUUUGCAUUGUAAAAACUCCUUGUUGAAUCUUGAUUUACUAUUUGAUAAUUCUGAUUUUCAUCCUCCUUUCUCUCUGCUAUUCAAGUUUUCUGCCCCUUCAGUGUAAAAGGGCAUUCGACUGUUUCGUUGUUAAUCUAUUAAAGGUGUAUGUAUAAUAUAAUUAUACUUGGGGGUCGUUUGGUAGAGUGUACAAGAAUAAUGUCGUGUAAGGUGUAUUAGUAACUACAUUUUGACAAUUAGUUUUAUUUUAAUUUGAGAAAUGAUUUUAAAUCUUUUUGGGGAAGACUUGAAUUUGCUAAUAUGAAACUCUGAUGAAAUUAGCUACUAUAAGUAGAAUGAUCAAUGUGAUAUUGAUGAAUGAGAAGUAUAAUGAGUUGAGCCAUCUUUGACAAUAAAUCAACAAUUUGCGUUUAAACCAACGUUUAUAUAUUAGACGUAGGAGGAUCUUUGAUAUCUCUUCGUCUGCAAAUAAUUCUCAAUGUGAACAAAAAGCCAAGAUAACGCCCAUCUUUAAAAAAGUUAUAUAUAACAUCCAUCUUUAAAAAAGUUAUUUGAGUACACCAACAACAUACUAGUGUAAUUCAAUAAAAGUGGGGCUUGAGAGGGUAGAGCAUAUGUAGUUCGUACCACUAGCUCAAAGGUGAGGUAAAGAAACUGUAUCCGACAGAUCCUUGACUCAAAAUAAAAAUAGUACAGAAAAAGACGUAAUGUAAGACCCAGAAACAAUAGGUAGUACCAAGACAACAAAUAAUCACACAUAUCAAAAAAAGUUAUUGAGUUUAUUUAUAUAAUUUUUUCUUGAGCUUAGUCGGAAUUAUCUACCUCACACCAGGUGCGAGUAAGGUCUGUGUAUACUUUAACCUCUCCAAACUCCAUCCGUAAUCUCACAUUGGGUACGUUAUACAUAUACAAAAUUAAAUUUAAACCAUUUUAGCAAAAUUUCUAAUUUAGUAACUAAAUUGUAACAUUUUGAGAACCAUUUUAGCAAAAUUUCUAAUUUAGUAACUAAAUUGUAACAUUUUGAGAAACAUUGCUCUUUAUAUAGUAAAUAAAUAAUUAUAUUUCCGUUACAUAUAACAGCUUAUAUUUAUAUUUAUAUUUAUAUUAUAAGAAUAUAUUCCAAAAAGAUUCAACAGAAGAAAAAAAAAGCAUAUUACUGUGCAAAAUUUAUAAUGUUAUUAUAUACUGAGUUGCAGUAUGUAAUUAGUAUGGUAACAAGUAAUGAUAUAUAGACAAAAAAAAAAGGGUUAUUUCUUUUUAUUUAUCUUAAUUUUUGUAUAGUGAGAGAUAAUUGGUAUCUAAUAAAAUAGUCGAAGAAGCAUCAUAUCACCAUAGUCCUAGAAUUCAGAACCAUAAAAUUCUAAUUUCUAAUAUCGCUUGCGAUAUGUUCAGCCUUGUGCACAAGCUGAUCCAAACAUCACCGCCCAUCGUAUUUAUUAUGACUUAUACAAAGACAGAGGCAGAGUCAACAUUUGGCAAGAGGUUCAUCCCUAGAAUUCAGAACCAUAAAAUAGUCAAAGAAGCAUAAUAUCACCUUCGUCCUCGAAUUCAGAAUCAUAAAAUUCUAAUACUGCCUCAAUAUGUUCAUCUCUGUGCACAAGCCGACCCAAAUUAAACAUCACCAUCCAUCGUAUUUAUCAUGACUUAUACAAAGACAACGACGGAGCCAGCCUUUGGCAAGUGGUUCAUCUAAACCCACUUCAAUGAAAAAUUGUACUAUUUAUUUUUUUUUUUUUUUUUUUUUUUUAUGUAACCCUUUCGGUUAGUUUUUCUUCGAACUUUGAACCCCAUCAGUUGUAAUCCUGACUCCGCCUUUAAAGCUUCUUUUAGACUUAUUCUUUUUGGGAUCUUGUAAAACACAAACAUCACCAUUGCACACCAAUUUGUUUGAGCUUGAGGACUUAGAGAAACAACUAAAAAAUUUGAACAAAGCCAUAUGUAAGAACAUAUAAAAUUUACCUAUAUAUAUUGCUACAAAAUUGGGUACUUUUUGGUGAAUGAUAAAAUGAGCAAUAUAUAUAUGUAUAUAUAUAUAUAUAUAGAUGUAACAACAUAUGAACAAAUUCCACCUUGCUAUUUGCUUAUUAUAGUCAAUUUAUAGGUGGAAAUGACCUACCAAAUAAUAAUAAAACAACUAUACAAGACAUAAAAGGGCAUCCCGGCACUAAAGCUCUUGCUAUGUGUGGGGUCCAAAACAGAGGCGGAGCUAGCCUCCUUUAGGGAGUUCGGCCGAACCCUCUUCGACGGAAAAAUAUACUAUUUAUGCAUGAUUAAAAUUAUUUUUUAUGUGGUUAUAGUAGGUGUUGAACCCCUUUCGACUAAGUUUUCUUUGAAUAUUGAACCCCCUCAGUUGAAAUCCUGGCUCCGCCUCUAGUUUGAAAGGACCAGACUGUCCGAGUCUAUUGUAUAUAAUCCUAUUUUGUGUGUAUGCAAGAGAAUGUUUUCAUGAUUUGAAUCCGUGACCUCCGAUCAUGUUAAAAAUAUGAUCGAUUAUAUGAGACAGGGAAAUAGUUACUCCCUUCGUCCAUGUUUACUUAUCCAUAUUUGACUUGGUACACCCUUUAAGAAACAAUACAUAAAAUAAUAAAUUUACUAUAGUACUCUUAUUAAUAAAAAGUUUGGUAGAUUUUGGUGAAUGAUAAAUUAAGCACUAUAUAUAUUUAUAGAUGUAACAAUAAAUGAACAAAUUCCAGAUUGCUAUAUGCUUAUAGUCAAUUUAUAGGUGCAAUGACCUACCAAAUAAGUAUAAUACAAGACAUAAAAGGGCAUCCCGGUACUAAAGCUAUCGCUAUGUGUGGGGUCCGAAAAAGACCAGACCGCAAGGGUCCAUUAUAUACAACCUUAUUUUGCAUUUAUGCAAUAGGAUAUUUCCACGACUUGAACCAAUGACCUCCUGAUCAAGUUAAAAGUACGAUAGAUAAUUUGAGACGGAGAAAUAAUUACUCCAUUCGUCCAUAUUUACUUGUAUGUGUUUGACUCGAUACACCGUUUAAGAAACAACAAUUAAAAUGAUAAUUUUACUAUAUUACUCUUAUUAAUAAAAAAUUGGUACAUUUUGGUGAAUGAUAUAUUAAGCAUUACAUAUGUAUAGAUGCAACAUUGGUGAUGCAGUGGAUGGACUCCCUUAAUCAGAGGUCUCGGGUUCGAGCCCUGGGUAUGGAAAAAUUCUUGGCAGGGAGCGCUACCCCCCGAAUGGGGUCCUACUCAGCGUGAAUUCAAAUUAGUCGAGCUCCAAUACAGGUACCAGAGACCGAAUAGAAAACCAAAAUAAAAAUAGAUGCAACAUUGAAAAACAUGGAAACAUGUGGCAAUUAUAUAGUCAAUUUAUUAUAGGUGGCAUGGCCUACCAAAUAAGUAUACUUUCUUAGUAAUUGUUGUUAAUAUUUGAGACUAAUAAAUGAAUACAAGGCAUGUCUAUUAAUUUUUUUUUUCUUUUUUUUUUUACGAACGUAUAGAAAAGAAAUACGACACAUAAUUUAAGAAAAUGUCCCAAUAUAAGUGAUUUGCGGUAAGAAUUUUUGACUUUUUAUCCAAUUUUAUUUAUUUUUCUUUUCUUUCCGUGUCUGAGUAAGAUGAAUUUAAUAUUUUUACUUGAUGUUUUCAAUUAAAAAUAAUUGUUUUUUUUUUUUCAUAAGGGAGAGGUAGGAUUGCACACGCACCAUCAUUCUUUACACCUCACUUAUAGAAUUACAUUUGAUAUAUUAUUGUUGUCGUAAAAGAUAUUAAAUCCAAUUAAGUUUGAUAUGUUAUUGUUGUCAUAGAAGAUAUUGAAUCCAAUUACGUUCGAUAUAUUAUUGUUGUUGUAGAAGAUAUUGAAUCCAAUUUAACAUGCCAUUUGUCCAAGUACAACUUUUAAAGAGCCCUAAUGCAAUAUUUGUUGGUUUCAUUGUCCAUUGAUUAUUACAUUCAAAUACAUUUUUUUGGGGCUUAAUACAUAAAAAUGUCUUUUAAUUUGGCUUCAAAUUACACCUAUGAUAUUUAAUUUUAGGUGUGCAUAAGUAGACAAUUAAAUUUGUAUAAAGUUGAAGAACUAGACACACAUAUCUUAUGUGGCAUAAUACACGUAGGACGACAUCUAGGACGAGAAUUGGCCACAUUGAAAAACUAAUUUUAUAAUAUAAAAAUAAUAUAAUUUUCGAAACCCCUCAAUAAAAAUUCUGACUCCACCAUUGCGCCACAACCAUGUCAUACUCCAUUGUUCUAAUUAAUAGAUACAAUAGACACAACACACACAAUUUAACAAAGAUCUAAAUUCAUACAAAAUCCUACUUCCCUUAUUAGUCCAACUCAAAAAGAGAUAAAACAUCCAGUAUUCCCGAACUAUGAUCAAAAUUGCUACGACAUACUCCAACUUCACAAGAGUCCUACUACCUGAUGAACUCGAUUUUAACAUAUUUUUAUUACCUUUUUGUUCUGACGUGACAUUUUUAUUACAUAAAAUGGGGUUCACGUCAAAAGUGCCACAUCAGCUAAAAAGGUUGACAAAAGGUGUCACGUUAGCUAAAAAGAUUGACAAAAAUACGCUAAAAUUUAGUUCAAGGGGGUAAUAGAACCCCCGUAAAGUUGGAGUGUAUCGUAGCAAAUUUGGUCAUAGUUCGGGGGCUACUAGAUGCUUUGCUCACUCAAAAAUAAUGUUUUUCUUCUUGACAUUUUUUUAAUUCUAACUUUAUACGUGAUAUAUUUAAGACCACGAUAUUAAAAGAAUAGGUAUUUCAUUAAAUGAAGUAAAAUAAAGUAAUAGUAAUUGAUAGGUGGUGGGUGCUAAAUAAUUAUUUAAUAUAGAUUAAUCUGAAAUCUGAUUCAAUUGUAAUAUAGUAUUAUUAUCACAAAUUUUAUUUCUUAUAUAAUUGUGUUGCUUUUUGUCAAUUAGCAAAAAGAUACAUAGUACAACUUAUAUAAUUAACAUCUUAAUUAAGAUUAGUUACAAAGUCAAAUAAAUAAAAUUAUGCCAUUUGCUAAAAUCCUAGAACGUGCUAAUCACGUCUUUAUCUUUUAGCAUAAUAUAUUAAAUACACCAAUUAUUAAAUAUCUUUAAAAAAAAAAUUAUGAAAAUUUUGUCUAUAUAGAUAAGUUAAUUAGGGUGAUUAGAAUAUUUUGGCCAAGUAAAUUAAUUAAAAGUAGUUAUUAUCAAAGCUUCAUCAAAGUCACCUUGAAAUUUUGGAUUUUUUUAUUUGUAAUUUAUUCAACAAAUAAGAUACAAUAGGUAAUUAUUAAAAAAUAAAUAGAGUUUUAGACGUAAAGAAAUCAAUUUUGGGUCUGUCUACCUCUGAGAACAAAGUCACCUUCGUUAGAAAGUAUUUUACCCCUAACAUAAAACUUUCCGACUCGAAUAAAAAUUUAAACGCACAAUUUGUUAUCUAAUAUUGAGUCAGAUAAUUUAGAGUUUAAUUACUGAAAAUCCUGAUUUUGGGUUUGUCUACCUCUGAGAAUAAAUUAUUGAAAAUUUCGAUUUUGGGUCUGUCUAUCUCUGAGAACAAAGUCACCUUCAUUAGAAAGCACUUUACUCCUACUGUUGAAAUUUUCCGACGCAAAUUAAAAUUUAAUCGAACAAUUUGAUACCGAACAUCGAGGGAAAAAACAAAAGAAACUCUCCAUUAUUACAUGCUUAUCAACCUUCCCCUAUCACAUCAUCAAACUUUUAUUAUAAGAUAAAAAAAUGAAUAAAAUACAAAUAAAGUCUAUUAUUUAAUAUCACAUCAUCAAACUUUUAUUAUAAGAUAAAAAAAUGAAUAAAAUACAAAUAAAGUCUAUUAUUUAAUAUCACAUCAUCAAACUUUUAUUAUAAGAUAAAAAAAUGAAUAAAAUACAAAUAAAGUCUAUUAUUUAAUAUCACAUCAUCAAACUUUUAUUAUAAGAUCAAAAAAUGAAUAAAAUACAAAUAAAGUCUAUUAUUUAAGACAUCUGUAGGACAAUUUUUUUGUUCUCUUUCCCCUUAAUUACUCACACUUUUUUUUUUCUCUAUGUAAAGAGUUCUUCAUAAUUUAAAGUAAGAUAAUUUUUUUUCUUCAUGUUGUUAAUAUUUUUAUAGAAGAAAAUAAUAUUUUCAUCUCUUUUUAGUUCUUUUUUUUUUUCUCUUUAAUUCCUUUUCUAUGAGCUAAAAUAUUUAUUUAUCCCAUAUAUGCAGAUAUUAAAUCUUUGUGGCAAGUUUCAUUUGAAGGAAUUAAAAGGUACAUUUUGGUAAGUAUUCUUUGCUUAAUUUUUGUGUAUGGUUUUCUAUGUGAUGUUAUUUUAUGUUGUUCGGAUUUUUCAAAAAUAUUAUAGUAUUCAUAUUGAGUUCUUUAAAAAUGCACUGUUUUAGGUUAUGUCGUUCGGACUUUUCAAAAAUAUUGUAGUAUUCGUAAUGGAUUCUUGAAAAAUACACUAUUUUAGAAGAUUCAACGCGUACCUAUCGACAUUUUUAAGAGUCAGAACAACAUAAUAAUUGUCUGGUGUCUUGUUGCUCGAACUUUUCAAAUAUGUUACAGUACUCGUUUCGGAUUCUCCAACAAUGCACUAUUUUAAACGAUUCGAUGUUCACUCAUCGAUAUUAUAUUUUUAAAAAGUCCGAGCAAUAUAAUUGUCUGAUAUGCGCAUUGGAGCGUCCGAUUAUCUGAUUUCACAUAGUGUAAGUUCCAUUUAAGGGAAAAACACAUCAUACCAUUGUAGUACUCGCGUUGAAUUCUUCAAAAGUACAUUAUUUUUCGACUCAUAUCCAUCGAUAUUUUUAAAACUCCGAUCAACAUAAGUGUAGUGUCCGGCUAUGUUGCUUGAACUUUUCAAAAAUGUUAUAGUACUCGUAUUGAAUUUUUCAAAAAAUGCACAAUAUUUGAAAGAUUUAAUGUGCACUUAUCGAUAUUUUUGAAGAGUCUGAUAACAUAAUUAUAUUUUCCCUUCUCUAUAUUGUUGAAAGACAAAAAAUGACUCAUUAUUUACUUAGUUGACUUGAUUGAAAUUUUGUGUUUUUUUUUUUUUUUUAGAAAAUGUCAUCAAUCAACAAUGAAGAAUUUCAAGAAGAAGAUAUUUGGGGUUAUACUAAUAACAAUAACAAUAAUAUUGUUAAUGAAAAAAAUCAAAUUAAUUCCAAGUUUAUGCCAAGAAGGUUAAUUAUUCCCACUUCAUCCAAGAUGAUUCCAAAGUCAAAAAACAAGAAGUCAAAUCAGGAAUUCGCAAUUGUCCAGCAUUCUGCUCCAGUAAAAAUACCUGAUUGGUCAAAAGUGUAUGGUACAAGUUCCAAAAAUGAUAUUGGUAAUUUUGUGACAAAUAAUAAAUGUGAUUUUGGAAUUGAUGAUGAUGAAGAAAUUGAAGAAAAUGUAAUGCCACCACAUGAAUGGCUAGCUAAAAGGCUUGGUAGAAGACAAUUUUCUUCAUUUUCAGUGUGUGAAGGUGUUGGAAGGACAUUAAAAGGAAGAGAUUUAAGUAGGGUAAGAAAUGCUGUUUUAACAAAAACUGGAUUUCUUGAAUAAAUUUGAAAAUAAUCAUCAAUGAUCAUUUGGAGGGGUGGGGUGGGGUGAGGGAGGUUGAGAAUUGGGGUCCCGAAUGAAUCUUGGUGGUGAAACUUUUUACUUUUGUUAUUUAAUGUUUAAGUUUAAAGUAAGGUGAUUUCUUUUCAUCUGGAAAUGAAUUUUGAAAGUUUGUAAAUAUGUGAUGCUGUAUAUGUACUUUGAUUCUUGGAAGUUCGUCGAUAUUUGUGCUGAAGAAAGAUAGCAAGUCCUUAGUGAAAUAAUUCAGGUCUGCCAGUGAAAAUUGGGUUCCCAUAUGAAUAUUGGUGGUGGAAAUUUUUGCUUUUGUAUUUUGAUGUUCAAGUUUAAAGUUAGGUAUUUUUUUUAUCUGUACGUGAAUCUUGAAAGUUUGUAAAUACAUGAUGUUGCCAUACAUACUUCGAGUCUUGAAAGUUCGUCGAUACUUGUGCUGAUGAAAGAGAGCAAGUGCUCAGUGAAAUAAUUCAGAUUGUACCAGUUGACCCCAAGUGGUCUUGGAAGUAAAAAGUCACGCGGUUUCUUUCGUCUCCUUCCGGUCUCGAUUUUUAUUGAUUAGCUUCCUCUUUCAUGUAAGUAGUUGGUUCAUUUAUGGCGUUGAAUUUUUUGAUCUUUCGCUUAACUCACCUGAUUGUUCGCUUCCACACUCCGAAGAAAUUUCCUCUUUCAUUUUCCUUUCUCAUAUAUGAUCAUGAAUUUUUGAAUUUAAAUACUUAUGUUGGUGAAAGAUAAUAAAUAUAAGUCUAUGCAUAUCAACCAAAAAAUAAAAAUAACUCGAAAUCAUUGCUGUUGUUAUAAAAAGACUUGACUGUAUAUAUAAUAUCUGUGUGUUUUAUUAUAAUUUUAAAACUUGUAUUUAUAUAAUUAUUUUAGUUCGGGGGUUUUCUGUUAUUUCUGCUUAAAAUCAAAACCAAACUAAUAUUAAUCAAUUUUUAAAAUUAAACCCAUAACCAAAUCAAAUUAAAAAAAAUAUCAAUUUUUUCUUUCAAUUUAAAAAGAAUGUCAUUUUUUCCCUUUCAAUUUGAUAUUUCGAUUUCUCGUGAACAUUCCUACAAUUUCACAUAUAUUUCUGACAAGAAAAAAUGAUUAAUAUUUUUAUAUAAUCGUUCGAUAUUAGAUUUAGUGAUUUACUUCUUCGAAUAAUUAAAAUUCGUAUCAUAUAAAAUCCAUAAAAAAAAUAUUAAUAUAUUUUUUCCUUGUCAAACAAGAAUUAUAUUUCUUCCUUGUCAAACAAGAAUUAGAAUUCUUUUUUUUUAUUAGGACAAAAAAGUUAAAUCCAUAUUUUAUUAGGAAAAUAAAACCGCCAUAAUUCUUCCUAUAUAUACCCUACAAAAAUAAUCGAAACCUUAUUAUUAAUCCUCCAUCUAAGAUCUAGAUUAUUUUAUUGGUGUUUUAAGGGAGUCUGAGCCAAAAGGGUUUUUUUUUUUUAUCAAAAAUUCUAAAAGGAACAUUUACUUUCGGAAAAAAUCAAAACGGACAAAACGCUGCGGGCUCUGCGACUUACAAGUUGCCCGAGGCCCAGCGACUUGCAAGUGUUCACUGUUCACCUCCUUCUUUUUCUUUUUUUUUUUCCUAUCCUUAACAUAAUCAUUUUUACUCCUUUCUUUUCACUUUCAUUUUGACCGAGAACAAUAAUACUCACCCACUCAAAGAUUUCACACUACAUAGACCAUUCACAUAUGGGAGCAACAGAAAAGAAUAGAGAACAUUGCAUCAUCUUUCUUUUUCUCCAACGACUGGAAAACAUAAACACAAAUAAUUCUUCAUUUUCAUCAUUUCACAAUUCCACUCUAUUAGCACACAAUGUAUUUAAAUAAUUUAAGUUGUUAAUUAUUGUAAUUUAUUAUAUUUUUUAUGUAAUUUUUAUAUUAAUAUACGUUACUUUUCUUAUCCAAAUUUUUGUGGCAUUGAUAGUCAAUUAUAUUUUAAAAAUAAUUUAAGUUUUUAAUUAUUGUGAUUUAUAAUACUUUCUUCUAUUAUUUACAGUACUUUUUAUUUAAUUUUCAAAUAAUAUAUGUUGCUUUAUAUCUUCUUCUGUCCCGUCCCAAUUUAUAUGGCACUAAUAUAAUUUUGAUAGUCAAUCAAAUAUUUUAUUGAUAUGUCAUUUUGUUAUUCUUAUUUUUCUAAUACAUAAUGACUUAUAAUAAGGAGUGAUAUAGUAAAAUCAUCGUUCGAAAGACGAAAAUUUAAUUUAAAACAUUAAGAUUUAAUUUCACAUUUUAUGUCUAUUUUAUUUUUUAUAAAAUAUUAUUUAUUUUCUUAAUAAUUAGAUGACUCAUAAUAAUUAAUUAAGAGCGAUUGAUUAUGUUAUUACUAUAAAAAUUAAUAUAAUUUUAAGAGUGAUUGAUUAUGUUAUUACUAUAAAAAUUAAUAUAAUUUUAUCAUAUCCAAUAGUAAUCAUCAAUAAUUCACCGGAAUAGUAUAUUAAUUAAAUACGUGAUGCUAUAUUUACAUAUGCAAAAUAUGAUAUUAUUAAACAUUAUUGGAUAGUGCAUUAUAUUUAUCUUUCACAAUAAUAAAAUUUUACUAUAUAUUUUUCUUUAUUUCUUUUUAACUUGAUACAUAUUGACCCACCACAAAUUCUAAGAAAAUAUUCAUUAGAAAUUUAUUUUAUUAAAUUAAAUUUAUUAAUUUUGUAAUUUAAAAAUUUAAAGUCAANNNNNNNNNNNNNNNNNNNNNNNNNNNNNNNNNNNNNNNNNNNNNNNNNNNNNNNNNNNNNNNNNNNNNNNNNNNNNNNNNNNNNNNNNNNNNNNNNNNNNNNNNNNNNNNNNNNNNNNNNNNNNNNNNNNNNNNNNNNNNNNNNNNNNNNNNNNNNNNNNNNNNNNNNNNNNNNNNNNNNNNNNNNNNNNNNNNNNNNNNNNNNNNNNNNNNNNNNNNNNNNNNNNNNNNNNNNNNNNNNNNNNNNNNNNNNNNNNNNNNNNNNNNNNNNNNNNNNNNNNNNNNNNNNNNNNNNNNNNNNNNNNNNNNNNNNNNNNNNNNNNNNNNNNNNNNNNNNNNNNNNNNNNNNNNNNNNNNNNNNNNNNNNNNNNNNNNNNNNNNNNNNNNNNNNNNNNNNNNNNNNNNNNNACUAAAAUUUUAUAUAUCUCUUAAGUAUUUUAAAUUGUUAAUUAUUAUGAUUUGCAGUACUUUUUCUUUUAUCUCAAUUUAUGUGGCAUUACUAAAAUAAUGAGAGUCAAUAAAAUUUUUAUAUGUCUUUUAAAUAUUUUAAGUUAUUAAUUAUUGUGAUUUGUGAUAGCAAAUUAGUUUUGAACAUGAUAGCAAAUUAAAUAAAAAAAAACUACUUUCAAUAAGUAGUUAUAGUUAAUUAAUAUAAACUAAUAGAAUAUAUUAAAUAUUUAAAUCAAUAUGCUGGAACAAUGGAAUUAUUAUAUAUUGAGGCAUGAUAUGUAAUUAAGUGAGAGUAAAGGGUUUUUUUUGGUAAGAGUCAAUAAAUUUCUAUAUGUCUUUUAAAUACUUUAAGUUAUUAAUUAUUGUGAUUUAUGGUAACAAAUUAGUUUUGAACAUGAUAGAAAAUUAAAUUAAAAAAAAAUUACUUCCAAUAUGUAGUUAUAGUUAAUUAAUAUAAAUUAAUUGAAUAUAUUAAAUAUUUAAAUUAUAAUGAUGAAAAAAUGAAAUUAUUAUAUAUUGGGUGAAUAUUAUUGUUCUCGAUCAAAAUGAAAGAGAAAAGAAAGGAGUAAAAAUGAUGAUGUUAAGGAUGAGGACAAAAAAAAAAAGGAGGAGGUGAACAGUGAACACUUGCAAGUCGCUGGGCCCCAGGCGACUUACAAGCCGCUGGGCCUCGGGCGACUUGUAAGUCGCAGGGCCCACAGCGUUUUUUCCAUUUUUGUUUUUUUUUUUCGAAAGUAAGUGUCCCUUUUGGAAUUUUUGAUAAUAAAAAAAGAGCCCUUUUGGCUCCGGACUCGUUUUAAGGUAAGUUCUUUUUAUUAGUUCACGAAAAAUUUGGUUCUGAAUAAAUUAUUUAUACAUUUUAUAAACAAUAUUUACACAAUGUAGGUCACGUAGAAUAGCACUGAGUUUGUUGUUAUUAUCGUUGUAGGUCACUUAAGAACUUCGAAAGAUCUAUGUUUGCAAUUCGUAUUUUUAAAUUUCAGAUUUGUAGGUCACGCAAAAUAUAUGGACUAUACUAGGGUUUUUGUUAUUAGGUUUGUUGUUAUUGUCGUUGUAGGUCACUCAAGAACUUCGAAAGAUCUAUGUACGCAAUUUGUAUUUUUGAUUUUCAGAUUUGUAGGUCACGAAGAAUAUAUGGACUAUACUAGGUUUUGGUUAUAGGUUUGUUGUUAUUGUCGUUGUAGGUCACUUAAGAACUUUGAAAGAUCUAUUUUUGCAAUUUGAAUAUUUGAUUUUCAGAUUUGUAGGUCACGUAGAAUAUAUGGACUAUACUAGGGUUUUUGUUAUUAGGUUUGUUGUUAUUGUCGUUGUAGGUCACUUAAGGACUUCGAAAGAUCUAUGUUUGCAAUUUGUAUGUUUGAUUUUCAGAUUUGUAGGUCACGUAGAAUAUAUGGACUAUACUAGGGUUUUUGUUAUUAGGUUUGUUGUUAUUGUCGUUGUAGGUCACUCAAAAACUUCAAAAGAUCUAUUUUUGCAAUUUGUAUUUUUGGAUUUCAGAUUUUUAGGUCACGUAGAAUAUAUGGACUAUACUAGGGUUUUUGUUAUUAGGUUUGUUGUUAUUGUCGUUGUAGGUCACUCAAGAACUUCGAAAGAUCUAUUUUUUCAAUUUGUAUUUUUGGAUUUCAGAUUUCUAGGUCACGAAGAAUAUAUGGACUAUAUUAGGUUUGUUGUUAUUGUCGUUGUAGGUCACUUAAGAACUUCGAAAGAUCAAUUUUUACAAUUUAUAUUUUUGAUUUUUGAUUUAAAGAUUGAAUAAUUUUGUUUGUAUAGCAACUUUAUUAUUUGACUAAUUUUUUUUUCUUUUCAGAUUUUUAUUUGUUGAGUUAUCAACUUCAAUUUCAAAUUGGAUUCAAGUUCUCAUAUAACAACAACUUACAUCUUUGAUAUAAAAGUUGAAAUCCCAACUUCUUUUGAUCCAUUCGAGAUGGAGGACAAGGACUCAGGCUCCUCGCGUGCCCCUGGUGCCAAGGACAAGGGCCCCCGCUCGCAUGCCCCUGAUACCAAGGACAAGGGCUCCCACUCGCGUGCCUCUGAUACCAAGUACAAGGAUGAUGAUCAAAUCCCAAUGACUUUUGAUGAUCCAUUCGAGGAGGAUAAGGACUCAGGUUCCACUAGCCCUAAGGGGUCACGUGCCCCUAAUGCCAAGGUCAAGGGCUCCCACUCGCGUGCCUCUGAUACCAAGUUAAGGAUGAUGUUCGAAUCCCAAUGAAUUUUGAUGAUCCAUUCGAGGAGGACAAGGACUCAGGCUCCCCUAAUUCCAGGGUCAAGGGCUCCCAUUUGCGUGCCUCUGAUACCAAGUACAAGGAUGAUUGUCACGCCCCAAAAUUCCAUCGGGCCGGACUGGCACCUGAAGCCGAGAAGGCCCGGGAGAACCCGUUCAAAUACCUGUACUUUCACUUACAUGUCACCAAAAAUUGGACAGCACUUCGUUGCAUAUAGAAGGAUCUAAUUACCUGUAUCAGCACAACACGCACAAAUAUAUAUAUAUAUAAUACUUGGCCGUCGGGGCCACCACAUAUACAGAUAUAACAUCACUAUAUAAACUUCCAUGACUUUACCCUUCCUUAUGUCUACAAAGCCUCUAGGAUAUACAUGACAUAACUAGGGUCGGGACAAACCCCCGCCCACACAUGACUCAUGUACAAUAACAAAACAUAAGGAACCGACUCGGAAAGCUCCGAAGCAAACUGGAGCUCACCAACAAUAGCUGUAUGACCUGGCUCCUACUUGUGCGGUGUAUGAGCUGAGGUACCUGUGCCUGCAGCAUGAAAUGCAGGUCCCCCGUGAGGGACGUCAGUACGAAAUAUGUACUGAGUAUGUAAAGCUGUAAAUAAUCACAUAUGAUAUAGGAGCUCAAUAGAAAUCAGAAACAAGUGAAUAAGUCGUAAUAGGAGUGGACCACACUUACUAGAACUUGUGACAACCUGUACAUUGUAUUUAUUCAAUCACUUUACCUUCGUUCUUAUCGUCUUUGUAAUCAUUACUGUACUGUACUGUGACCAUUAGGCUGCCUCCAGUACAUAUCAACUGGGAUCGACCCAUGCUAGGCUUAUGCCCCUGGGAUACCACCCAUAAACACAUAAAUAGGGAUCGACCCAUGCUAGGCUUAUGCCCCUGGGAUACCACCCGAUAAGAGAGAACUUCCAUCACUUAGUUCAAUUAAUCUUUGAGAUUGUUAUUUCGGUCGCCACCACAUUUUUGAUACUUUGAAACAAUGAUACAUCAAUAGGAACCAAGUAAUAGACCUUCUAUACAAUAACGAUGUAAUAAAGACUCAUUGGUACAUCAACAAUGUGUUUCAGAAUCAUCAAUAUCACAACAAUGAAAUAAGAGCCUUUUGGUAUAUCAAUGAAACAUUUUGACACUUUAUAGAAUGGAAACAACUUCGUUGGUAACGUAGAAUUAGUAGAGCCCUUUGCAGAACCAGAAGUGAUUUUUCAUCAGAGACGAAGAGCUCAAUACUACACUCAGCAGGGAUCGAUGGCAGAAAUACGCGAUCCUAUAGUUGCUUAUCCAAAUGUUGGAAAUGUUCCAGCUCCAGCUGUUCCUGUUCAACCAGUCGCAAAACCUGUUCGAGAAGUGGCAAUCCCACUUCCGCUCUUGGUGACUAACAGUAUUCAGAAGCCUGAACAAGGAGGUCGAUAGGAAUUAAAAAAAAAUAUGGUGCAAUUGUUGAGAUAUGCGAGAGAAUUUCAGGGAUUUUCACACGAGGAACCACAACAGCACUUACAACCCUUCCUGGAGAUAAGCGACAGAUAUAUUCCUGAAUAUGUGAAUGCUGAUUAUGAAAAAACUUUCCCUUUUCUCUACUGGGGGAAACAAAGAGAUGGCUACUUGCUGAACCACACCAAUCCAUCACUACAUGGGGAAAAUGUGCUAGAAGGUUUCGAAUUUGAUUUUUUCUAUCUCAGAAAAUUGCUCGAUUGAGGAGUGAGAUAUUGAGUUUCAGACAGAAAGAAGGAGAAAAUCUCUACCAAGCUUGGGAGAGAUUCAAGGGCAUGCUAAGAAGUUAUCCUCAUCACCAUCAAUCAAAUGAUGUUUUGGUGUAUACAUUUAUAGAAGACCUUGAGUUUAAUACAAAGAUUCUCUUGGAUUUAGCAGCAGGGGGUCAAGCUUUGGAGAAAAAAUAUGAAGAAUUGUAUACCUUGCUGAAUCGAAUUGCAUAAGGAAAUCCUGAUUGGCAUGCAGACUCAAGGAAUGCUCCCAAGAAAGUUGUAGGGGUUUUGGAGGUUGAUCAGUUCACUGCCUUACAAGCACAAAUUGCAGCAAUGCAGAACCAUAUGAUUACUCAACUUAACAACUUAAAGUCGGGUACAACACAACCAGCAGCCACAACAAAUAUAGUUCAACAAGUAUAUGCAUGGUGUGAAGUUUGUAGAAGCAGUGAGCAUAAAACAGAUGCAUGUUCUGUUAAUCCAGAUUCAGUCAACUACGUGGGGAAUGCAAAUCAUCAUGGUUAACAGAAUUUUGGCAAUACGUAUAAUAUAAAUUGGAGGAACCACUUUAAUUUCUCAUGGGGUGGGAAUCAGGCACAGAAUACAAAUUAGUAUAAGGGACCAGUGCAACCAAAUCCACAGCCGGUUCAGAAUAAUCAGGCGAAUGCCUCGAAUAGUAAUAUGGAGGAAAUGCUUAAGCAGUUGAUGGCUCAACAAGCACAGUUUACAGUGGACAUGAAGGCUCAACAGGCACAGUUUGCAGCUGAAUUGAAGAGUCAACAANNNNNNNNNNNNNNNNNNNNNNNNNNNNNNNNNNNNNNNNNNNNNNNNNNNNNNNNNNNNNNNNNNNNNNNNNNNNNNNNNNNNNNNNNNNNNNNNNNNNNNNNNNNNNNNNNNNNNNNNNNNNNNNNNNNNNNNNNNNNNNNNNNNNNNNNNNNNNNNNNNNNNNNNNNNNNNNNNNNNNNNNNNNNNNNNNNNNNNNNNNNNNNNNNNNNNNNNNNNNNNNNNNNNNNNNNNNNNNNNNNNNNNNNNNNNNNNNNNNNNNNNNNNNNNNNNNNNNNNNNNNNNNNNNNNNNNNNNNNNNNNNNNNNNNNNNNNNNNNNNNNNNNNNNNNNNNNNNNNNNNNNNNNNNNNNNNNNNNNNNNNNNNNNNNNNNNNNNNNNNNNNNNNNNNNNNNNNNNNNNNNNNNNNNNNNNNNNNNNNNNNNNNNNNNNNNNNNNNNNNNNNNNNNNNNNNNNNNNNNNNNNNNNNNNNNNNNNNNNNNNNNNNNNNNNNNNNNNNNNNNNNNNNNNNNNNNNNNNNNNNNNNNNNNNNNNNNNNNNNNNNNNNNNNNNNNNNNNNNNNNNNNNNNNNNNNNNNNNNNNNNNNNNNNNNNNNNNNNNNNNNNNNNNNNNNNNNNNNNNNNNNNNNNNNNNNNNNNNNNNNNNNNNNNNNNNNNNNNNNNNNNNNNNNNNNNNNNNNNNNNNNNNNNNNNNNNNNNNNNNNNNNNNNNNNNNNNNNNNNNNNNNNNNNNNNNNNNNNNNNNNNNNNNNNNNNNNNNNNNNNNNNNNNNNNNNNNNNNNNNNNNNNNNNNNNNNNNNNNNNNNNNNNNNNNNNNNNNNNNNNNNNNNNNNNNNNNNNNNNNNNNNNNNNNNNNNNNNNNNNNNNNNNNNNNNNNNNNNNNNNNNNNNNNNNNNNNNNNNNNNNNNNNNNNNNNNNNNNNNNNNNNNNNNNNNNNNNNNNNNNNNNNNNNNNNNNNNNNNNNNNNNNNNNNNNNNNNNNNNNNNNNNAGCUUUGAUGGAUUAUGAUCUGCAUGGGGAUUCGGAAGCAUUGGAAUUGGUCCAGAUUAUGAAUUUGGCUGUAAUAGAGACAAAUAAAACGUUGAUCGAGUCUUUUAAUAGACCAAUUGGUCCACCACCCAGGCCUUCAGUUGAAGAAGCUCCUAACUUGGAGCUUAACAUUCUUCCUCCUCACUUACAAUAUGUUUUUCUUGGUAAUCAAGAUACCUUGCCUGUUAUUUUGUCUGCAGGAUUAUCCGAUGUUGUCACGACCCGAUUUCUCAAGUCAUGAUGGCACCUACCUUAUCCCACCAGUAAGCAAGCCAAACCAUAGUCCGGAAUGAUAGGUAAUAGGCCAAUAGGCAGAGAUAAAAUAAAAGAUCGCGUAUGAUAAUAACAACUACAAUAAUAAGUGAAAACUAAGAAGAGAGCAUAUGUAUUAUAUCAAAACGAGAGGAGGAAAAAGGACCAAUUAUACAAAGGAAUCCCUCCCAAGACCUGAUAAGGUCAGUACUAGAGCCAUUACUAACAGGUACCCAGAGUAUUAGACAAAAAUAUAAAAUGGACACAAGUAGUCUCGAGGGAAAAAGACUAACUAGAGUAGAUGGAGGAGGAUCAGCCUCGGAAGAUAGUAAGCUCACCCUGCUCUAAACCAACACUGAAAGGUAGGAACCACGUCAACGGCGACUGCUAGUGCCCGAAUCUGCAUCAGAAAAAGAUGGAAAAGUGUAGUAUGAGUACCAAAAACCACGGGUACUUAGUAGGCAUCAUCGGUCGACUGAGCUCAAUACAGAAAAGGUAUAACUACAAUGCAAGGACGUAAUCUAAGUUAUUAAUAAAUAAAGAUGGAAAGGUAAACAACUACCAAGCUAUGCAACUGAUGUAAAGGAAUAAACUUGUGCGAUACAGAAAAAUAAUAAUGCAGUAAUAACAAUUAAAUCAAACAUAACCUAACAGAGCCCCCAUAAGCCUGCGAGGCACACUGAAGAAGACAAUAAACCCAACCGUACCCCCAUAAGCCGGUGGAACACACAAGUGAUGAAAGUAAACAUAAAUAAUCAGAUGCCGGACUCGAACCGGAACUCAGAGUAACCCCAACUAUAAUCAGAUGCCGGACUCGAACCGAAGCUCAUAGUAACAAUAAUAGUCAAAUGCCGGACUCGAACCGGAACUCAUAAUAAUAAUAAUAGUCAAUUGUUGGACUCGAACCGGUACUCAUAGUAAUCAUAAUAAUCAAUUGUCGGACUCGAACCGAAACUUAUAAUAACCAUAACCCACCAAUAAUAUUAAAAUCCAUUCCUUAUUAUAACAAUGUCAACGUCUAAAUAAUCAUCCACCAAUUUUAAUUAAAAAAGGGCUAAAUUAAAGAUUUUGCAAUUAAAUUUUAUUUCCCAAAGUGAUAGGUGUUAUAUUAUAUCGAAAGGUAAAAUACCAAAAUCUACUACAACGGGGUCCUAAUCCGAAUAAAUAAGACAGUUUAUACAUAUCAAAUAAUACGUAUCUACAAGCACUUAUCCAAAGCUAACAUAAUAGUUAACAUUUUCGGUAAGUAAGCUCAAUCUAAAAAUAGGNNNNNNNNNNNNNNNNNNNNNNNNNNNNNNNNNNNNNNNNNNNNNNNNNNNNNNNNNNNNNNNNNNNNNNNNNNNNNNNNNNNNNNNNNNNNNNNNNNNNNNNNNNNNNNNNNNNNNNNNNNNNNNNNNNNNNNNNNNNNNNNNNNNNNNNNNNNNNNNNNNNNNNNNNNNNNNNNNNNNNNNNNNNNNNNNNNNNNNNNNNNNNNNNNNNNNNNNNNNNNNNNNNNNNNNNNNNNNNNNNNNNNNNNNNNNNNNNNNNNNNNNNNNNAAAGGUACCAUAUAUAUAAAAGAGUAAGUUAGGCUAUGGUUGAGACAAGUGGCAGCACGUGGUCCAUUUUUCUAUUUAAGCAAAUUGCACCACAUAUAUAGAUAGAUAUAUUUAUUAAAUUAAUCCUAUUUCGCAUAUAUUCGGGUAUUGCAUAAAUUCAUGGUAAAAUAAUUAUAAUAUUUUGAAUAUAUCAUAAUUAAUAGAAAAUUAUUUCUACCAAAACCUCUAUUAUGUAAUAAUAAUAUAUUAACAUUUCUAAAUUUAUCAUCUCCGCUUAAAAUAUUAAUAAAUCAUAAAAUUCUAUUAUAAAUUAAUAUAAAUAUAUCAUCACUUAAAGAAUUUUAUAAAUAUCAAAAAUAUUCUAGAAGGGUACUAAAUUAUAUUUCUGUUAAAUACCAAAUUAAAUUAAAUAAUCCACGAUAUAUUUAAUUAGUACUAAAAUUAUAUGAAAAUACAGUAAAAUGACCGUACAGGUCAUUACAGCAUCCACUACUAAAAGGACUUUCGUCCGCAAAAGUAAAAGAUAAGGUCAUACCUGAGGGCUCAAACAGGUAGGGAUAUUGGGCGCGCAUAUCACGCUCGACCUCCCAGGUAGCCUCCUCAACUGGACGGUGACACCACGAACCUUAACUACCGGAAUAUCCCUGAAGCGCAACCGUCUGACAUCCCUCGCCAAAAUAGACGUUGGCUCCUCUACAAAUGCCAAUCCCAUGUCCAAUUGAACCGAGUCCCACUGAAGUACCUGUGACUCAUCUGGAAUAUACUGCCGCAACAUAGAUACAUGAAACAUCGGGUGAAUGGCUGAGAAAGCAGGUGGUAAUGCCAACACAUAAGCUACCUCUCCAACUCUUUGUAGGAUCUUAAAAGGUCCAAUAUAUCUAGGGCUAAGCUUGCCCCUCCUCCCGAACCUCAUCACACCCUUCAUGGGCGAUACUCGAGGAAGACCCUAUCAGCAACUCUGAAACUUAAUGGACAACGUCUGCGAUCGGCAUAACUCCUCUGUCUGCUCUGAGCUGCUCGUAGCCUGUCCUAAAUCACUCAAACCCGAUCCAACGAAUCACGAAGCAAAUCUGUGCCACGAGGCCUCACCUUAGUAGUCUCAAACCAACCAACAGGAGAUCGACACCUCCUACCAUAUAAUGCCUUAAAUAGGGCCAUCUGAAUACUCGAGUAAAAGUUGUUAUUAUAUGCAAAAUCUGCCAAAGGUAGAAACUGGUCCCACUGACCUCCAAAAUCCAACACACAAGCACGGAGCAAAUCCUCUAGAACCUGGAUAGUCCGCUCUGACUGUCUAUCAGUCUGGGGAUGAAAGGCUGUGCUAAGGUCAACCUAGGUCCCUAACUCCUUGUGAAAUGCCCUCCAAAAGCUAGAAGUGAACUGAGAGCCUCGAUCAGAAAUAAUGGACACAGGAACCCCAUGUAGGCAAACCACCUCCUAAAUGUAAACACGAGCUAACCUCUCGACACUGUAGGAAGCUCAAAUGGGGAUAAAAUGUGUAGACUUAGUCAAUUGAUCCACGAUGAACUAAAUGCUAUCAAAACCAUACGAUGUACGAGGAAAUCCACCUAUGAAAUCCAUAGUAACUCGCUCUUAUUUCCACUCGGGAAUGGGUAGCUGCUGAAGCAAUCCACCAGGUCUCUGAUGCUCAGCCUUUACCUGCUGACAACAAAGACAUCAAGCCACAAACCCUGCUAUAUCUCUUCGCAUACCACUCCACCAAUAAUGCUGCCUCAAAUCCCUAUAUAUCUUAGUUAUCCCGGGGUGAAUAGAGUAUCUGGAGCUAUAAGCCUCACGAAGAAUCAUCUAAUGCCACUAAAAGUUGGAUGUGUGGGCUGACUAGAGGGGACAGGAUUAUGAAUGAGAUUAUACGGGAGAAGAUGGGAGUGGCUUCGGUGGAGGACAAAGUGCGGGAAAGAAGGCUGAGAUGGUUUGGACAUGUGAUGAGAAGGGACGCGAAUGCCCCAGUGCGUAGGUGUGAGAGACUAGCAUUGGAUGGCUUCAGGAAGAGUAGAGGUAGGCCGAAGAAAUACUGGAAGGAGAUUAUCAGACAUGACAUGGAGCAGCUGCAGCUUACUGAGGACAGGGCCCUAGAUAGGAAGGUGUGGAGGUCGCGGAUAAGGGUAGAAGGCUAGCGGGAGGGUGUGGGUUGUAGAAAGCCACCAGGAGAGAUCUUGUGUAGCUGGGUUAGUAACCUUAGGUCUGUGUCUAUAUGUAUUUAUGGCAGGGAGUGUGUUACUUAUACGUGGGUGUCCCAUUCUUAUUUUCUCAGUUGCUAUCUGCUUAUUUCGUGUUGUCGUAUCUUUCGUAUUCUCGUAUUGCUCUGAUUUACUUUUUAUUAUUCCUUACGUUUUUUCUGUUAUGUAUUCCAUCUCUUUGUCGCCUAUUCUUUAUCUUGAGCCGGGGGUCUAUCGGAAACAGCCUUUCUACUUCUUCGGAGGUAGCGGUAUGGACUGUGUACAUCUUACCCUCCCCAAACCUCCAAACUUGAUCAUUCUUUUUUAAAUAAAACGCGCUUAUUUUAUUACUUGAACUAUUACUUCCUACGUUUUAAUUUACUCCACCCAUCUCAAUUUAUAUGAAGUAGUUUGACUUAACACGAUAUUUCAGUGAGAAAGAAAGCAAGAUUUUUAAAACUUGUGAAGUAAAAUGAGUCUUAGAUGUUUGUAUGACUAUAAAUCAUUUUAUUAAGACAUUUUAAAGUUAAAUGAUUAGGAGUAUUAAAUAUAAAAUGUGUCAUUCUUGUUUAGAAAGAUUAGUUGUUGUUGUUAUUUUAAUACAUCUGACAUAACUUUAAUUUACAACAACAACAAACCCAGUGUAUUCCCACGAAGUAAGGUCUGGGGAGGGUAAGAUGUACGCAGUCCAUACCUCUACCUCUAAAGAAGUAGAUAACUUUAAUUUAUGACCACAAAAUAAAAAAAAAACAUUAUUUCUCUUAAAUUUCAUAUCAAGUCAAACUUGAUCAUUCUUUUUUAAAUAAAACGCGCUUAUUUUAUUACUUGAACUAUUACUUCCUACGUUUUAAUUUACUCCACCCAUCUCAAUUUAUAGUAUUAUCUAUGAAUAAAAGUACACUUAGUUGAUUAGAUGGUGUUAGUUUAGAUAGAAAACUGAUAGUUAACCUAAUUAGCUUUAAAGUAUGUCUAACACAGAUCAUGGUAAUUCUAGUAUAAAAUAAAAAUGGUUGAUAAUUAGGUGUAAAACUCAUGAAAAAAAGUAAUAAUUUAAUUUGUUUUUGACCAUCAAUUUGUUGCUUCUGAAUAUAACAAUGGGUAUAUGUGAAAUUUGGAGUCAUUUUGAGUUAAUUUGGAAUCAUUUUGAUCAUUUAUGCACUUAUUGUGAUCGCCAUGAUUUGAUCAAAGAUUCUGACGGUCAUCAUAACUUGUUGAGGCAGUAGAUACAAAUUUUUUCUAAAUUCUAGUGAAAAUAUUUUAUUUGCACUUCUAAAAAACCUAUUUGUACAAAUCACUCAUUUUUAUAUGCCGAUGAAACUAUGUGGUAAAAUUAUACACCAUAUUAUUAUAAUGCAUAAUACAUUAAAUUUAAUAAAAUUUUAAAAAUAAUACAACAAAAACAUGCUCGGAGUAUUCCAAGUGGGGGAUCUAGAGAAGGUAAGAUGUAUGCAAACCAUACCAAUAUCUUUUCGGGGUAGAAAAAUUGUUUCAGAUAGACCGUCGGCAAGAUUUUUAAAAUAAUAAAUCCAUUAAUAUUUAGGCCUUCUAUAUGAUCUUUCUAACAACGUAAGACACAUUCUUGGUGAAUGGAUUGUGUUUCAAGCAAUAUAAACUUAACUGAAUACUCAUAAAUGAAUGAAUAUAUACAUAUAUAUAUAUACACUUGAAAGAAUACAAUAAUGAGAACUAAUUUGUAGUAUAAAAAGCAAAGCAAUACCCUCUCUUCUUCACUCAGGAAUUCAAGGCUUCUUGAACAAAUNNNNNNNNNNNNNNNNNNNNNNNNNNNNNNNNNNNNNNNNNNNNNNNNNNNNNNNNNNNNNNNNNNNNNNNNNNNNNNNNNNNNNNNNNNNNNNNNNNNNNNNNNNNNNNNNNNNNNNNNNNNNNNNNNNNNNNNNNNNNNNNNNNNNNNNNNNNNNNNNNNNNNNNNNNNNNNNNNNNNNNNNNNNNNNNNNNNNNNNNNNNNNNNNNNNNNNNNNNNNNNNNNNNNNNNNNNNNNNNNNNNNNNNNNNNNNNNNNNNNNNNNNNNNNNNNNNNNNNNNNNNNNNNNNNNNNNNNNNNNNNNNNNNNNNNNNNNNNNNNNNNNNNNNNNNNNNNNNNNNNNNNNNNNNNNNNNNNNNNNNNNNNNNNNNNNNNNNNNNNNNNNNNNNNNNNNNNNNNNNNNNNNNNNNNNNNNNNNNNNNNNNNNNNNNNNNNNNNNNNNNNNNNNNNNNNNNNNNNNNNNNNNNNNNNNNNNNNNNNNNNNNNNNNNNNNNNNNNNNNNNNNNNNNNNNNNNNNNNNNNNNNNNNNNNNNNNNNNNNNNNNNNNNNNNNNNNNNNNNNNNNNNNNNNNNNNNNNNNNNNNNNNNNNNNNNNNNNNNNNNNNNNNNNNNNNNNNNNNNNNNNNNNNNNNNNNNNNNNNNNNNNNNNNNNNNNNNNNNNNNNNNNNNNNNNNNNNNNNNNNNNNNNNNNNNNNNNNNNNNNNNNNNNNNNNNNNNNNNNNNNNNNNNNNNNNNNNNNNNNNNNNNNNNNNNNNNNNNNNNNNNNNNNNNNNNNNNNNNNNNNNNNNNNNNNNNNNNNNNNNNNNNNNNNNNNNNNNNNNNNNNNNNNNNNNNNNNNNNNNNNNNNNNNNNNNNNNNNNNNNNNNNNNNNNNNNNNNNNNNNNNNNNNNNNNNNNNNNNNNNNNNNNNNNNNNNNNNNNNNNNNNNNNNNNNNNNNNNNNNNNNNNNNNNNNNNNNNNNNNNNNNNNNNNNNNNNNNNNNNNNNNNNNNNNNNNNNNNNNNUACCAUACCUACCUAACUACUCUUACAAAUACUUAUCAUGAUAAACUAUCAUAGAAUUUCUUAAUAAAAAUAUGCAAAAACUACUAAGGCUAAAACAAACAACUACAAAAUAUUAUAAUAAAACCAAUUUUAAAAGAUAGAUUAUCUAGAAUAUUUUAAAGUUUUAAUCUUAUAUAUACUUAAAAACAUAGAAAUUAUAGAUAUAAAAAAAAUAAUAUUAGAAAAAGUAAUAGACUAUGAAAUUGAAACCAUAAAUUGGCUAGAACAGUUAUACGAAGAAAUUUACCCAGAAGGAUAUUAUACAGAUUAAGAGAUGUUAGAAUAUAUUAGAAAAACUAGAGAAAAUCAAGAAAAUCUAAAUAAUGAAAUUAAUUAUAGAAAUCGAAUCAGGAAAAUAAUGGAAAAUCUAAAAGAAAAAUAAAUAUGGAUCGAAAAAACCUUAGAAAAUUUAGAAAAAAGUACAUGUGAUAGUUUAUAUAAUUUAAAAAACUCACUACGAUAAGAACAACACAAGAUAAUAAAUAACAUUGAAAAUCUAGAAUUAGAUAUACAUUACAGUACAGAUAGGAUAAAAUAUUAUACAGAAAUUUGUAACUCUGCAAUUACUACAGGAUAAAAUAAUAAACCAAACAAAUUAAUGAAUGUAUCUUACGAAAAAAGUAAAUCAUUAAAAAGAGAUUGAAACAAAAUUUAAGAAAUAUCCACACACAAAGAAAAAUAGAUUCACUAGGUACCUAAUAAAUCUAUUUCAUACGUCAGAUAUCACAGUGUCAUGCAUAUUUAAUAACUUUGCAGAACUUCUGUAAUGUAGAAUACUAACACAAGUAUAACCAUAACACAAAUUUUAAAUCCAAGGUUGAAUUAUGUGUUUUAGUUUGGGAGCCUAGGAGUAAAUAGAAAAGUUGAUGCCAUGUGACAAGGAGGUAAUGGGUUCAAGUCUUGGAAACAACCUUCAACAGAAAUGCAAUCUAAGGCUACGUAUAAUACACCCUUGUAGUGGGCCCCUUCCCCAGAACCUGCGCAUUACGGGAGCUUUAGUGCACUGUUCUUCCAUUUUAAAGUCCAUAUACAAAGGCAAAUAUUGAAAAGUUAUUUUUGAUCUCUUAUUUGGAAAGACCUUUUUCCUUUCAAAGUGAAAUAAAAACUGGAAUUUGGGGUUUGAUGUAUGCAUACUAGAAAUGUUUCUAUAUUAUGUGCUGCUUGUUACUCUAUUGCUAGUUAUCCACUGCCAAGUGUCAUCCUUAAACUCCUUACAUUUUUGGCUAUGUGAUGUAAUAAAGUUGUUUCUCAAGAAGACUGGAAAUUAAUUUCUUACAGCUUCCUAUAUGGUAACAUCCUUUUGGUGGAUGAUCAUCAAGCCAAUAUAUAUGCAUCAAUAAUGUUUUUUCAGGCAGUCUGGAAAUAAUUUGUUUACACCUUCCUACUUGGUGUUUUUUUCUAUAUGAAGUUCUCAUUCUUAAUAAUAUAUCUCAUAUUGGGUGCAUCCUUUGGUUCAUCAGCAAAAAGAACUGAACUGAAGGCUCUAGAAUUUUCCCUCUCCAUCUAUGACACUGUUGAUAUUUACAGUUUUACAGUUGAUCUGGUCUAUAAAGAAUGGUAAGAUAAAGCUAAAACAACUUAACACAGAUAUUCUUUGUUCAAUCUAUUUCUAGAAACAUUUUCAUCACAUCUUCCUUUCCUGCAUACAUUAUCAGAAAGUGUUUGUGUCAUCACAUGAGCAGGUAUUUUUUAGAGUCUCUACAAGGUCAUAUACCUUUUCAAGGAAGGGCAUUCAAUAAAAUGAUAAAAUAUCUAGGGGUUAGUUAAACUUAUUUCUCUAAAGAUGCUAAUCUAUUUCUUUUUCCCCAAAUGAUGAGUAGGGAUGGACAUGAUAUGGUAUAAAAUGAAUUACCAUAUCGAAUCCAAUUUGUGAUUUUGGUAUUAUGAUAUUUGGUAUAGUAUAUGGUAUACAUUUUAUUUUUUUCGGUAUAUGGUAUAGUAUUGGAUAUUUAUAAAUGACAUGGUGAAAUACCGAAUACCAUAUAGAGGUAUAUAUAUAAUAUUAACAAAUAUUCAACUUAGUAUUAGUAUAAAAAUGUUAUGACAUUGGAAAUUUUGCUUCUAUAUCUUAUUUUCUUCUUUGCAUUUAAAGCCCCAACGGAACUUAGAGCUAUUUUUCUUUUGAUAACAGCAUUGUACUUUGAGAAUUUCUACGUUCCAAUAUUAUUAGUUUCUUAAAAUUUGGACAUGGAUUAAAUUGUAAUCUUUGAUUGUAUGUGCACGAAUUAGAUAUGCGUAGGUCCUGCAUAACCCUUUCUUGUUUGUGACAUAAUGGUGUAAGAUUUACAUAUGAUUAUUCAAAGAAUAAAGAGGAGUUAUUGUCAUUUUUACUAUAUUAUGGCACUAAUCCCAAUUAUAGGGCAUUAUCUUUGCUAAAGUGUGGUUGUAGAUAAUCAUUUAAAGAAAAUGCCGAAAAGGAAAACCGACAAAGCAUAUGUAUUGGACAAGAAAAAGUAUCUUGCAAGACUGAGUGUAGAUAAGGUGGGAAAAGUUCUUCUAAAAUGGUAAUCAUUCUACCCCAAUAAAUUUUAUUUAUUGAUGUUACUAUUUUUACCAGUAUAUGAAACCAGUUGUAUAGAAGAAAGGUAGAGACAUUACGUGUCAAGAUUACAAGUUUUUUUUAGUUUAAAAUGAAAUUCCUUGCUCUGGAUGAAAUGGUAGUGAUGCUAGAUGCAAACUGUAGACUCAAGAAAAAGAUGAUGUAAUCCAGCAGUAAUUAACUUAUUAUAGUGGAAUGACAUCAUUGGAAGUGUCGUAAACGGUGUAUAUUAGUUACUAGAAUACAUAAAUAGAAUGGACAUGGAGAAUGUCUAGACCAAAAUUAUUAUCAAUGGGGAACCACAAAAAUUGUGAAUAAAAUACAGUCAAAUGUCAUUAAGAGAAACUGAACUAACCUGAAAUAAAUUACUUUUGUAUUUCGAUGAAUAUUUUAUUACUUGGCCUUUUGCAGUGUCUAUCCAUUAUUAGCUUAGAAAUUAUCUUAUGUCUCUUAUGUCACUGGAAAAUAACUUUCUAAUUGAUGACUGAUUUGUAAAAUAGUUUAAUACGAAACAUUCUUUUUAGUCCUUCUGCUUUUGCUUUAAUGUGGUGAAGGGAAAUUGGAGUAGCAGUUUUGGAUGUCUUGUAAGGGUUGUGGCCUAUUUGUCUGCUAUCGGGCAAAAGAUCUGUAGGCUGCCUCUUUCAUAUACGUAGUUGAUGAGGCACUUAGUACUAUUGCGGCCGAGACAAAUACACAGCUAUUAUAUCUUUGCGAGUUUGUUACUUUGUUAUCCUCGAUGUAUUUGCUAAUAUGUAACUUGGUGCAAGAGGCGUAAAGUCCAAAUGGCACCCUUGAUCUUAGUUCUUCCAUUGAAGAUGGUUUGGUGGAAAACAAAGUGGCCAAUAACCUUCACACUGUUGGCUGCGCAUCAAGAUCUAUCAUGAUAAUUGCUUAUCUAUUUGCUUUUGAAUGACACAUACAAGAGAGUAUUGCAUCAAUGGCUCAAUAGUAUGUCCGGAGCAUUAUUUUAUCAUUUAAGAGAGUUGCAUUAGCACUUUCACCCUCUCACUUGGGUUCUCAUGGAGGUUUUCGUCCACUAUUUGGGACUCUUGAAGCACAUACCUUAGCUCUCUGGAUACUAUGUGAGGGAAAACUAAUCAUUUGGCUUUGCUUUUGAGUUUACAUUACUAGUUUGUUUCAUAUUUUGGUUUAUUAUAAAUGAAAGAUUUUGUUUUGUGAUGCAUUUAUAUAUAAUUGUAUAUUAUAAUUUAUAAUAUAUAUGUAAAUACUAAUUUACAGUAGGGGUGAAUAUUUUAUCUAAACCAUCAAUUGGUAUUUGAAGUAGUUGCAAUAAACAGGUGAGAAAACUGUUGCAUUAUCUGAUGAAUCAUUGCAAUAGCUAGAAAAAAAUGUUGCAACAAACCAAAAAAAUCAUUUCACUGGGUAUCCAAAAUAGUUGCAAUAAGUCAUGAAAAAUCAUUACAAAAUACAAAUAAGUGUUGCAAUAGAAUUUUGAAAUAGUUGUAAUAGGCUAAUAAAAUUAUUGCAAUAGGGUUAAUGCAAUGCUUUAUUGUCGUUGCAAUAGGAUCUAUUGCAAUGAGUGACUAUCAUUGCUAUAGCAAUGUUCAUCCAUCCCAAAAUGAGGUGAACAAAACUGUUGCUAUAGGUAGGUCUAUGGCAAUGGUUGGCAUAACCAUCGCAUAAUCGUUGCUAUAUAUACAUGCCUAUGCUCACAUAUGGGACCUCAUCCAAAUUGUUGUGGUAGCUCUAUGAAAAUGGUUUUUAUGUCUAUAGCAAUGGUUUUUGAUCUAUUGCCAUAGGGGUAAUUUCUAGUAGUGCUAGAAUCUUGGUGUCUUUAGUCCUUUCUUUAGAUUUCUUACUUCGUUUGGCUAACACGUAUUGGGGCCUUUUAGUAGAGGGAGCUAAAACCAUAUAGUCUGUGAUUGCCUUUAGGAUGGAGCGAGCUACACAGUUCAGGUUAAAGGUUUAAACUAUCAUGUUCAAGACCCUUUAUCCUAUCAUGACAUCCUAUAUAUGUAUAUGUGAAUAUUGUCUAUGUCGUUUUGAUUGGUUUUUGGCAUUGGUACAUUUUAUCACUUUUUCUAAGUUACAUGUCAGUGCUUAUAUAAAUCACCUAGGUGAUUUGUACUUGAAAAAUUUCCUUGGUUUUGGACUUACUGAAGGGUACAAAUCGUACCCUUGAACAGGAGUUCGAGGCUGUCUUAAGGGUUCACUCGUACCCUAGGCAGUAUAGUUGACUUAGAUACUUCCCAAGAUAUGACUCACUAGGGUACAAAUUUAAUUGGAGCAUACGAGUAGUGCAAGGCAAGUCGUAUGGUGCACGAUUAUCUUGGUCUUGUGGAAUCCGUCCAUUAGCAGUGCAAGACAAAUCGUAAAUGGUUUAGGAUGACAAUGUUACAUAGACCAGGUAAAGAUUUUAAAGGCAUGCUAAACUUGGUUCCCUUCCUCGGCAUGGAUAUAUAUAUAUAUAUAUAUAUAUAAGUUUGUAUGCAUUAUGAAUAAUUUUACUUAAUUUGAUAAAUUUUAUAAUUUAAUCCUUAUCUUGAGUGCAUGCUAGUGUUCACCUACUAACCCAUCUUUGGAUAGCUGCAUACCAUGUUAUGUAGGGACCAACCAUACUAAUUCUCCUGCUUAGUGAUUAGAUUUAGGGACAAUCGAUGUUGGAUUGAAGUGGUGAGCUUCCAUAGUUCGGAAGGCAUCUACUUCAUGUCAUGGUGUACUUUGCAUACUUCUUCUCUUUCAUAAACUUUGGUUUAAGCUAUGGUCUGGGGCAUGUCCCGACUAGGUACUCUUUGCUUUGUCUAGAGGCUUUGUAUAGAGAAUUGUUGACUUAUGUAUCGUAUGGGUUAUUUUUGUAUAUAUAUACAUACAUACAUACAUUGGCUUAUUAUCAUGUUAUUGGUUUAUAGUUUCCGCAUUAGUUAGGUUGGUUAUUGGGUGAUUGGACUUGGUCGGGUUGGUCUUGGAUAUAGACUUAUCCAAACGUCACCACGUGGUCGGAUAUGCUAUCUUUUUAUAUGUUCAAACUUCAACAGACUAAAGGUAUGCAUUUUGAUGUUGGGUUGGGUAACGGGGGCGAAUCCAAUCCCUGGUUAGGUUUGGGAUUGGCCAUUACGACAAGACCCUAGUUUGGGUCGUGUCAAGUUGGUAUCAGAGCUUUAGUUUUUGGUGUCAUGGGGUGUCAACAAAGUCGUGUCUCAUAGAAUCUUACUUAUAGGUGUGUCAUGCACCAUACUUAUAAUUGGAAGGCUAUGAUGAAUUUAGCAUUUUUAUUUUUUUGGUUAUUCAACUUUCGGGCUAUGGAGUCUAAAGUCUUGAACUCUUCUUUGAAUCUUCCUUGGUUCACUCUUCGAAUCAGGACUUCUCAAUAAUGCAAAGGUUCUUGGAAUCUGACCUGUCCCACUGGUGCCACCUAAUGAGGCACAAGUCUGAUUUAGGGUUAUAACUUUUGGAUUUCCUCGUGGAGUCCCAUCGAUCUCCACUAACCUUGUUUCAGAAGGUGGUGCUCAUUCUCGGUUACCUCAAGGAGUGGUUACCAAUUCUGUGUUUCAUUGUUCUAUUAAUUUGUUGACCCAAAGAGUGACAACUCUAUUAUGUCAAUCCUUACAGGGAAGAAUGAGGUAAGGUUAGAGAUAGGAAAGGUAAGGGGAUCUCGAUUUCUUGGACCAAAGGGGAAACCAAUAUUAUAGUGCUAAAUGGUUCAAAGGGAAGAGUUGGGUGGGUCUUAACUCUUGUUCUAUGGCUUGUGCUCCCUACACAAAUCACUUAAGAGGCAAUUUUUUUCUAAUUAGAAAUGCUUAUAGGUCAUAAGGUGCCUAAUCUCUAGCUAAUGAGGCCCAAUUCGCAUCAUCUUAUUCUUUUUAUAAAUUUUGUGCUCGAUCGCACUGUGGUUGUUCUAAGAAAGGGAGGAAUCGGUGUCUUGGUUGUGGUUAGUUGGGUCAUAUGCAUCGAUAAUGUCCCAUGAGGGUUGCCACUUGGGUAAAUAGGACAUUGGUUGCUACUUCUCUAGAUCUUGCACCCAGGGGUUCUACUUAUGUCUCCGACAUUGGUUGGGAUCAUCUCAGUGACCUUAUUGUCCCUCAAGAAUCCGAGGCAUCUUGUGAUGCCGGCACUGGUAUAUUGAAAAACUCCUUUCUAAGGUAUGUGUUGUGUCUGUUGGCAAUAAAUGGGUGUUGUUGAAUUUGUUUUACUCGGAUAUGGUGGGUUUUGAUGUCAUUCGGAGAAUUGAUGGGUUAUACUCGUGCUAUCCAUCAUUAGAUUGCUGGAUCUAUAAAGGUUAUCUUUAAGCUUCAUGGUAAGUCUAUUGUGAAGUGGAAGGAUGGUUUCAUUCCCUAAGAAUUGAGGGAAAUGUUGUAUUCUAUCUUAGAGCUCAGAGAUUGGUCUGCAAAUGGGUAUCUCAAUUAUUGGUCAGUCCUGGUUAAAUAUUCUAACCCAAAAGUUCUUUCUUUGCAUUCGAUUUUUGUGAUGCACGAACUUCUUAGUGUACUUUUUGAUGACCCUCAUGGUGUCUGUUUAAUGGGUACUUUGGUUUGGGAUUGGUCUUGUUUCAGACAGUUUCCCAAUUUCUAUUUUUUUUAUAGAAUGGUUUUGGUUGGGUUAAAUGAGCUUUAGGAGAACUUAAGGGGUGUUUUAGAUAAAGGUCCCAUCUGUUCUAGCAUUUCUCCAUGAGGUGCUUUAAUGUUUUCAUAAAGAAAAUGGUUUCUCGAGAAAUAGAUAGGUUAUCGGAGGGUGACUAAGGAGUUUAGGGUGUCAUUCUUGUAGGGUGGACCUUGUAUGUAUAUUCCAUUUUAUAUGGGGUACUUUAAUUAUAGUAAAUAGUGGUUGGUAGAUCCUAGGCUUGAACCUAGAUAUUUGAUCAUGGUAUAGAGAGUAUGUUAGCUCGUGAUAGCAAUGCAAAAAUUACAAUGGUAAAUUUAUAGGUUCGAUGAGGUUAAUGAUUGAGGAAUACGACAAUGGUAAAGUUGUGUCUUAUAGGUCGGGGAUUCAGGUUGAAUGGAUGGAUAUGGGUUGGGGGUUUAAUCAUCAGAUAGGUUGGAUCAUAGGGCCUGCACGUGUCUUUGUCCUUAUACUUGUACUUUAUUUUUGGCAUGAAAUUGAUUAUUAAAUUCACGGUUUUGAUAAUGGGUUUUGGCACAAUGGAGAGACUUAACAUGAUUACUCAUUUGAAUUGAUUUUUCUAUGGAUUAUGAUGCAUUAUUCAUGUUUUAUAAAUGUUUACGAACAUUGUGUGAGGCAUGGGAAUGGUAAAUAGAUUUUGGGGUACUAUGGAUUCCCCAGUUACUUGGUUCUUGUCUUGGAAAUUUUAUGCCCUCCAAACUAAUUGUGAAAUUGCCAUUGAAUAUACUUUUUUCAUAUGGUUUGACUAUUCUUAAGUCCUUUCAUUGCAUAAAUAAUUAAAGGAGCAUGAAUUGGUUUUUGAGGGGUUCAAAUGAUUUUGAAAGUCCUUGGUGGCCAUGGUUUGAUUUUACAUGAUUUUGGUUUAAUUGGAAACCUUGAAGUCAAUUUGGUGUAAUAGUUUUUGCAUGUCUGUUCUGAGCUCUAAGUUACAAUAGCAUGAAUAGGAUUUUUGGUAUAGGAGAACCAAGCGUCCUUGGCGUAUGUCGUUGGUGGUACCUAUUGGAGUGGAGUAUGAUGCUUUUAGGGGUAAUGGGUGAAGGUUAAUUGUUAGUCUAAAAUUUUACUUUAGCAGUGGACUUCAAGGAAAGGUCGGGUUGCAUAUUCUGGUGAUACUUUUCUCUCUCGAUUAAGAGGGUACUCUAGUAGUGUUGCAUGCAUUCUUAUAGUACUUAUUCCUAAAGUUUCUGUUUGGUAUUCUCUGUGUUCCCUAAAUAUGAGUUUUGACUUAUAUUACAUUACUCAUGGUAUAUGUGGUUGUGUUUUUUUUGGUGUCCAGUCUUAAUGACUCAUUUUCUAUAUGGUUUGGUCGAGAUGAUUCUACAUUAUAGUCUAGGUGAUUGUUGUGAAGUACUUCGUGCCUGUGGUGCCGUAUCUUGUUUUGGGGGUCUCUGUCUUGCCUUGGUGGCCUAGAUUAUUCUCAUAAUUUGGAUUCCAUAAAUGAUGGUAGAGGCUUCGAAAGCAUAGUUGUGUUGUGGAAUAGGGAAUAUAAAAGUCCCUAAGUGAGAAAGAGUCAAAGGUGACUACCAAAGUUAAGGUUUUGGAAGGUAAAGGUAAGAUUGAUGUCAUGGGAAAUGGUCAGGAAAAGAAUGGGUGGUGAAAACCUUGUGGAGGUUGUAAAAAGGUGCUAGAUCUUUUGAUGGAUAGAUCAUACCAAGGGAAUAUAAGUCAUAGGCUUGAAUGUUAUGAUUGGUAGACAUACCAAUAGUUGUGUUGGACACUUAGGAUAUGUUAUGAGGAAUAGUUUUAUAGUUUGUUUUCAUGGCAUAGUAGUGUAUUGUUUUAGGUGCUUAAUUAUAAGUUGGGGGGGGGGAGGUUCAAUAUAGUGGUUGGAUAAGGUUUGUCCAUGUCCUUUACUUAUGGUUUCCAUAUAAUGGUGGUGGAAGAAGAGUAGUGUUUUGAGAUAGAUGUAAGGAGUAAAUCUUGGUGGCCUAAGUUAACUCUUACGCAUUUUAGGUAGGCGUGAAUGUGGAGUCCAUGGUGUAUAGAUAGACUCAAGCUUUCGUUGUGGUGUAUCUUGGUAUAUUCUAAAAUGAAUGUGGCUUUCCCUUGCAUUAGUCCAUUCAGCUAGUACUCUAUGAGUUUGCAUUGGCGUAAGGUGUGGAUGGUCCUUAGUUGGUUGAUUUCUUUAGGUAGUAGUGUUAUCUCAGGUUCUUUGUUCUUUAGGGGAGGUUCCGAUGAGGAUCUUGGGUUGGUAAGCUCGUUAUUUGUGAACAAGUAAGGUAUGGAUUUAAAAAAGGUUCCAUGGUGGAACUAAAAUCUCGAGAAAGCUAUUUGGGAGGCAGAAGUGGACAUGGAGUUCAAGGAUCCGCGUUGGUUCCUUGUUCUAGAAAUUCGUGCGUACAUUGUUUUUUAUUAAACACAUCUUGUUUUCUAACUUAGUUAAAGGUGUGGAAUGGUUCCUUUUGCGUAUUUGUUUUCUAACUUAGUUGGUGAUCGGAAUGAAGUUGUUGGGGUGUAAAUUGUGCUUGGGGUGUAUGAUGAGAGCUGAUUUUUCCACUCAUUCUCACUAAAUAUUUGUGCACAUUACCUUUCUUUAAAUAAAUGAAUGAGACAUAUCAGUUAUAAAAUGCGUUAAUAUCCACUAUUUGUAGGCAUAUAGUUAAGGAGAUCAAAUAAUAUGAAAUGGGGCUGAAAAUGAUAAAAAGGGAGCAAAGAAGAAUGCAGUUGAAGACUUGGACUACAUAAGCCUCAGUUGCCUCAACUGCGGUCCUCAAUCCAUGAUUGCGAUCAGUAAAGACCGUCAACACAAUGCAGUCGCAGACAGUUAUGCCCUAUCGCGGUUCAACGGGAAUAUGCCCACGGGUAGAUUUGUAAAAGUACUUAGAAGAAUUUCAAACAAUAUAUAAGCAAGAAACCCUUUCUUCUUUGGGUAUUGCUUACCUCAUAAGAUUUUUGAAUUGAAAACUUGAAACUCUAAUUGGGCAAGUGUGCAAUUAAUUUUGGAGCCUUGAUUUCUUAGCAUUUUUUUGUUAAGAAUGAAUGCUUUGGAUCAUCCUUAUGGUAUAGCUCUCUUUACUUUCUUCAUUAGUAGCUAAGUAAUUUAGUCUUGGGAUUAUAUUGAACUAGAGUGUAAUUUGUGUGUUGGUAUUGUUGUGGUUGAAUGAUUGUUAUUUUUUGAGUAAGGAUUUCACCAUUGCUUGAGUUUAUGAGUUGGAAUUUGAUGGGUGAAAGCCCCAAAUCUCUAAAUGGGUUUGGUAGGUUAAAACCCCAAACUCUAGAAACCCUUCAUCAUCCUCGAAAGAGGGAUGAAGGUAAAUAUGAGGUAACCUAUAACAUGCUUGAAAGAGGGUUAUAGGGGGAUAAGGUGAUGGUGGACAAUUAAGCAUAUGGUUUGGUCCCUUUUGCAAUCUUAGAAAUAAGUAAACGAGUCUAAAUGGUUGUCUUAGAAAUGUCUUUAGACUAUAUUUUUAGUUGAUGGUGCCCUGACCUUAGAUAUAUCUUAGAAAAUACCACAAAACCUUGUAAUUUAUUAGUGAAAUCAUAUAUCUUAAGUAACGGGUAUUGUCAUGACUUGAGACUACCCUCUAGUCAAAAUAUGGUGCUUAGAGUCACAAGUGAACACAAUCUAACCCAUGGACUGUAAUGACACUAAGAAUAUUGUAUAAAUAAGAAUAACUGAGUGUAAGCUAAAAUUUAUAUAAUAUAAAAAAGUCUAAAAAAAAUAUUAAUACUGAAUACCAUGUAAAUUCUAUAGACAAAACCAUAAAGUUUAAAAUACUAGUCUGCCUGUCUAAAAGCCUCUACUAAGAUUAGAUGCUGGGACAAGCCCCUAACUAACUAUGACUGUCUAAAACAUAAAAUAAUAAUGAAAAUGAACUACCAAAAAACUAGUCCUUGAAUGAUAAGGACUCACAAAACUAUGUUGCUAAGAUGAUGUGGGAUCGUACUAACCGCGAGAUGGAUGUUGUACGUCUAAACUUAUAUUAUAAAAUAGUAUAGCAAAAAAGAAGGUAUGCAUCUAGUACUUUAAAUAUAUUGAGAAUGUGAGGUAUGCAACUACUUUAUAUGAAAUAAAUAUGUUGAAUAUGAUGUGAUAAACUAAACAUAAAACUGAGGCAUGUAAAUUAAUUCAAUGAGAAAGUGUAUAUGUAACUAAACAAUAAUAUACUCCCUUUGUCCUUUUUUAUGUGGCAUCUUUUGUCUUGGGAUGGUGUUUAAGAAAAAAGAACUUUUAAGACUUGUGGUCCAAAAUAAUUCUUGAAUAUUUGCUUAGUUGUGCAUCAUUUCAUUAAGGGUCGAAAGGGAAUUUUAAAGGUAACGUUUUCCCAUUAUAGUAAGGAGACAUUCUUUUUGGGAAUGGCAUAAAAAGAAAUGUAUGCCACACAAAAUAGGAUAAAGGGAGUACUAAAUAAACAAAAUAUAGGUUCAUACAGUGUCUAAGUUUGCACUGUGGGAGCUGUUGCUAACCAACAUACUACAUUUAAGCUAAACAGAGUCCAACCUUCAACCCCAUCGUGAUUUAUACCUGGCCAAGUGUACGAACACUAACUCAUAUGAAUCUACUAAAUGGAUAUCUAGAAGGACCAAGGUGUCAAGACUGGUCUGAUGUGUGACCCUUUUGAACCUUUAGUGCUGUCAUAGUUUUGAGACUUAAGGACUUCUACUAAAGGUCUCAUCCCAACUAAUAAGUGAACCUUCAUCCCCACAUUUUCUUGGUGCUUAAUACUCCUCCCAAUUGAAUUAUACUAAAUAAAUAACAAGCUUAUACUACUGAAAUUGGGGGAUUAGAUAGUAGAAACUUUAUUUAAAAGCAUCCUAAAAAUGUGAAACUAACAAACUUAACCUUCAAUAAUCGAUGCAUAAAAACCUAAGUCAUUGAGUGUUCAUAACCUACCAUCUUUACAGAAUGCAACAAUGUAUGAUAGUUUCUAUAAUUUGAAUGAAAUGUAAAAUUACAUUACACAAGUCAAUAGUUAUGAGUUUACUGUAUACACUGAGGUUUCACUAGUAACAUAAGCAAGGAAUACCAAAUUUCAUAGGAAACAUGUAUUCAUGGAUUCUUCAUGGUAAGGAACUAUAGUACAAAGGACCUCGUAGUUUUCUUAAAUCCCUAAGCUCCAAGGCUUGAAUUAAACUGAGAAAUUGAGUCUACUUAGGGACUCAAUGUGUGAAAAGAAUGCACUAAUGAAAUCCCACAUACCCAACAAUGAAGAUCUUGGACAUGAAACUUGAAAAUUGAUAAACCCUAGUUUUAGCUUUAGGGAAAAAAUCACAUAUUCUCUCUGAACAUUCUAAGUGUCACUUUGUUUUGGAGUUAAUGAGAGAAUUGGGUAAUUUAAACUUAUUAAUCUGUCUUAAGAUAGUAAAACAACAUAGUUUAGGUGAUUAAACAAAGGGAAAAAAUUAUUUUCCCCUAAUAAUAUAUAACUAAAAAAUAUGAGUAACAUGAUGGACGUACCUUUCAAUGAUCAUUGAAUCUACCAACAAUUGAUGGUUGGCUCAUUGGUUUAGAGAUUAUUUUUGAUAGUUCUCUGGACUCCAUUAUGCAAGCCAAGUAAUGAAUCAUUUAAUCCUACAAUGAUUGUUCCUUGUUUGGUCACUGGAUGUCCAUGCUGAACCAACCUUGAAACCACAAUCCCUACCAAUGAUCUUUUAUUAUAUCAACGGUCGUUGGUUUGUGUAACUGCUAGGGGUAUUUAUCAAUCCCCAGGACUUUAGGUAUUUUUCAUAUAGACAAACACCUACAAUGAAUACGUGAUAGCAUGACCUGUAAGCUAAUACAUGGCUUAUUGAUAACUGUCAUGACUGAUACUAAAACUGAUAACAUGGACAACUGUAUCUGACAGUCCUGUAUAUACUGAAAUUUGAAGAACGCCCUGAGUUCUUUUACUGAGACUGAUACUAAAAUUGUGGGAAGUAGUGUUUAACCGACAUGCCCCAUGUAUCCCAUUAUGGCUAAGCUGGGGUUCAAUCUCUGCCCCGACUGGAGGGGUAUCAAUACCGUGCAACGGGUAAGGACAUCCUGUGAGUGACCCUUAUCUGGCGGGUACUCAAUGAGAACAGUGGGAACCCUAAAUUGAUGGGUUAAGCCACCUCAUCAACCCUAAUCUAACAGGUUAAGAUGUCUUAACCUACGCUAGCUACGUAGUUUUGGAACAUAAAGAUUGCUACUAAGAAUCAUACCCUGAACUGGCGGGUGAGUUCCCAUCCUUGGGUUUACUCGGUGCUAACCUCUACUCCCAUAUGGAGGGACUGGACAUGAAUAACUGACUGUGCAUGACUUAAUCUUACUGGAUUCCGUUGACUAACGAAAUGUUAUUGAUAUCUGACAACUGACUCAUAUCAUGAGGUUUUCCUGAGUCACAUGACUGACUGAAGUCUAUGGAAUCAUAGCUUGAGUUCGGAUAUCCUGAAACAUGACAUAGAUUUAGGCACACAGCUAUAGUUUUCAGUUACAAGUACCCCCAGGACUCGAUGAAAGGAAACUGACACACAUGACUGACUUGAUCAUAAGAGUAGAGUCCAUAAUUUAUAAUAUCAUAAGUAGGGAUAUCAUACUAAGCAUGGUUAUCAACAAUGUAUUGCAUGGAAAGGAUUUCAUAUCACAUAGAAGUACUUGCACAAUCGUAAUAUCAUGUUCAUUGCAUAAUCAUAUUGGCAACACAUACCAAUAGCAAGGAAGUUCAUGUGGAUUGAAUGGUUAUCAUACAUCUUGUUCAUAAGUAGGAUUUGCAAGUAAACAUAGCAUAAUCUCAUAAGAAUAGUUCAUGAGUAUUCCAACAACAUUUACAAGGCACAUUAACAACAUAGAAGUCAUUGGAACAUAAGGGCAUAUCAUGAAUCCUUCACUUAGUCACAAUUUAGCUAUAUUGCAUGAUUUCUAGUUUCUUAGGCAUUUUAUCAAACACCUUACAUGAACAUCUUAAGCAUAGGUGAAAUCACCAAAUUAUACAUCAUGAACAACCAAACUUACAUGUUUCCAGCUCUUAUGAUAUCAUGAAUUUAUAAAAACAUAUAAAGAUUCCCUCUUAGGAAUCACCCAAUAUCAACAACAUGAUCAUUAACAACCAACAAUAUAGAAAUCAUACUUUAUAAUGAAAAAGAGGAAAAACAAAUAAGCAUCAACAUGGGUAUGAUCAUAGCACCACAAUCAACCAAGCUUUUGUAUUUUAAAGAUUGAUUCUUGAACUCCAUGGAAGAAAGGAAUCCGUGGAUGAACAUUACGCAUACCUUAGAAGGAAGAUCCUUGAUGAUUGACGGAGGAAUUUCCUUGAAAUCGGAUCUUCAAGCUUAAUUAUGUAACCCUAGUUGUUUUUCUCCUUUAGUGCUCUUGGAUGAUGAGCUUUGAGAUGAAAAUAGGGUUGCAGUAUGUUUAAAAGUUAUAUAUUUCGUAGGGUUAAGUCUAGGGACGUGUAAGGAGUAUUUAAAGACUUAAUUACCUUUAAAAUAACUCAAAACGGAGUGCUUUUGACACCUAGAAUUCACUUAGGCGGCGCCCAAGUGAUCGCCUAUGCUUGGGUUGGGCGGCGCCUAAACAAUCGCCUAUGCUUACUGUCUCUCACGAAAAUGUGCAUAACUUUUUGCUCGGUAUUGGAUUAAGGCGAAAUUGGUAUCGUUGGAAAGCUAAUUCGAUUUUUUUUAAUUUGGUGGGUCUAAAUUAGCCAAAAUACAAUAUUAACAUCUAGUUAUACUCAUUGAAAUAUGACCCUUGUAAAAUGGAACACUAAAACUUGAUGGAUUCAAAAACUCUUAGCUUGUAUUACCUUAAGUGACUCAUAUGAACAUGCUUAAUGCAUCAUAAGCUAUCCUAUCACUAGAAUAUUCAUUGUAANNNNNNNNNNNNNNNNNNNNNAGGAUAGGAGAUUUCAUAUGUAGGAAUACUUAUUCACUUCCAAGCUUAGAAACAUUCGAGAUAUUACAAUAUCUCCCUUUUGGGAACAUUCGUCCUCGAAUGAGAAUUUACUGAGAAGGGAUACAAGACAAUAGAACCUGAACUGAACAUGAAGAACUGAAACUUGAUCUCAUGACUGACAUACUAAAAUACUGAACUCGUGCAUAUAUGAUGUACGGACAAUUGACACAUGAAUGCAUGACUGAGUAUGAAAUGGUUAAUAGAUACCAAGUUUAUACUGGAAACAUGAAUGUGAAACUGAAUAAUAUUAAGGAGAAAUGUUACCUUGAGCUUAAUGUGAAUUGGUGAGGAAGAGGUCAGGAUACUUGGUAUGCAUAUCUGCUUCUGCUUCCCAAGUAGCUCCCUCAUGAGACUGAUUUCGCCAAACAACCUUGACUAGAGGGACUUCUUUGUUCCUUAAUCUACGAGUCUGAUAAUCUAAGAUUUUGACUGGAAUCUCUUCAUAAGAGAGGCUUUUUUGAAUGUCGAUGCUUUGUAUAGGGAAAACAACUACUGUGUCACCUAUGCACUGUUUUAGCAAAGAGACAUGGAAGACUGGAUAGACUGAGGCUAGAUCUGAAGGCAACUUAAGCUCAUAAGCUACCUUGCCGAAGCGACGAAGAAUUCUGAAGGGACCGACAUACCGGGGACUGAGUUUCCCUUUCUUGCCGAAACUCUUCGCUCCCUUCAUGGGAGAGAUCUUAAGAUAGAGAUAGUCAUUGACCUCAAACUCGAGAUCCUUUCUACGAACAUCUGCAUAGGACUUCUGUCGGCUUUGAGCAGCCCAGAGUCUCUUUUUGAUCAACCAAACUUUCUCUAAGGUGUCGAAUACUAAGUCAGGACCUAUGAUUGAGGCCUCAUUAACUUCAAACCAACCAAGCGGAGAUCUACAUCUCCUACCAUAGAGAGCUUUGAAUGGAGCCAUCUGAAUACUAGAAUGAUAGCUAUUGUUGUAUGCAAACUCAAUCAAAGGCAAGUGGUCAUCACAACUUUCCUUGAAGUCAAUUGCACACACCCUUAGAAUAUCUUCAAGAUUCUGAAUGGUCCUCCCUGCUUGACCAUUUGUCUGAGGAUGAAAUGCUGUGCUGAGAUAGACUUGGGUACCGAGACCCUUUUGGAAUGCUUUCCAAAAGUGAGAAGUGAACUAGGUACCUCUGUCUGAGAUGAUAGAUAGUAGAACACCAUGUAAUCUGACUAACUCCCUGAUAUAGAGUUUGGCAUAAUCCUCGGCGGAAUAAGAAGUACGAACAGAAAGGAAAUGAGCUGACUUGGUCAUUCUAUCUAGAAUGACCCAGACUGAAUCAUGUUGAUGACAAGUUCUAGACAAACCCAUCAUGAAGUCAAUGUUAACUUCUUCCUACUUCCAAGUAGGAAUGGUGAACUCUUGCAUGGAACCACUAGGUUUCUAAUGCUCUAUCUUAACCUGCUGACCCAUAAACUCUGCAACAUCUCUCUUCAUCCCACUCCACCAAUAGAUCUCCUGCAUGUCGCGGUACAUCUUAGUGGCCCCUGGAUGAAUAGAGUAUCGCGCACCAUGCUUUUCUGCAAGUAUUUGCUGCAUCAAUUUAUCUAUACCUGGAAAACAUAGACGACCCUGACAAUGAAGAACACCAUCUCCCCCUUGGGAGAAAACCUCGACUUUGUGAUUCUGAACUGACUCUUUGAGCUUGACAAGGCUAGGAUCCUUUUCUUGUUUCUCUUUCACCUCGGAAACUAGAGAUGACUCUGAACUACUAUGAACACAUACACCACCCUCUGAAGAAUCGACUAAGCGAACUCCUAGUCUGGCAAGAUGAUGGAUCUCCUAAGCCAUCUUUUUUUUACCAUCCUCAACGUGAGAAAUACUACCUAUGGAGAGUCGACUGAGAGCGUCGGCCAUAAUAUUGGCCUUGCCCGAUUGAUAAAGAACACUCAUGUCGUAAUCCUUCAAGAGCUCUAACCACCUUCUCUAGCGAAGAUUGAGAUAUUUCUGGGAAAAGACAUACUGGAGGCUUGUAUAGUCUGUGAAGACAUCUACAUAAACUCCAUAGAGAUAAUGCCUCCAAAUCGUCAAAGCAAAAACUACCGCUGCUAACUCAAGAUCAUGAGUAGGAUAAUUCUUCUUAUGUGGCUUUAACUAUCUGGAGGCGUAGACUAUGACCUUACCAUGCUGCAUGAGGACACAACCUAAACCCAGUCUGGAUGCAUCACAANNNNNNNNNNNNNNNNNNNNNNNNNNNNNNNNNNNNNNNNNNNNNNNNNNNNNNNNNNNNNNNNNNNNNNNNNNNNNNNNNNNNNNNNNNNNNNNNNNNNNNNNNNNNNNNNNNNNNNNNNNNNNNNNNNNNNNNNNNNNNNNNNNNNNNNNNNNNNNNNNNNNNNNNNNNNNNNNNNNNNNNNNNNNNNNNNNNNNNNNNNNNNNNNNNNNNNNNNNNNNNNNNNNNNNNNNNNNNNNNNNNNNNNNNNNNNNNNNNNNNNNNNNNNNNNNNNNNNNNNNNNNNNNNNNNNNNNNNNNNNNNNNNNNNNNNNNNNNNNNNNNNNNNNNNNNUAGAACUAGAGCGGAGGUGAGUCGAGUCUUCAACUCUUGAAAGUUCUUCUCGUAUGAAUCUGACCACUGAAACUUAAUCUUCUUCUGAGUCAAUCUGGACAUGGGAGAUGCAAUAGAAGAAAAUCCCUCGACAAACCAUCGGUAAUAGCCAGCCAAACCCAAGCAACUCUUAAUAUCUGAUGGAGAUACAUGUCUGGGCUAGUUUUUUACUGCCUCAGUUUUUUGAGGAUCUACUCUAAUGCCAUCACCGAAAACAAUAUGGCCAAGAAAUGCUAUGGAUCUUAGCCAAAAUUUGCACUUGCUAAACUUAGAGAAUAAUUGAUGAUCCCUGAGAGUCUGAAGAAUAAUAUUGAGAUAGUCUGCAUGAUCACGCUCUGUGCGAGAAUAGACCAGAAUAUCAUCUAUAAAGACUAUGACAAACAUGUCUAAGUACUGCUUGAACACUCGGUUCAUCAAGUCCAUAAAAGCUGCAGGGGAAUUGGUAAGACCAAAUGACAUGACUAAAAAUUCUAAGUGACCAUAUUGAGUACGAAAAGCUAUCUUCGGAAUGUCACAUUCUCUAACUCUAAGCUGAUGAUAGCCUGAUCUAAGGUCUAUCUUGGAGAAGUAACUGGCACCCUGAAGUUGGUCGAAUAGAUCUUCAAUCCUAGGAAGAGGAUAUAUGUUCUUGACCGUGACCUUGUUGAGUUGAUGAUAAUCAAUACACAGCCUGAGAGAACCAUCUUUCUUGUGCACGAAUAAUACUGGCGCACCCCAUUGUGAAACGCUGGGUCUGAUGAAUCCUUUAUCUAAGAGAUCCUUCAAUUGAUCUUUCAGUUCCUUGAGUUCUGCUGGUGCCAUUCUGUAUGGCAGAGUAGAAAUAGGUUGAGUAUUUGAAAGAAGGUCUAUGCCGAAGUCUAUUUCUCUUUUGGGAAUAAUACCUGGAAGAUCUUCGAGAAAGACAACUGAGUAUUCAUUAACAACAGGGACUGUUUUGAGGCUGGGAUAUUCAGAACUAGAAUCUUUAACAUUAAUGAGAUGAUACACACACCCUUUAGAAAUCAUUUUCCUUGCCCGAAGGUAGGAAACAAGUUGACCCCUAAAUGCUGAAAUGCUACCCUUCCACUCUAGGAUGGGCUCAUUUGGGAACUGAAACUGAACUAUCUUAUUUCUGCAGUCGACUGUGGCAUAGUAGGAAUGAAGCCAAUCCAUGCCGAGAAUGAUAUCAAAAUCAGUCAUCUCUAACUCCACUAAAUUUGCUGAUGUGGAUUUCUGAGAUAUCAUAACCGGGUAGUUCCUGUAUACUCGCCGGGCUAUGAUGGUUUUACCCACUAGGGUAGAGACUGAGAAGGGCUUUGCUAGGACUUUGGGAUUGAUUCCAAAAUCGCCUGCUAUGUAUGAAGUAACAAAAGACAAAGAUGCACCUGGGUCUAGCAAAGCAUAAACAGGAACAUGGAAAAUAUGUAACAUACCAGUAACGACAUCAGGAGAAUUUUCCUGAUCCUGUCGGGACUGAAGAGCAUAGAGUCUAUUUGGGCGUUGCCCACUGGUAGCACUGGAAAUGGUACCCUGCUGGUUCGGGCUACUGGACUGAGCUGUAGAAUAAUUUUGCUGACCCUGAAGACUUGACUGCAGACACUCUCUAAUCUUGUGGCUUGGCUUGCCACAACCAAAAUAGACAUCACACCAGCUCUGCAAUUGCCCUUGUGGUUCUUACCACAAGUCAGACAAAGGGGAUUCAUUCGGGCACUGCUAACACUACCCUGAGAUUUAGAGCCUGGCGCUUUGUUUCUAUUGCCAUCUCUGAACUUCGGCACUGGAGCGCUGGCAAAGGAAGGAGCUGGAACAGCUGACUUGGAGCUAAACUAUGAAUGGUUUCCUCCAUCUGACUUGGGGUGAGGAAAGUUGAAAUUACCUGACCUUGCUCUCUUGUUCUGCCUCUCCCUAGUCUUAAGCUUCUGCUCUUCUACUUGCAGGGAAUAGGUCAUGAGUCUAGCUAAGGUCAUAUCACCGAUCAGCAUCGUAGACCUACACUUAUUUACCAUGCUAUCGUUGACCCCUGACACAAACUUGCUCAUCUUAGCUCUAUUAUCUAGAACCACAUGAGGAGCAUACCUAGCUAGCUGAGUAAAUCUAAGAGAAUACUCUCUAACCAUCAUAUUCCCUUGCCUGAGGUUGAUGAACUCAAGAACUUUGGCUUCCCUCAGCUCUUGGGGAAAGAAUCUGUCUUAGAAGGCCAUGAAAAAUUCCUCCCACUCGAUAGGGACUGUAUCAUCUAACCUCUUAAACUUCCACUGUUUGUACCAAUCAUGAGCAACAUCCUGUAACUGGUAGGUAGCUAACUCAGAAUUCUCAAUAUAAGUAACACCCAUGAUGUCAAUGACCUUCUGGACUUGGUCAACGAACUCUUGAGGGUCCUCAUCAGACUUAGACCCAUGGUAAGAUAGAGGGUUCAUUCGGGCAAAGUCCCAAACCCUAGCUGCUUUAGGAGUGGCCACUGGAUUGGUUGGAAUGACUGGUGGCCGUUCAUUCUGUGCAGCCAUAGACUGAGCAAGUGUGGUAAAUACGACUCUAAAUCUGCAUGAGAAAUAUGUUCGCCCAAAGGAUCUUCGGGCUGAGGAGCUGGAUGGUUUUUUCUUUUUCGGGCCAUGGUCUGGAAUAAGAGAAGAAUGGAUUAGACUGAGAGUUUAACUUGUGAUUAUGCUCACUAGCAUGACAUGAAUAAUGAAGAAAGGGGACUGUUCCUAAAAUAUCUUAUAGCCUCCCACACAUAAAUGUGGUACGCAAUACACCCAUGUACAAGACUCUACUAGAUGCGGCUUUCAGACUUCCUAGGACUCUAUUUAACCUUAGGCUAUGAUACCAAGUUUGUAACACCCCGAUUUGUUGAACUGAAAUGCUACACGGUGGUCAUGACCCCGAGGGAGCAUAAGCUAACCCAUGAAUGAUAUCUGUGCCUGUAUACUGCAAAUCAUUAUAUAAUAAUGUGGAAAACAUAGAACUGUAAGGCCAUAAGGUUCAACUGAAUAAAACUAUGUGGGUGAAAAUACCCAAAACAAAUCAAUCUGAAUGUAAAUCUGAAUAUAAAUCUGAAAGCCUCUAAACUAUCUGAAUAAGGAGUUGAUGGAACAUGUCUCCAACUAACUCCAUAAAACUGAACUAAAGAUAUAAAUAAAUGUAUCAAAUUAUAUUAUCCUCGAAUCAAUGAGGACUCACUGUGUCUGUACGACUGGAAUCUAUCACUACUGCUAGACUGGAGCUCGUGUCUCGGAACCUAUGGUGUAACAUGAAAAGAAAGCACCAUAGCGUAAAUGCGUUAGUACAACUGAAGUACUGAGUAUACGAGGAAGGUAGCUGAAAAUAAAGGUUUUCAUGCAUGAACAACACUGACUGACUAAUAUGAACGUGGGAGUGCAAACACAUACAUAGAAACUGGGACCAUGAAUGCGUAAUAGCUUGACCUGUAAGCUAAUACAUGGUUUACUGAUAACUGUCAUGACUAAUACUGAAACUGAUAACAUGGACGACUGUAUCUGACAGUCCUGUAUAUACUGAAAUCUGAAGAAUAACCUAAGUUUUUUUACUGAGAUUGAUACUAAAACUGUGGGAAGUAGGGUUUAACCGACAUGCCCUAUGUAUCCCGUUAUGGCUAAGCUGGGGUCCAAUCUCUGCCCCAACUAGAGGGGUAUUAAUACCGUGCCACGGGUAAGGACAGCCUAUGAGUGACCCUUAUCUGGCGGGUACUCAAUGAGAAUGGUGGGAACCUUAAACUAAUGGGUUAAGACACCUCAUCAAUCCUAAUCUAACGGGUUAAGAUGUCUCAACCUACGCUGGCUACGUAGUUCUGGAGCAUAAGGAUUACUACUAAGAAUCACACCCUGAAUUGACAGGUGAGUUCCCAUCCUUGGGUUCACUCGAUGCUAACCUCUACUCCCAUCUGGAGGGACUGGACAUGAAUAACUGACUGUGCAUGACUUAAUCUUACUUGAUCUGUUGACUGGCGAAAUGUUACUGAUAUCUGACAACUGACUAAGAUCAUGAGGUUUUCUUGAGUCACAUGACUGACUGAAGUCUAUGGAAUCAUAGCUUGAGUUCGGAUAUCGUGAAACAUGACACACAUAACUGACUUUUUCAUAAGAGUAGAGUCCAUAACUUAUAAUAUCAUAAGUAGGGAUCUCAUACUAAGCAUGGUUAUCAAUAAUGUAUUGCAGGGAAAGGAUUUCAUAUCACAUGGAAGUACUUUCACAAUCUUAAUAUCAUGUUUAUUGCAUAAUCAUAUUGGCAGCACAUACCAAUAGCAUGGAAGUUCAUGUGGAUUGCAUGGUUAUCAUACAUCUUGGUCAUAAGUAGGAUUUACAAGUAAACAUAGCAUAAUCUCAUAAGAAUAGUUCAUGAGUAUUCCAACAACAUUUACAAGGCACAUUAAUAACACAGAAGUCAUUCGAAUGUAAGGGCAUAUCAUAAAUCCUUCACUUAGUCACAAUUUAGCUAUAUUGCAUGAUUUCUAGUUUCUUAGGUAUUUUAUCAAACACCUUACAUGCACAUCUUAAGCAUAGGUGAAAUCACCAAAUUAUACAUCAUGAACAACCAAACUUACAUGUUUCCAAAUCAUAUGAUAUCAUGAAUUCAUAAAAACAUAUAAAGAUUCCAACUUGGGAAUCACCCAAUAUCAACAACAUGAUCAUCAACACCCAAUAAUAUUGCAAUCAUACUUUAUAAUGAAAAAGAGGAAAAACAAACAAGCAUAAACAUGGGUAUGAUCAUAUCACCAAAAUCAACCAAGCUUUUGUAUUUUAAAGAUUGAUUCUUGAACUCCACGAAUGAAAGGAAUUUGUGGAUGAACACUAUGCAUACCUUAGAAGGAAGAUUCUUGAUGAUUGACAGAGGAAUUUCCUUGAAAUCAGAUCUUCAAGCUUAAUUAUGCAGCCCUAGUUGUUUUUUCUCCUUUAGUGCUCUUGGAUGAUGAGCUUUGAGAUGAAAAUAGGGUUGCAGUAUGUUUAGAAGCUAUAUAUUUCGUAGGGUUAAGUUUAGGGACGUGUAAGGAGUAUUUAAAGACUUAAUUACCUUUAAAAUAACUCAAAACGGAGUGUUUUUGACACCUAGUUCACUUAGGCGGCGCCCAAGUGAUCGCCUAUUCUUGGGUUGGGCGGCGCCUAACCAAUCGCCUAUGCUUGGGUUGGGCGGGGCCUAACCAAUCGCCUAUGCUUACUGUCUCUCAUGAAAAUGGGCAUAACUUUUCGUUCGGGUAUUGGAUUAAGGCAAAAUUGGUAUCGUUGGAAAACUAAUUCGAUUUUCUAUAAUUUGGUGGGUCUAAAUCAGAUAAAAUACCAUAUUAACAUCAAGUUAUACUCGUUCAAAGAUGUCCCUUGCAAAAUCAAACACUAAAACUUGAUGGAUUAAAAAACUCUUAGCUUGUGUUGCCUUAAGUGACUCAUAUGAACAUGCUUAAUGCAUCAUAAGCUAUAAUACCACUAGGAUAUUCAUUGUAAGUUAUGUACUCAAGUAUGAAUCACAGGAUAGGAGAUUUCAUACGUAGGAAUACUUAUUCACUUCCUAGCUUAGAAACAUGCCGGGUAUUACAGCUUUACAUUUCAGUUACAUGAACACAGCUCGUAUUCAUGCACUUUCCAUAGAAUCAUGUACAAUUCUAGUACCAAUUAUAAGGAGUUCUAGUUCACUCAGUAUUACGAAUCAUGUCCCAUGAAUGUAGGAUUUCCAAGCUCAGGUCAUGCAGCUCAUGAAUACAUAUCAUGCCUUACAGUAUGCACAAUUCCCAUGACUCAUGCUAUGCUCCUAAUGAUUAGUCAAAGUUUUGACUAUGUCAUGCAUAUCCUCAGUUUAGAUUUCUUGAUAAAUUCAUGAUGUUCAUAUCCUAUUCCUUAAGACUCAGUUAAGUGACGACUUUGGUAUAAUAUUUAUUCAUGUUUUAGGUCCUCGAUUUAUGUCAGUCUAUAUUAUGUAGCUAUCAGAACUCAGUACUCAGCUUCCUUAAAAAUCUUUAUUAUAGUCUUAGUUAUCAUCUCAAUUACAGUCAUAAUCUCAGUUCAGUAAUUAGAUUAGUAACUUAGUUCAGUUUUAGGUUUGUUUGACCAUAUCAUACAAUUAUCAGUUAUUCAGUUAUCAGUAUUUUAGUACCUCAGUUUAUAGACUAUUUUUGAAUCAUGGUAUAUGCUUGGUCUUGAAUUCUUAGAUAAUAUAGUUUUCCCGAAUUCAUGCUCAGUUAUCUUAUGUUACCCAGUUAGUCCUUACCUCAUAUACAUAAUACUCUACAGUUUCAAUCCAGUUAUUCAUACUAUGUACAAUUCAGUCUAACAUGCCAAGUAUUUAGCUACCAGUCAUUGAAUAAUCAAAUAAGUUAGUAUAUUUAUAUGCCUUUGUGCUCAACACCCGUGUGAAUUAUUUCAGUAGUUUCAGGUGAUGUGUGGUUCUAAGGCCGAGAGUAUAGUUGAGAGAAUAUUGAAGGGAUAUAUAUAAGCUUGAAAAUUUAUAGUUGCAGUGCAUUAGGGCUUAGUCUCUUUAUCUUAGAUGAUGUUCCAUAGGUGUUGACUCGCAUUACAAAAUUUUAGCUAGGAUGUGGCUUCUCAUUCUGAUGUCUUAUACAGACCACGCCAAGAUUUCCUUACUCCCUAAAGACUAUGGAACUCUAUAGAAAAAGUUUCAAUGAAAGGCUCCAGUCAAAUAUAUGUUUUUAGCAUGAGCGGGAUAAAUUUAUCUAGAAAGGCAUCCUAAAACCCUUGCAAAACAUGAUGUACUGAGGACUCAUAAAACAAUCAAAGAACCAUGAUGUACUAUGCAUAAUAUUUAAACAUGGCGUUAAUAUUAAUUUGAAUUUUUUGGGGUAUUACAAUAUCUCCCCCUUGGGAACAUUCAUCCUCGAAUAAGACUAACUAAGUUGAGGAUACUGAUAGACUGAACUCAUUUACUGAACAUGCACAACUGAAAUAUGAUUACAUGACUAACAUUACUAACAUACUGAAAAAUAUAGUUCUGUUCCUAGAGCCAUGUCAUGUGCCACGAUAAAUCUCAGUCAAGCUAUAUUCUGUAGAACUCAAAUGGUUAUGUGACUCAGGAAACAUCAGAAAUCUUAUGAUCUCAGUUAACUCUCAGAUGAUAGUACUACUCUGUCAGUCAACAGAUGUCAGUUAUUCAGUCCAUAUACAGCCAGUUGAAUCAUGUUCAUUACCUUCAAAUAGGAGUAGAAUUUAGCACCGAGUGAACCCAAGGAUGGGAACUCACCGCCAGUUUAGGGUGUGAUUCUUAGAAGUCAUUCUUGUGUUCCAGAACUACAUAGCCAACGUAGGUUGAGACAUCUUAACCUGUCAGAUUAGGAUUGAUGAGGUGGCUUAACCUAUCAGUUUAGGGUCCCACAGUUCUCAAUUUGAGUACCUGCCAAAUAAGGGUUACUCACAACUUUCCUUACUAGUGGCACGGUACUGACACCCCUCCAGUCGGGGCAGAGAUUGGAACCCAGCUUAGCUGUAAUGGUAUACAUGGGGCAUGUCAAUUAAAUAACUACCUCCCAUAGUUUUAGUAUCAGUCUCAGUGAAGGAACUUAGACAGUUCUUUAGAUAUCAGUAUGCUAGGACUAUUAGAUACAGACAAAUUCAGUUAUAGGAUGGGACUCAGAGAGUUCUACCAGAUUCAGGACUGUCAAACACAGUCUCUCAGGUUAUCAGAACUACAAUUCCAGUCAUGUAUUAGCGUAUAGAUCUAGCUACCACAUACUCACGAUCUCAGUUACUAUGUAUGUAUAUUUGUACUUUUACGUUUAUAUCAGUCAGUUAGUUAGCAUUAUUCAUGCAUGUAUACCCUUUUAUUUAGCCUACCUCACUCGUAUACUUAGUACUCCAGUUGUACUGAUGCAUUUGAACUAUGGUGCUUUCUUUUCAUGUUACACCAUAGGUUCAAAGCCACGAGUUCCAGGCCAGUAGUAGCUUUCUAGUCGCAGUGUUGCAGUGAGUCCUCAUCCAUCCGAGGAUAAUAUGAUUUGAGUUAUUCAUUGAUUACUUCAGUUCAGUUUUACGGAGUUAGUUGGAGACAUGUUCCUUCAAGUUCUUAUUUAUAAAGUACUUAGAGGUUUUCAGAUUUAGUUAGAUUUAGCUAUUAGAUUCAGUAUUCAGUUUUAUAUUCAGUUGUUUUGGGUAUUCAUUACCCUAUGGAUGUUACUAUAUCUCUUCAGCUGAACCUUAUUCCCUAUAUGUUUGGGUUUUCCAUGUAUUAUAUGUAUAUUAUGCAGUGUGCAAGUACAGAUAUCAUUCAUGGGUUAGCUUGUGGUCCCUCGGGGUCAUGAACACCGUGUAGCAUUCUGAUUCAGAAAAUUGGGGCGUUACAAAUACUUUGAGGAAUUUAGGAAUGUUAUCCCUUUUUUGCAUUCUAUGUCAAGCUAUAGAGUCUAGUGCUAUGAAACUUCUAAAGCUCCUACUUUACUCAUAUUUUAGAUCAUGCCUCCUAAAAGAUCUUGCAGUCGUAGAAACUCCGUUGGACCCUUUGUCCUACCUAAGGAGAAUCUAGAAGGGACUCUCUUUAUUUAUAAAUUGUUGACCCAGUCUAGGGUCACUGCUCCUGAUUGUACUGCCAUAUGUUGAGUUCCACUAAUUCGUACUAGUCCUUCUCGAGUUCUCUAGUGCGAUGAUACUUAUGAUCGGACACCUCAGGGAGACAUCACUAAUAUACAAUUUCUAUAGUUUUUUAUUAUACUUGCUUAGUUGGAGGCAUCCUAGUGUCAUAGUCUCAUUAUGUUGGUUCUACUACACAUUUAUCUGAGGUCACUUAGGUUAUCCAGUUCAUGAGGUUAAAUGCCCCAACCUUUAUAGGCUAUAUUAUUGAGACAGAUCCUAAAAGAUUCAUUGAUAAGAUGGAGAUGAUUUUUAGGGAUAUGCAUGCUAUUGAUGUAGAGUGCAUGGAGUUUAUUGCUUAUCAGUUUAAAGAUGUAGUAUUCUAGUGGUAUGAGUUGUAGGAACAGUUGAGAGAAAAUUAUGCAAAGCUAUCGGUACGGAAUGAGUUCUAAAGUGCCUUUUUCCAUCAUUUUUUUCUUUCAAGAAUUAAGGGAAGGUGAAGCUGAAGAGUUUGUGAAUUUAAAGCAGGGAAAGAUUAGUGUGAAGGAGUACAUAUUGAAAUUUUAACAUUUGUCUUAUUAUUCUUUAAUGUUGGUUUCUAGCAUGAGAUAUAAGGUAAGGAAGUCUACUUUGGGCUUGUCCGUGACUUUGUAUUAGAGUGUAAUAUUGUGAUGUUGAACAAUGAUAUGGAAAUCUCUAGGCUAGUGGUGUAUAUGUAGUUAGUAGAGGAUGAAAAGAAGAAGCAGGUGUAGAGAGAGAGAGAGAUAACAUAAGAUAUUGAAAUAUUCAAAAACAAAUUUCGGUCAGGAGAACACAAGAAGAGCUGGUAGACAGUGGACUAAGAAGAAGAAUUGGGGGAAUUUGUACUCGACCAUCAUUAUUCCUUAUCCUAAGUUGUCUGGUGAUUUUUGUUUUUAGGCGAGCAAUGGUCUUAAGGAAUAGGGUUCCCAGUCUCAUGCUAGUGGAGCUCUAUCAGCCCCAUCUUAUCCUGCUUGCAGAUUUUGUGGACAACUUCACCAUUGUUGUUAUGAGCAGGGGAGAAACCAACGCUUUAAUUGAGAUCAUCUUGGCAUAUGCAAUGAAAAGAUUUUCUUGAUAAGGGAUUUAUUCAUGCUAGUGUGUGUUUGUAAGGUGCUCUCAUACUUUUGGUGUGAUAGAAAGAUAUGUCUCUUUAGGUAUGUAUAGAUAACUGUUAGUUGAGUAAGGCUGUAGUGAAGAAUAAGUUCCCCCUUCCUAGGAUUAAUAAUUUUUUAUACAAGCUAUAGGGUGCUAGGUAUUUCUCUUAGAUUGAUCUUCAUUCGGAAUAUCAUCAAUUGAAAAUUCAGGAGGUUGAUAUUCGCAAGACUAUUUUUCAAUUCUAGUAUGGCCAUUACAAGUUUUUGGUUAUGUUAUUUUGAUUGAAUAAUACUUCGGUCGUGUUAAUGGAUCUUAUAAAUUAGAUGUUAAGGCAGUUUCUGGACUUGUUUGUUAUAGUCUUUAUUAAUGACAUCUUUUUGUAUUCUAUGAAUGAAGAGGAUCAUGAUGAUUACCAUUGAAUUAUUUUGCUGAAUCUUAAGGACUAGAUAUUGUAUGCUUAGGUUUCUAAGUAUAAAUUUUGGAUAAGUAUAGUGACCUUUAUUUGACAAGUUAUUUGUGGUAAGGGGAUCAAGGUGGAUCCACAAAAGGUUGUGGAAGUUAUGAAAUGGCCUAGAUCAACUACUCCAACAAACAUUAGGAUCUUUCUUAGCUUAGCUAUUUAUGAUAGGAGGUUCGUGGAGAGUUUUUCUUCUAUUGCUUCUCCGUUGACGAAGUUGAUUCAGAAAAAUAUUUAGUUUUUAUGUUUCAAUACUUGUGAGAGUAGUUUUUAGAAGUUGACGGAUAUGUUGACUUCUGCACCUAUUUUUACCCUGCAUGAGGGUAUACAUGGAUUUGUGGUGUAUUGUGAUGCAUCCCAUAUAGGACUGGGUUGUGCUUUCAUGCAACAUGGUAAGGUUGUGGCUUAUGAUCCUAGAAAACUUAAGGUUCAUAAAAGAAAUUAUCUGACUCAUAAUCUAGAGUUGGCAAUUAUGGUUUUUGCAUAAAGAUUUGGUGCCUUUAUUUGUAUAGAGUGCAUGUGGAUAUUUAUUCAGAUCCUAAGAGCUUGCAGUAUGUGUUUACUCAGAAGGAGUUGAAUCUCUGGUAAAGGAAGUGGCUUGAAUUGCUUAUGGAUAAUAGCAUGAGUCUUCACUACCAUCCAAGUAAAGUUAAUGUUGUCAUUGAGAUCUAACAAGGUUGUCUAUGGGGGAGCUUAUCAUACGUUGAUGAGGAGGAAAAAGGAUUGGUGAGGGAUAUUCACAGGUUGUCUAACUUGGGAGUUUGUCAUUUGGACUCAGAGGAUGGAGGAUUAAUUACUCAAGAAGUGGUUAAGUCAACUCUUGGUGUUAAGUUGAAAGAGAAGAAGGAUUUGGAUCCCAUACCUAUGCAUAUUAUGGAUGAUAUGGGUCAGAAAAAAGUUCUGGCUUUCGAGAUUAAGGGAGAUGGCUUCUUAUGAGGAUCUCUAUGGUAGAAGGUGCAGGUCUUUUAUUGGGUGUUUUAAGGUUGGUGAGUCUAGGUUUUUUUUGUCUUAACAUGGUUCAACAUGACAUGGAAAAUGUGAAGGUGAUUAGAGAAAGACUUAAGACUGCUUAAAGUCGCCAAAAGUAAUAUGCAUAUGUGAAGCGGAGGGAGUUGGAGUUUGAGGUUAGUGAUUGGGUGUUCUUAAAAGUUUCUCCAAUGAAAGGAGUUAUAAGGUUUGAGAAGAAAGGGAAGCUCAGUCCCCGUUACAUUGGCCCAUAUCAGGUUGUAAGGAGAAUUGGGAAUGUAUCUUAGGAGUUUGAUUUGCCGAUGAGUUUAACUUCUAUUCAUUCUGCUCUCCAUGUGUCUAUACUAAAAAAGUAUGUGGGUGAUCCUUCUUUGAUUGUUCCUAUGGAGUAUGUUGGUAUUUCGGAUUCCUUGUUUUAAAAGGAGGUCCUGGUUGACAUAUUCGAUAGGCAAGUUUGUAGAUUGACGACAAAGGAUAUAGCUUCGGUAAAAGUGCUUUGGAGGAAUCAAAAGGUGGAAGAAGAUACUUAGGAAGAUUAGGAAGAUGUGAAGGCAAAGUAUCCAUUCUUGUUCUGAACCUUGGAUGAAAAUGCUUGAGGUAUGAGUUUCAUUUUUCCUCCUAUUGCAUUUUGAAAUUCGUCAUUGGAUUCUAGUUCCAUUCCUUCUUGUUUUUGUGCCAUAGGUUCCCUAUCUUCUGAUUCAGGUACGAAUGAUCUUGAGGGGUGAGGUAAUUUAAUACCCUAAGUUUUGGACCCUAAAAUUUCUAGAGUGUGGACAACAUUGUCAUGACUACGACUCAGGUGAUCAGUUGUUAUCACUUGUCACGGGUCGUAUAGUAGGACUUAUGGUCUCACCAGUGAGGUUGUUGAUGCAUCACCUUGGUCACAAUUCAUGACAUCAGACAAUGACUCGUGAAGAGAGGCUCGAGGUCAGAACAGUGGAGGUUGGGAUUUUUGAUGCUCAGGUAUCGCGUCCAGGUAAAACUCAUGAUCAGUCAUCAUGAGUAGUUACCUAAGUUAGGAUGACUAGGCUAAAUUUUUCCUGCACGUCUCAAUUAAGGUUAUUUUGGUCUUUUCCUUCAUUUACACUUUACCCACGACUUAAAAACAUACUAAGGACCUCUUUUCCAUUAGUUAUGAAAUCAAAUAAAUUACUCUUUCCUCUAUAAAUUCCAAGUCAAGAGAAAACUAGGGUUUACAAGUAGUUCAAACUCCAAGCUUCAAACUACGAGUUUUCCUUCAGUUUCUUUGGUAUUCAGGUAUAUCUCUUAUCCCUAACUUGUAUUUUAUAUUGUGGCAUAUGUUUAAUCAUCGUUUCAUGACCCAAUUUCUUGGAUCAUGAUGACGCCUAGUAUAACCUACCAGUAGGCAAGCAAAACCCGUAGUUUGAAAUGGCUAGUAAUGGGACUACCUAAAGAGAUAAGGAAAGAAUGCCAAAUAUCUAAAAUAUAUGAUCAAUAACACAGUAUAAUCCCAAAACCUAAUGGUAUCGUAUAAGAGCUUCUACAUAAACAAGAUUUCAAAGUAAAGUACAAAUGGAUAUACUGAUACAACUUAUCUCCGAAUACAACAUAAAGACUAGUCUAAUACAUAGGUGAGAGAUAAAUAAUAUUCCAAAAGUAAGGAGCUCAUCUAAGUCUCUGAACAAUUGUUGUUCUGCACGACACACACAUCAAUAGCUAUAACCCAUACUAUAAUAUGCAGGCUGUAGACGUGUAGUAUAUGUUCCAAACAUAUGGUACUGAGUAGGCAAUUAAUGAUUGAGCUCCAAAGAUAAAGCAGAAAUACAUAACAUAUAAACAAAAUGGAAAACUACACCAAAAUAUCCAGCGACCAUAUAAAACAACCAAUGAGAUAGUAAGGAUAACCUAUCCUAUUCAUGCCUAGGAGACUUAACAUAUUAAGGCUAAGGAAGUAAUAAGAAUUCACUAUCUUAUUCUAAUCAUACUUAGGAAUAUCAUCACUAUAUCGUAUAUCAUUGGCCAAUAUUCAAGUUCGAGUAUAUAUAUACGUAUAUAUAUAUAUACAUAUAUAUAUAAGUAUACAAGGCAAAGGAACGAGUAUAUAAUCCGAGUAAAUGAAGGAAAAGAGGGAUAUACAGCAAUACCAUAGCUAUAUAUGGCUAAGUAUGCAUAAAUAUAUAUAAGUAUGUUCACAAAGUCUACUCAAAGGAUAGCUUAAGUCAUCAGACUAGCUAUUUAAGAUCUCAUAAUCAUAGAAAAAGAUAGUGCUAUUAUACCUGUGCUCUAAUCCAUAUAUCACGUCAUCAGACGGUCAUGCAUGGUAAUAUAAUCGUAAGAUAAAGAGGUUAGAAUCAAACCUCAAGUUUCAAUACCGAAUCAAUGACCAAUCUAUCAUAAAAUAGCCAUAACAAUAAUAAUGACAAUGAUAAUAAUAAUGUCAAUAACAACGCAAGUAACCGACUUGUCCAGACAACCAAAUACCUAACUGAUCCUAUCACUUUCCCCCACCACCCCAGGAUCAGAAGGUUCAAUCAAUAUAUCACACACCAUAAGGCAUAGUCAUCACCUAUACCUAUGCAAUACUCCCAUACUAGUUGAUAGAUAUAGGUACAUAUUAGUGAUACGUGAUGCGCAUGCAAGAAUCAAUACAUCCAAAUCCACAAUUUCAUAAUAUCAUGAUCAUAACCAUCAUCAUCAUAAUCAUCCUCCAGGAUUUCUGGGUAUAUAUAUAUAUAUAAUUAUCAUACAUCGUGCUACUCGAACUCAAAUCGAUAGAUAUACAUAUAGGCACAUCAGUGUAAUAAUUUUCCGACCUUGUCGAGUAUCAAUAUCAUUAUCACAACAUCUUUUGGCCUUGUCGGGUAUUAAUAUCAUUAUCAUAACAUCCUUCAGCCUUAUUGGGUAUCAAUAUCAUCAUCACAAAAUCCUUCAGCCUUUUCGAGUAUCAAUGUCAUCAUUACAAUAUCCUUUGGCCUUGCCGAAUACAUAAGCAUAUAUCAUAAUCAUCAAUACAUAUAUAUGUAAUAGGUGCAUGGACCCAAGUCGUGACUAAAAGAGUGUAAGUACGUAAAUUCAUUGCCCAGAGUGAUCAUCAAGAUAAAAUACUGAUAAAAGUGUAGAAAGAGUUGAAAUAUCUCACGAUCGAAGUAAAUAGUAGUGUCAAAUCAUAGAUCGAAAUCUGCUACAAGCAAUUCCUUAAACAUUAUUAUUAAUCUCUUUUAUUUAUAAGGUAACAAUUAAGUAAAGCAAUUAUUAUUAUAAAGAAAUCUAUUUUUAAGAUGAAAAGUGGGCUUUAACCCUUGAAUAGGAAGAAUAAUCAUAAGAUCAUAUUUUAACUAGAAUCACACUAUAUAUUAAUAUUACUAUCAUGAAUGUACCGAAUAUAUGUGUGCCAUCACUAGUAUUCAAAAAAUGGAAUCAUAAGCAUCAUAACGCACCUUCCUUCAUCCCAUACGAGAGAGAUGUGUGUAUAUAUAUAUAUAUAUAUAUAUAUAUAUAUAUAUAUUUAAUAAACUACAACUGCAUCCCAUACCAUGAUAAACACUUUCCAUAUGUCUAAUUGAGAUCAUAACACGACCCUUGGCCCAAUAAUGUAUCCAGAAUAAUUAUAGCAUUGUAAUCACGGCCUUCGACCCAUAUAUGUAUCCUAAACAUAUGUCAAUAAUCAUAUUUAUACAUCAUCUCAUACUUAUAAGCCAUAGCAUGUUUAUGAGGCAUUACAUCUCUACAAGCCAUAAGGAAUAUUUAUACUCAUCUCACAUAUAAGAGGCAUCUCACAUCUAUGAGGAAUAAUAUUAAUAAGCAUCUCACAUCUAGGAAGCAUAAUAAUAAUAAGUGUCUCACAUCUAUUGGACAUGUAUUGUGAUUAUGAGAAAUAUCAUCUCUAUAGGCCAAUUCUCAUAUCUAAGAGGAAUAAUAUCUCUAAAUGUCCAAUAUCACUUCUAAAAGGAAGUAACUUCUCUAAAGGCCCAAUAUCACUUCAGAGAGGAAAUAACAUCUCUGAAGGCCCAAUAUCAAUGCCAUAAGCCAUUAAUCAUAAUCCAGAUCACAAUUUACUAAGACACGAAGUAAACUUAUUCUAAAUGCUCAAUAGUCUCAAUAAUGCCUAACAUCUGCAUCUAAGUCUACAAGGCUAACACAAGUCAUAGCCUAAGGUGGGACUGAAGAACCCAUUUCUAAUCCUCAAAUUCCAUAUUUAGGCAAUUUACACCCCAAAGUAGGCUAUGGUAUCUAGUUAAACUUUUAGAUGUCAAGUGAGCCAUAACAAACUUAAGAUAGGAACUUCGUCUAGAAACAUGGGCAUUUAUAAGUAAACUCUACUUAAAUUACAAUUUUAAGAUUAUAGUAAUAGCCCAAAUAUGGUUAAAUAUACUACACAUAGUUACAAUGCUAAGACCACAUACGAAACCUAGCAUUAUAUUGUAUCCAUGCUACUAAUUAGUUCAAUAUAGGGAUAAGGUAAUUAGAUUCAAAAAGGGCAUUAAGCAUUUCAACUUACUAGUCAAAACCUUCAUCUAAUACCCAAACUUAAAUAUUCAAUACUAAGUCAUUUGACCCAUAAUCAAACUUAAUAUUCACAUUCACACGCAAUAUGAAAAACACGUAUUAUCUACGAAGAAGAGUCGAUAGAAGCCUACCUUAAAGUCAAAUGGCAAAUCCUUACAUGAUUUACCAAAUGUUCAACUUCACUUCAGAUUCUCAAAAUACCAUCACAAUAUCAAAAUCAUAAUAUACUCAUCAAUACGAUAAUAACGAUACCAUAUUGCACCAUUAUGCUUUGAGUUAAAAAAUGACACCAAAUACCCCAAAUGGGUCCCACUUAUGAAAAUCACAUUUCUGAGGUCAACCCAACAUUGAUACAUGAUCAAGGAAUCAUAACCCACAAGAAAUGGGUGAAUAAAAAACUAAUUUGGGCCUAAAAUCAAGCCCUCAUUCUAUUUGGGGUUUUGGGUCAAGAACUAAGAAAUUUAUUAAGAAAGUGAUGGAAUCUUACCUUAAUUCAAAUGAUAAUCGUAAUAAUGAAGUUUCAAGUGCCCAAGUCACCCCAAAGUCUCAAUUUGAAGGUAUCAUACCCUUUUAGGGUUUUUAGCACUCAAGGUUGAGUGAAAAAUGGCCAAAACAUGGCCUAAAAAGCCCUUUUAUACCCACUAGGUAUAGAGGUGUGCUAUCACAGUCUAGGGAUUGCAAUCGUAAUAAAGAAAUGGCUACGACAUUCUUCCAAUUUCACUAGGGCGACCAUGGUCGCUUUUGUAGGAUUGCACAAGCUUCAGCACCAGCAAGCAUGGAAAGUUUUAAAAGUUUCCAACAAUGCCUCGAGAUUCAUUUAGAAUUUGAUAUACGCAAAUAAAUUAUGUAACCACACUAAUUUAGAUAUUCUAGACGUAAUGGCCAAGUCACAUUUUGCAUUCGUAGUCAUAUUAAAUGAAUGUGGGUCUGGCACCCAAACUUCUAAUUUUUAAACUUUCCGACCAGUACGUAAAAAUGAGCUCAGGGUCAUUGGGACAGAAACAAAUUGUCUACCCAUCCUAAAAUCAAUAUUCUGAAGUAACUAGCAUAGUCAGAAUUCGCGCAAAGAUCAUUUUACUAAAGUUUUUGCCUGGUGGCCAUUUAUCACCAAUGAAGACUUCAAAAUAGGGAAUUGGCUCUAAAAGCUUAAUGAACUGCCUGGUAUCCUAAUUGUCAGCCCCAGCAAGUCAUAAAUGAUAUAGGGAAGCUAUGGGAAAGCUCUAAUCAUUGAAUAUAUGUAGAAAUAUGAAAAAUAACCAAGAGGGUCAUUACAAUAUCCACUAGCAAAAGACUUUCAUCCCCAAAAGUCAACGAAUAGAAAAACCUCAAAAGCUUGUAAGGACAAGGUACUGGCCCAUAUAUUCUCUAUGCAUAAUUACUAGAUAACCUCAACGAGGAGAGAACACUUUUGAGAGAUUUUUCCGUCGGUAUCCCCUUUUAACCAUCUUUCUUACUUCACUUCCAAUUAGUCAAAACUUAAUCUGAACCAUCAACUAGCCUUUCACUGAACCAAAAAAGGUUGAUGCAUGCAAAUCUAAACAACGAUAAACUGAUACCAUCUCAAUAUCUGAACAAACCAACAACGGCUCAUCCUGGCCAAACAAACCCAAGGCAUAAGUCCUACAAUCAACCAAAAAUCCAAAUAUAACCGUCUUUUACCAAUCCACACUUGCUAUGUACUCCAAAUCGAGAGGAAAAUUACUCGAGUUCUGCUUAUACAAUAUCAUUAUGAGAACUCAAAGAACAAAAGCUAGUCCAUUGAAAGUCCAUAUGACAAACUUGAGAAUAAGCUCAUAAGGCGCUAUGUAAGAACACACAUGUAGAUAAUCAAGGAAUACAAUAUAUGUCAAUACUCUUACUAGUCUAGAUGGUAAUCAAAGCUAGAAUCCAAAAGAUUAAUGCACAACCACUCAUCACAUAACAAUCUUCUCUAGGAUGCCCUAUCAAUGGAGAAUGAAACCAUAUUGAAUCUAACUUAAGCAUGCUACUCCCACUGUGUAUAUUAUCCAAAAUUCUCAAAGUAAACUGAAGGCUCAAGGUUAAAAUUGAAGGAACCAAUACCAGGUCCAUGGGAUAUUAUUUGAGCAUUUAUCAAUAAUAAUCCAAUCAAAGUCAAUAAUUUGAACAGGCAACCAUAAAUUAGACUCAUCUAGCCUAUAUAUGAAAUUCGAACUAAGAUAAUUCAAAAAUUAAGGUUGCACUCAAGCUUUACAAUUCUAAGUAGAAAUCUCAACACCAAUGAUGAAAACAUAGGAAAUCCACUUUAUAUAUGCUAGAGGGAAUGAACUAUCAAUACUUAAGAACUUAUACAGGCCACAAAUCACACUAGUGAUGGUAAAACUCUAGCAACUCUGAGAAAUGCACUCAAGCCAAAAACUAACCAAUCUAACACUCCAUCGUGGCAAAGAAUAGCCAUAGGCUCAUAUCAUCUAGGAAAAAUACUACACCAAACCUUGUUAGGUCAAAUAACUCUAAAAUAAGGAUUUCCUUAAUCCACACAAGUAAGACAAUCAUUACUCGAUCCAUUCACAAAUCCAUAAUCAAAGAAGAAAAUAACAAUCUCAAAACCAAGGUCAAUAUUAAGAUCACCACCAGAAAAUCAAACGACUCAAGAAAAAGAAUUUCUAAUUUUCUAUUAGGAGGCGAUCACAGGAAAGCCCACCUAGCUCUAUCACCCUAAAUCCACAGAAGACAAGAAUCACAUCACUAUGAGAACAGAGCAUCCAAUAUCUAUAACAAUGACAAGGGAAAUUAUCACCAUGAGAUGAAUCCAACAAGUCUAAGAGAUGACUCAGGAUAUCUCAAUGUCAAAAUCAAACCCACUAUCGGGCAAUGAAAUAGCCAUAAGCAAAGAAACGAUCCAAAACUAGUCAAUCUAAAAAAUGGUCUAUAUAUAAAAAGAAAGAGUCAAAGUUAAAACCUUGGAAACCCAUGGGUCAAGUCUAAGAGUCUCAAACUUAAGAACGAGGAAUAUAACAAAAUUGCCAACUCUAGAACCAUACAAAACCACAGAAGAUCAACUUACCUUCAUUAUCACUAUACAUUCCCGAAAUAAUCUAACACAGCUAAAUAAGAGAGAAAUCAAUCAACCUCCUCUCUCUAUGGGAAAGAAAUUAUCAAAUAGGGAUAUAUCUACUCAAGCCACCAAAUAAGAGUCUCAAAUAAAUGAAAUUCUAAAUAGAUAAUGCUAGACUAUAAAGAUACCCAAUGAGGAUAAAUUACAUCAAGUAAUAAUAUCAAAUAAUAUUAAUAUCCUCAAGUAGUGGUAGAAAUAGUAACAAUAAUAUAAAUAUAAAUAUAAUGAAUAGGCAGUACAAAAAUGAACAUCACUAUCAUGUACUACUGAAGGUCCACAAUAAGUCCAAUGUGCCAAGAUAAAUGGGACUUGAACCCAAAAGCUACACCCAUACUCAGCUAAUGUUAAUAUAGAUCUACUAAAAUACCCUAGAUUUGGACCCUUAGAAAGUUUACUAAGUUGAGCAUUUUGGACAUCAUACAACUUGAUCAAAUUAGUUGUAUGAUGUGAUAUGGUUUUGGGUCCCUCCGCUCAUAUGAAGAUUAGUGUGGAUUAGUUGUAUUCUAUCCAACGUACAAUUAAGCAUCUUUCUAGUCGUAUGUUAGGGUACGAGUAGUAUGCUACCUAAUCAUAUGAUAUCCUAUGUCUGGCCUAGAGAAUUCUAUUUAGCGUACUGUUAGAGGUACUAAUCAUAAGAUUGGGUACAAUUUGGUCUAGGGAAUCAUACAUUAGAAAAUAUUGGAGUCCAACUUUAUUCCUAGGUACAAGUGGUGUGUACCAUUCUUAUGUUUGUGUACGAGAAAAGAAGGGGUUGUACCCUCCUGUGCACAUUUUAAAACUUUUUAGCUGAGGAUAUUUUAGACACUUUCCAUCCUAAAACCCUUAAGUCCCCACGUAUUAAAACAUAUUGUGUCCUCUCAUAACAUACUUUGAAAUAUAAAAACACUUCAAAAUCCUCUCUAAAAUCUCUCAAGAAAAUUGGGGCUAGGGUUUUACAAAGGUGUUCAUCUAGAGGCUCAAGAGUGAAGUUUCUUUCGUGAAUCUUCAUGAAUAAGGCAUGCGACUCUUACCUCAUUGUUAGUUCAUAAAUAUCAUAUAUUUUAGAGAUUUUUUAUGAUUUAUAAAUGGUGGUUUUGAAAAUCAAUGUUGAGGGUUUUGUUGCAUAUGAUUGAGUAUUGUUUACUCAUGGCUUAACUUAUGUUUAUACAUAUUUUUGGUGAUGGUUUCCAUAUAUAGGUUCUUGGUAAUUGUGGUUUAACAAAUGGGUCAUGGGUAACCCUAAACUUGAAUGUUUUUACUUUGGUUUUGGUUUUGGUAAUGGUAUGCCCUCAAAGUGUUUGUGAAAAUGCCUAAUAGAAUAAAUUUGUUAAAUGCUAAUGGUCUUUUAAACUAAGAAAUUAGCCUAAUGAAGAUAUAUGGUUGGUAAAUGGUAUUUUAAAGGCCUUGUUGGCCAUGUAAUUAUUUAAAAGAUAACCUUGGUGGUUUAGUUGUCUAUAAAGAGAUUAAAUCCCUAAAUAUUAAAUGGAUUGAUGUCUUUACUAGACAAUGGGUUUGCCUCGCUAAACUUUGAAUUGAAUAAGUGUCUUUGUUAGAUAAUAGGUUUAUAUCCUAAAGUCAAAUGAAUGAUUGGUUGAUUAAUAAUGGUAAUGUUAUAUUGUACGCUUGCAAGAGGUGUUGGUAUGAUGAUAUUAACAAAGUGCCUUUGGUAAGUAAUUGGCUUAAUGCUUGUGUAUGUUAAAUGAUGGUUUAAAUUAGGCUUUAAAAGUGGGAUGUGUAGUUGGGCCAUGAAAAUGGAGUCUGAAGGACUAACAUUGGAAACUGCACUAGUAGGUGCGGGAGUAUUUGUAAUUGGGUGGUUUGGGUCCACCAAAUGAAUAUGUGAAUAGAAGGUUCAAGUACCUCCAAUAUAUGUAUUAGUUUUUAAGUCACCUUGAUUAUGCCAGGAGAUUCGAGUCCCCCAUAUAAGCUUAUACAGUUUUGGAUAUUCUAUGGUUCGUGCAGCUAUAUGCACUGAGGCCCUUCCACCCAGGGGAGAGCUAUUCACUUAUAGCCCAUGGAUGCCAUGCUUUAGGAUGGCUAUGCUACAACAUCCCAGGUUUUAAUGAUUUCAAAGUUCAUGCUAAUCUUGUUCCCUGCCUCUGCAUGGUAUAUAUGUAUAUGUAUAUAUUACAUUGGUUGAUUGGAUUUGACCUAGUGGCAUUAUUUUAUCCUUACCCUAGAGUUACAAGCUAGCACUCCAACCACUAAUCAUCUUCGAUGCUGUAUCCCUACGUGAUGCAAUUAUUGGUGAUAUUCUUACACCUCCUAUUCAAUGAUUGGACUUGGGAACAAAUUGUGUUGACUUAAAGAGGUGAGCUCCUAUACUUUGAAAGGCUCUAUUUCUUUAUUUCAGUUUUAUUAUGUCUUUAUUGAUUUAGACUUGGACAUUGGUUUUAGCUAUGGUUUGGUUCAUGUCUCGAUAAGGUAUUCUUAGAUAUCUUUUAGAGGAUUUAUAUAGACAAAUAGUGGACUUGGUUAGGUUACGGUAUAGAUAUGGACUUUGUUGUUAUUUUUAUUUUGUUAUGGUUGUUAGUUGGGCAUUGGACAGAUAGACUUGUUUGGGUUGGUCAUGGUCUUAGACCUAUCCUAAAGUCUUUGUGUUGUUAAUCACAUUAUCUUUUUAUAUGUUCAGAAAUCAUCCGACUCAGGGUAUAUGCUGGUUGGUUGGAUUGGGUAAUAGGAUGAUCUCCAGCCUUAGUUGGGCUUGAGAUGCCCAUUAUGACAAGGCCCUAGUUCAGGUCAUUUCAUCUAGCCCAUACACUACUAAAAGAAAUAAGCCAUGGAGAUAGUCAUAUAAUCAUGAUUCAAUAAUAAGGAACAUAAUAAUCCAUAUGAACUUAUGAAAGAAUAUAAUCAUCAAUGGGUACAAAGAACCCAAUACACACAAUGAAAAGGUAAAUACAGGGAAAUAAAAGCACACCAAUUAUGAUGAUAUGCACUACCACAUGCCUGAUAGAUCUACGAGAUAACAAAUCUAAAUGGGUCCAAACUUUGACCAACCUACUGAAUUAUCAAAUGAGAUACUAAGCUCAAUACCUCUAACAGAAGGUGCCACAAUCAUCAUGAGGCUGAUCUAAAUGAGAUAAAAGUUUAGCAAUCCCAUAUCAGGGACACUCUCUAUGACAAUAGCCGAUAUGUCUUUAGUCUUAGAAACUCCUGUGCACGAAAAUGGCAAAAACAAACUGAGCCCAAAUGGCUAGCCAACUGAUGUUGAGAGCACUCUCUAUUUCGAAUGAUCAUCCUUUCCAUAGUCAUAGUUGUUUCAGGAAUUAUAGGUUGUUGGGGAAUACAUGCUAGCUCUUUCUGAUCAACUAAAUCAUAUUCGGGGCACUCUUUCAGCUACUGUAUAAUCACAACUCAUUCAAAACAAGAUCUUAGAAUAAUUUGAGAUACUACCCCUUAUAAUCUAGAAUAACUACCAUGGCAUGAAGACCCAUACCAAGAACUAAGCAAGGUUUGAUAAGAACUCUGCCAACUAUAAUCAGCAUGCUAAAUAUAAGGACCAUUCAUAGUACGAAAUACUGCUUAUGUAGAGAUGAUGCGCUACAAGUGAAGUUGACCUUUACCGAAAGGAUCCUUACUCCCGGAUAAAAUACCAAUAACAUAUUACCAAGGUCAUGACCUCUUGCCGCCACCUCCAUAAGUCUCAAUAUGUAGUCUCUCUAUGGCUCUCGAAUGAUUAACAACCUGAGAGAAGUAAGACCCAACUACUAUGAAUUACUCUAACACCAAACAAAGUGGCAAUGCCGAUCCUCUAACAAAUCUAUGCACUAUGUCUUGCUCUAAAGGAUAUAGAAUAGGAAAAUGCUAGGCUCAAUUAAUAAAUACUAUCUUAAACUCAAAAACUAGUAAAGAACCCUAAUUAACACCAGUAGACCUAACUCUAGUCUAAGAAAUACUCGAUGAAUCAAAUGUCAUCCAUGGCGGGGAGGGGUCUACAACAUGACUCGAAUCUUCGAUGUUGAACCUUAAAGAGCUGAAGUAGUCACAAGCUUUAUUGGAGAUUAAGCUGGUCUUAAAUCCUUUAGCAGACACUAAAUUUAUUCAAUAUCCAUCUCUAAAUUUCUAGUUCGAUACUGCACUGAAGCUAAAAAAAUAUGUCAAAGUUUAUCCAUGUCUAUAAACCAUCUCACACUGCCCAUUUAGGAAUGAAUAGAGUUAAGAAAUAUGAUUAACGCUCAUUUCAGUGCAGACACAUGAAAGUGAGUCAAUAAAUAAAUUUCCUAAGAUUGUCUUUGUAGCCUUCUAAAUAUAGGUUACGGACAUCUCCGCACCAAUCCGCAUGACUCUACUAAACACUUAGGUUUUAUAUUAACACACUGGUGAAACAUAGGCUCUGAUACUAAUUUGUCACAACCCAAUUUCUUGGAUCUUGAUGGCUCCUACUAUAACCCACCAGUAGGCAAGUCAAAUGCAUUAUUAGAAAUGGCUAGUAACGAACUACCCAAAGAUAUUAAGGAAAGAAUAUAUAAUAUAUGAAAUAUACAAUCAAUUACACAAUAUAAUCUUAAAACCUGGUGGUAUUAGUACAAGAGGUUCUACAUAAAUUAGAUUUCAAAGUGAAGUACAAAUGGAUAUACUAAUACAACUUAUCUCUGAAUGCAACAUAGAGACUAUGUAAUACAUAAUAGUGACAUAAGUAAAUACUCAAAGUAUCAGGAGCUCACUUUAUGGCUCCAAACUAUGGCUGCUCUGCAUGAUGUACACAUCAAUGGUGAUAACUCGCACUAUGAUAUGAAGGUCACAAAAGUGUAGUAUAAAUACCAAACACUUGGUACUCAAUAGGCAACUACCAAUUGAGCUCCAAAGAUAAAGCAGAUAUAUAAUAUUUAAAUAGAAUGAAAAACUAUAUCCAAAUAUCCAGCAACCGUAUAAGAGAUUCAAUGAGACAAUAAGUAUAACCUAUCCUAUUCAUGUCAUAGAGACUUACCAUAUUAAGGCUAAGGAAAUAAUAAGAAUUCACUAUCUUAUUCGAAUCAUAAUUAGGAAUCUUAACACCAUAUCACCUAUCACUUGCUAAUAUACAAAUAAGAGCUAAGGAUAUAUAUAUAUAAGAGUACAUAGCAAAGGUCUACUUGAAUACAACCUAAGUCAUCAGACUAGCCAUUUAAGGACUUAGAAUCAUAGUUGAAGCUAGUAUUAGAAUACUCAGGGUUCUAAUCAAUAUAUCACAUCAUCAGCUGGUCAUGCAAAAUAAUAUAAUCAUAAUAUAAAGAGGUCAGAAUCAUACCUCAAGCUUCAAUUCCAAAUCAAUCAUAAGCUAUCCUGAACAAUUAUAAUAAUAAUGUCAAUAAAAAUGUGAGUAACUGACUACUCCAGAUAACUAAAUACCUAACUGAUCCAAUCACGUGACCCAACUAUUCAAGGCUUAGAAGGUUUAAUCAAUAUACAACAUUCCUCAAGGCAUAGUCAUCACUCAUACCAAUGUAACCCUCCUACAUGAGCUGAUAGAUAUAGGUGCAUACUGGUGAUAGGCAAUGCACAUUAUAGAAUGGAUGCAUCCAAAAUCCAUAAUUUUAUAAUAUCAUCAUCAUAACCAUCACUAUCAUCAUAAUCUUCCUUCAACUUUGUCGAGUAUAUAUACAUAAUUUCCAUACAUAGGGAUAUCCAAAUUCAAAUUGGUAGAUGUAUACAUAGACAUAUAAAUAUAAUUAUCCUCCGACAUUGUCUGGUAUCAAUAUCAUCAACAUAGCAUCCUUCAGCCUUUUCGGGUAUCAAUAUGAUUACCACAUCAUCCUCUGGCAUUAUCGGGUAUUAAUAUCAUUAUUACAACAUCCUCUGACCUUACUGGCUAUCAUCACAAUCAUCAAUCUAAACAUAUAUAUAUAUAAUAGGUGCACGAACCCAAGCCAUGGCUAAAAGAGUGUUAGUCCAUAAAUCCAUUGCCCACAGUGAUCUUUGGGACUAAAUUAUGAUAAAAGUGUAAAAAAGGUUGGAAUAUCUCAUGACUGGAAUAAUUAGUAGUGUCAAAUCAUAGACCAGAAUCUAUAAUCUUCAAACAUCAUUAUUAAUGUCUUUUGUAUAUAAGGUAUCCAUUAAGUCAGGCAUUUAUUAUUAGAAAGAAAUCUUUAUUUUAGAUAAAAAGUGGGAUUUAACCCUUAAUUAGGAAGAAUAGUCAUAAGAUCAUAUUUUAACUAGAAUCACAUCAUUUAUGGAUAUAAUGAUCAUAAAUGUAUCAAAUCUAUGCAUGCCAGUAUUCAAUCAAUGGAAUCAUAAGUGUCAUGUCGCAUCUUUCUCCAUCUCAUAGUAGAGAUGUGUGUGUGUGUAUAUCUAUAUUUAUAAAUAUAUCUUGCAACACAUCUCUUACAAUAAUAAACACUUCCCGAAUGUCCAAUUGAUGUCAUAAUAUGACCCUUGGCCUAAUAAUGUGUCGUAAUAAUUAUAGCAUCAUAAAUAGAGCCUUUGUCUUACAUACGUAUUUAGAAUACAUAUCAAUAAUCAUAUCUAUACGUUAUCUCAUAUUAUAAGCCAUAGCAUAUUUAUGAGGCAUGACCUCUCUACAAGCCAUAUGGCAUAUUUAUACUCAUCUCAUAUAUAGAAGGCAUUUCACUUCUAGAAGGCAUAAUUCAAUAAGAAUCUCACAUCUAGGAGGCAUAAUAAUAAUAAUAAGCAUCUCAAAUCUAUUAUCAUGUAUCAUGACCAUGAAGAAUAUCAUCUCUAUAGGUGAAUUAUCAUAUCUAAGAGGAAUGACAUCUCCAAAGGCCUAAUAUCACUUCAAAUAGGAAAUAACAUCUCUAAAGGCCCAAUAACAUGGCAAUAAGCUGUUAAUCAUAAUCUGGGGAAAGUCAUCAAAAUUUACUUAGCCAUGAAGAAAACUUAUUCUAAAGGCUCAAUAGUCUCAAUUAUGCCUACUAUCCGCAACUAUGUCCACAAGGCUAACACAAGUCUUAUCCUAAGAUGAGACACAAGAACCCACUUCUAAUUUUUAAUUUCCCAUAUUUAGAGAAUUUACACCCCAAACUAGGCUAAGGUAUCUAGUUCAACUUCUAGAUGUUAAAUAAGCCAUAACCAAUCCUAUGAUAGGAACUUCAUCUAUAAAAAUGAGAAUUUAAGUCUGCUCCACCUAAAUUACAGUUUUAAGAUCACAACAAUAGACCAAAUAAAGUAAAAUAAACUAACCAUACUCCCAAUGCUAAAACCACAUCUCAAACCUAGCAUUAUAUCUUAUACAUUCUAAGAAUUAGUUCAAUUUAAGAAGAAGGCUAUAGGAAUCAAUCCCAAAAAUAGAAUUAUAUCAUAUCCAUCUUCACUUAACAAUUCCAAAAUUCCAUCUAUCUUUUACAAUCGUAAUCUACUCAUCAAUACGAGAAUAACAAUACGCAUAUUGCACCAUUAUGCUUUAGGAUAAAAAAUGGCACUAAAAUAACCAAGUGGGUCCCAUUUAUGGAAAUUACAGUUUUGAGAUCAACCCAACAUUAAUACAUGAUCAAGGAAUCAUAGUCCUCAAGAAAUGGGUGAAAACCAAGCUAAUUUGGGGCUACAAUCAAGCCUUUAAGUUAUUUGGGGUUUUGGGUCAAGAACUAAUGAGUUUAGUAAGAAAGUGAUGAUAUCUUUCCUUAAUUUAGAUCAUAAUUGCAAUAAAAGAUAUUAAUCAAACUCCCAAGUCACUCCAAAGACUAAAUUUGAAGUAAUCACACUCUUUUAGCAUUUUAAUUCUCAAGGUUGAGUCAAAAAUGCCCAAAACAUGGCCUAAAGAGCCCCUCUAUACCCAUACUAGGUACAGAGGUAUUGCUAUCACAGACCAAGGAUUGUAAUUGCAAUGGGGCAAUCUCCAUGGACUUUCUACAUUUUUAAUUAGGUGACCAUGGUGGCUUUUGUGCAAUCACACAAGCAUCAGCACCAGCAAACUUGGAAAAUUUUCCAAGUAUCUAACAAUACAUCAAGAUUUAUUAGAAUCCAAUACACACAAAUGAAUUAUGUAACCACACUAAAUUUGAUGUUUUGGAUAUGAUGAAAAAGUUAGAUUUUCCAUCCGUCUACCAAUAUUGGUCCCACAAGCAAACUUCCAAUUUUCUAACUUUUCAACCAAUAGGUCAAAAUGAGUUUGGGUGUAUUGGGACCCAAACUAAAUGUCUACUCGUCCUAAAAUAAUAUUUUAGAGCUACUGGUAUAGUUAAAAUUUGCAUUGGAUAUUGUUUUACUAAAGUUUUCAUCCGAUGUCUAUUUGGAACAAGUGAAGACUUCAAAAUAGGGAAUUGGCUCUAAGAACUUAAUGAACUACUCGAUAACUAAAUUAUCAGUUCCAGAAAGCCAUAAAUAACUUAGGGCAGCUAAGAGAAAGCUCUAAUAAGUGUAUAUAAGUGGAAAUGUGAAAAAUAACUUAGAGGGUCAUUACAAUUGUUUAUGUGAUUGUAAUGGUUGGGUUUAAUUUGGGUUAAGGGUUAUGAUUAUUGCUUGAAUUCAAUUUCCAUAGUUUAAAUGCAUUAUUUCUGCUUUAGUUGAUGAUUUUUUGGGACUAAAUGGGUGCAUUGGUGUUGUAAUUUGAAUUGGGUCAUGGGUUUUCCCUAAUUCUGGAUAUUUGGAAUUAGAAUUAGUAUUAACCUUAAUCCACUUGCAGAUUUUGCUUUUAAACAAGGUUAAUUGCAUAAUGUAACUUGUCCUUUAAAAUAGUCGUAGUGCAUUAAAGAACAAAUGGAUAAAAUGGACUUGAAUGUCCUUGGUGGCUAUGGUUUGGAAUUUUAAAUGGAAAUUAGGAGUCAAUUUGGUAAUUUUAAUUCGAUUGCAUAAUUAUAUCACCUUGCAAGCAUAAUUGGUAUGACGAUACCAUGUGGUAAAUGCCUAGUAAUGACUACUUGGUUUCAGGGAUGGAAUUAUGUGCUUAAUGUUUUAAUAUGUGCUUAAUGGGGAUUGUGUAGCUCACCAUGAUGGUGUAAUCUCGAGGGGACUACUAUGGAAAUCCUAUUUGUUGGUGUGGGGGAGGGGGCUUUAUGACAUGUGAUUCAUGCACACAAUUAAUAUAUAUAUAUAUAUAUAUAUAUAUAUAUAUAUAUAUAUAUUGAGAUGGCUCUCUCCUUUUUUUCUCUAGNNNNNNNNNNNNNNNNGGGUUUAUAUCAUAUGUGAUAUACACACACUUUUUAUAUAUAUAUAUAUAUAUAUAUAUAUAUAUAUAUAUAUAUAUAUAUUGGAAUGGCUAUCGCCUUGGUUUCUGUAGCUCUUCCUCAAAUUUACUUGAUUUAUACGGCUAACAUGCACUUGGGCUCUUUUGGAAGAGGGAGUCAAACCCAUAUAGAGCAUGGGUUCCCUUACGAUUGAUUGAGAUACUCAGUUCAGGUUACUUACUUUUAAACAUGCAUGUUAAUAAAUCCUCUUCCCAAUCCCGUCAUCCUAUAUAUGUAUACAACUAUUGUGUAUAUGAUUUUGGAAUAGUUUUAGUUUUGGAGUGCUUUUGGCAUUAGCAUUAAUUUAUUCCUUUUUUAAGUUACAUAUCGGUGUUUAUCCCACUGACCAUCCUAGGACUCUGCAUCAUUUCAUGUUGUAGGUUUAGAAGACUUUUCUAUUGCCCAUAUAUAGUGUUAGGUGGUGUGGUUAUCCGUUGAGUUGUUGUGAAGUAGUGAACCUCCAUCUUCGAGAAAGCUUUUCCAUUUUCUUAGGUUCUGUUCAUAUUUUGGGAAUUGAAUAGUUCAAUUAUCAUGGUCGAGGUGAUGCUCUUACCUAAUUUGGUAUUCUAGUUGUAGAGGCUUUGUGGACAAGUGUGGGGUUGUUGGUCAUUGUAUUUGACUUAUAUUCUCUCUCUUAGUAUCAUACACAUACCUUUCAUUAUUUUAGUUUUCUUCCACUUGAAAUUUAUUAUUAUUAUGCUCUUAAGGUUAGGCUAAGGGGAUGGUGUUCGGUCCAUGGGGGGCUUGAGAUACCCAUUAUAACUAGGCCCUAGUUUGGGUCAUGACACUACUACUCUAAAAAAAUUAUUUCAUCAUUUAUUGAAUUUCAUUUAACCCAUUUUGAGGUGGGUUCAUAAUUGAAAUCAAUGUAUAAGAAUACUUUAGAUAAAAUGUUUAAUUAGAAUUGCCCUUCCUCCAUAGGAUAAAAACAUUCCUUUCCAUCCCUAUAUUUUCGAGUUAAUUCUAUGGACCUCCUGAUUGUAGUUGCUUUUCUAUUUCCUUUUGUAGAAAAUUCCUUCCUUAGUAUUUAGUUUCUACUGCAACUAAAAUAACAUACCUUUCUUAAGUAUUACUACUCAAAUAUAUAGAACUUGAUUCAUUGAUGAUACUCUAUCAAUACUCUAACCUGAUGUUCUUUCAAACUUUUGGAAAGUCUCAGCUACCAAUUCUCAAAGUUCCUGCCUCUGCCUUGCAUAAAAUUAUCAUAUAAUCUACUAAGGCAAGAUGAUUUAUUAUUGGACUUCCUCUUGGCAUACCAAACUUUUUAAACUCCUAUUUUCUUAGUAAUGGAUUUAGUGCUCAAGAUAGAACCUCCGCUACUAUAAUAAACAAUGUUGGAGAUAAAGGAUCCUCUUGUUAAGUCCUUGGAGCAAUUAAAAAGUCCUUUAGGAUGACCAUUUAGUAAUAAUGAAUACUAGUUGUUACUUAUCAGCCUAUACACCAAACUUACUAUUCUAUCACUUAAGCCAAUUUUCCUCGGAGCUUGAAAUAGGAAAAAACUAUUCUACUCUGCCAUAGGCUUUCAUCAUGUCUAGCUUGAUUACCUAAUUAGGAGACUUACCCCUCUUCCUAAUUUUUACUAUUAUCUUCUAUACCAAAAAUAUAUUCUCAACAAUACCUCUUCCCUAUACAAAUCCAAAAUUUUCACUAGAAAUGAUCCUUAGAGGUACAACCUUUAUUAUCCCAUGUAUAAUCCUGGAGAAUAUUUUAUUGAUAAAGAUGCUUAGAUAUAUAGGUCUUAGGCCUAAAUAAUAACCUUGUUAGGGUGUAGUACCAGAUUAGUAUGAUUUACAAAUUUAGGAAUUUUUUCUCCACAAAAAAAAUAUUGUUCCAUAUUAUAAAUGUCAUCUCCCACUAUCUCCCAUGUAUCUUGUUAAAAUGCUCUAUUUAUUCAAUCUAGCCCACUUAGACUAUUUCUAUUUAAUCCCAUGAUUAUUUCAAGACUUUUUCUUUGGUUUACAUUCUUUUCAUCUCAUCAUUCUGUUCACUCCCAGUAAUAAUAGGUAUCACCUCUUUAUAUCAAAAUUAGUAAUUCCUAAUUGUCUCUUGAAUUGGUCUUUGUAAAACUGCAAUGUUGUAUUUGUAAUAUCCUCUUGUUAUUCCAUCCAUUCUCCUUCUAUAUUGUAAAUUAUAUUUAGGCUCAAUCAAUUUCUUCUAACUCUAACUACAGUAUGGAAAACAUGGUAUUCCUUGCUUUACCUUAAACCAUUCCAUUCCUAUAUUUUGUUACCAAAAUUCUUCCUCUCUAUGUAAAUAUAUGUUUAAUUUAACUUGGGCUAUAUGUAGUCUUUCUCUAUUUGAACCUGAGGUAUUCUCUUAAAUUGAGUCUCCUUUAUUUUAAUCACCUUCUCUAAAGUAAAAAUUUCCUAAAAUAUAUUACCAAAAGUUGCUUGACUCCACUGUCAAAUAACCUUUAUUAGUUUCUUUAUUUUGAAAUGGUAUACAAAAAAUAGAUUUCCUUCAAAAUCAUCAUGCCAGUUGUAUUUAACAAUCUCCAUAAAUGACUCUUCUUUUAGCCAAAAAUUUAAAAACGUAAAGUAUUUUAUCACUUCUUUUGUCUCAUUAUUCAAAGUGAUAAGAAUUAGGGCAUGAUCAGAUCCAAUCCUCAAGAGAUAUUCCACUUCUACAAUAGGGAAUUUCGCUGGAAUCAAUUGAUUACACAUAAAUCUAUCCAACCUUUUGAAUAUGCUCGCCUUAUCUAUUCUUCUAUUCCACCAUGUAAAUUUACUACCCUUAAAUCUCAUAUUGAUAAGGCUGAAAACAUUAACACAGUGAUUAAAGUCCCUGAACUCAUCUUCAGUCAUAGGUAAUCCCCAUAGUGUUUCCUUUUUAGUAGUGAUAACAUUAAAAUCUCCGCUAACUAGCCAGGUUUUCUGAAAGUCAUUACAGACAUCACUCAAAGAUUCGCAUAACUGCAAUCAUUUUCCUUGAGAAUAUUUAGUAUAGACCAAGGUUACUACAAUGUACACUUCUAGAAUUUGGUUUAUCACCCUAAGAGUAAGGUAUUGUUCCUUAUCUCUUAAUAUUUCUACCUCCAUCAAUCCAUCUUAGAAGGCCCAAAUCUUUCUAUUUACAUUUACGAAACCAUGUUUGAACCCCUAUUUUAUUUUAUAUACUUCUAGCUCUUGUCUACCUUGAAAAAGUUCCAUCAAUCCUACAAAGUAAAAUUUAUAUCUUCUAUUCAAAUUAACAAGUCUAGUAAAUUCUUUGUGAGUAUUCACAGACCUUAUAUUCCAAAGUAGAGCAUUCAUUAAGACUUAUUAGUUUGAAAUGCAGUACUCCUUAUUUGUAUGGAAUUGGCUUGACCAAUCAAAUGUCAUGUUCCGCUUUUUUACUUUCUUUUUGAAUGGAUAUCCUUUAAUUUGUAUAUAUGAUUGGGUGAUACACCACCCCAAUAGCCAACUUUUUUUAUGUUAUUGUCCAUAUCAGUAUUGUCUUGGGCAUCAUUUGAAUUCAGUCCCUUAUUAUCUUAUAAUUUUGGUUGUACAUCUAAUGGUAACACUUCAUUUUUAUCUACCUUUGAUACUGUUAUUGCACCUUCUUCCUCUACACCUUUUGAUUGUUCUAAAUUUUUUGGUUGUUCAUGCUUUAUCAACUCUCUAUUUUUCACUAUUGGACUUCUUAUUUAGAUGCUCAUAUUGAUCAAAUUUCUUUUGACUAUUUUUGUGAUUUUCUUCCACUUAUUUCACCUACUUCUUGAUCUCCACCACUUUUUUUUCCUUUAUCCUUUGUUUUAUCAUCUCUUUUGUGACCUUUAACUUUAUUUGUAUGUGUUUUCUUUCCUUUUUGCUUUAUUUUUCAAAACUUUGAGUCACCCAACCUUUUUUGCAUUCCUUCACUAUAUUUUUUGGCUGGCUCUCAUCUUGCCUUACUUUAUCUACUUCAUUAAGUGCAAAAAAAGGAAUUUCAGCUUUAUAGUCUAUUUUUCCUUAGAUAUUCCCAUACCUAUCCUUUUUGUAUUUGUUUCUUCUCAUUGUCAUCCAUUCUUAUUUGUAAUGGUUAUUUCCAAUCAUUUUCCACCUUAUACUUCAGCCCUUUAAGUAAUUACAUUCCCUAACAUUACUUUCUCUAUAUUUUCUUCCUUAACCCCUUCCUCGUGUUCCAUUUCAAGUAAUUUUGGGUGUAUAGUCCAACAGUUCUCUUAAUCUUGGCCUUGUAAAAAGCAUUUCCUAUAGUAUUUUUGCAUAUAGUCGUAUCGUAUCGUAAUCCACUUGGACUUAAUUUCUCAUGUAAUAUAGUCCUUCUCAUUAAUUUUGACUCUUUCUAGCUAUUUUGUAAUCAGAUCUACUUUUAUCUUUACUUUAGCACAGCUGGGUCGAAUCUGAUUCCUCAUUGCCAUAUCUACUAUAAGUGGCUUCCCUACAAUGCAAUAGAAAAAAUUGCAUUCUUUGCACAAAAUUUUAGUGGUAGGUUUGGCAAAAAAAUCCAUGCAACUACUGUUGUCAUUUCUACCUCAGGUUCAAACCAUGGAUCCCACUUGGAAGUUCUCAUCUUCCAAUAUAUCUCCUUGGUCUUUAAAUAAAAAUUUGUGGUCGAUAACAUAUGCACAUAAUCCUCUAAAAAAGUGAGUCGCACCAAAAUAUGUCUUGAAUCCUAUAUACCUAUUGUGCAUGCAUUUUUAAUUCCUCACUGACUCGGUAGGAAUCUCCUGAAAUCAUUAAUAUUUGAAUUACCAAAUGAAAACUUUCAUACUAAAUCAUAUUGAAAAUUUUCUUUUAUAUUAAACGUAUUAAUCCCUGAUUUUUUCCAUGUUAUGGAUGGUUCUCCUUGUAAUAGAUCAUAGGUUUAGGUGGAACUAUAGGCAAUGGUUUGGAGUUAGGUUUGACAAUGUUCAAGUAUUGCAUAUUCCUUGGAGGCACUACUGUACUCUAAUUAUAAAUAUAUGGUUCAUUCUUGGAUGGUAGGAGAGGAAAUUCCUCUGAUGGGGGUGUUCUUACCGAUGGUAUUAUUCAUAAUGCUAGUUGUCGGCAAUCUGAUUAAGGUUCUAGUCCAUUUGCUUAAUGUUAUACACCUUCUUAGCUUAGUGCUCAUAUGUUAUGUGUUCAUUGUUUAUUAUCUUGAUAUGUGUUACAGUCCACUUUCCCGUGUACUAAAAUCUUUAUAAUUCAUGUUUCCACUUGUUACAUGUCAUAUAGUUUAUUUUCUCACAUGACACCUAUAUUUUACAUGCUCCUAUAUUAUAGGUUGUUACAACUUACUUGUAUCUCAAUCAUAUGACCUAAUAGCUCAAAUGUCUAUGUGUAGUAUGCCUCAUAUAUACACUUGUUCAUGUACUAUCUGCAUUUCCUUAUUCUUUAUUAUUCAUAUACUAGGUGGUCUCUACGCUUGCUUGUCUAUGUGUCAUAGACUGCAUGCCACUUAUUUGUUCAUAUCUUAUAUGCCCUUCUAGCUUAUUGGCUUAAAUAUAAAAAUAUUGGGAUAAAUUUCCACCUUAUCAUGAUGAAAUAAGGAUUUUUGCAGAAAAGGUUGGGCACCUAGCAAAUUUUAGCAUGACCCUUACCCAUAGAAAGAUGGAUAUGUAAAGUGAAAUAUUUAGAUAUAUCCUCCAUCAGAGUAUUGUGAAGGAGUUAGGGUACUAAAAAGAUAUUUGGAAAUAUGAGGACCCUACUAAUUCUAAGAAUUUGUUUAUUCCUGGAAAAUGUAAGAAGUUCCUAUAUUAUUCCUCUUUCUUAAAUGACUAUAAGUCCUAUAUGAAUCUAUUCACAAGUACAUAGGUUUGUAGCUCAUUAGUAAACUUGUUUCUUGCUCACGUGUCAUAUGUUCAAAGGUAUAGUGCAUAGUUGUUAUUCCCAAGUUCCAAGUGUUUCACCUCAGGCUAAUGUAUAAGAAAUGGAGAUAAAGGUAUGUCAUGCUAUAGCGAAAUUGUUUCAUUUGAUUAUAUGCACACAAGAGGAGCCUUACUAAUAAUUUGAUUAUUUCAUGUGCUACACUUAUUGAAACACCAUAUGAGGCAUGUUUAUAUGUGUUUUUGGUCAAUUGGGAUAUUUUGGAUUGUCCUAUUUACAAAGGGAACUUUAGCAAAAUUUUGGAGUGUAUCAAAAGUUGAGCUUGUUUUGAGCAACCCCUAUAAUUCAAGGACUUUUGAGCAACCCCUAUAAUUCAAGGACAAAUGAUCCAAAGGAAGGAUGAUGUAACACCUGGUACCUUCCAAAACAUAUUCUACUAAGGGAAUUCGACAAAAAUAUUUGAACUCAAGAUGGUAAAAGGUGUUAUUUGAUGUUAAAACACCUUCUACUCUACUUUUACUAGUUCUAUUUAUAUUGAAACUUGAGGUAGCCUCGUUGUAUAGGUAAGAUACAACUUACUUAAGAAAUUUAAGGUUUAAAAUAUAUUUAAAGGAUACUAUAAUAUCCCAUACAUUUCAUCAUGUGUUUGGCUAAGUUAACCUUGACGGAAGGGUUUAAGCUUGAGAUAGUAAUAUGGCAUUCUACUUUAUUGUUUAAAGUUGCCAAGUAUUCAUAAGUCUUGAGUUAAAGCAACAGGGUUAAGGUUUUAAAAAAUACAACAAAAUAACUAAACCGCUUUCUUGACUUAAAUUUAACUAGUAGGUCUCAAGUAGGUAUAUCACCUAUAUUUGACUUAUAGACUAUUCUAAAGAACAAAGUAGGUGCAUCAUCUACUAAAACUCUUUGAUAAACUUAAAGGGCCAAGUAGGAUCACAAACUACUUGAAUUAAUUAUGGCCGGAAUUGAUUAGAAGAAAAGGUGAAGAAUGGGCAACAAAACCACAAUAAUUUUAAGUCGACCAAUUUAAUCCAACUUGACUGAUAUGUACACUUACCUAAAUAAUUAUAAAUAAUUAUAUGCAUAUCAACCAUUAUGUAUACUCAAAAAACAACAACAACAACAAAAGACAUAUUUACACCAACCAAGUCAAUCAUGUUCUAAAGGCUCCACUUAGGCAUGAAAUUCUGUAAUAACCCGAUCGUUUCUUAAGCCUAAAUUCGUCUUUUAAGUGAAUAUAGAUGACUUCCAAUGUAAUUGUUGUUUAUAUCAUGUUGUAUUUCCCUAAAUUACACUUUAUAUCAUGUGGAAAAUUGUAUAAGAUUUCCAUCGACAUAAGAUUUACCUGAAUCGGACACCCGAUUAAGGAGUUAGAGCCAUUUUGUAAUACCCCGAGACUCUAACCAAUAGAAGAAGCCAUGAAUCAAGAUCAUGAGAAAUAAAUUAUAGUUCUUUUAUUUUUUUUAAAUCAAGGGUGAUGUGUAUUAAUUUCUCAAAGAUGUCCUAGCGAGUAGGUGAAUCAAAAAAUUCCUUACCGAUUGAAUUCUUGGGAAAGAUUUUUCCAUAUCCAAAUUCAAAUCAUCAUUUUUCUCGUUAUACUACGAAUCAUUGAGCCCAUGACCUACCAAAAGAUAGAUAAUUUAAUUAUCUUUUCAAUGAUACCAAUUUCAUUAAAAUCCAAUAUCGGAGCAAUGAGUAAUACCUAUUUUACUCCCGCAUGUCAGCCUGGAAACUCCAUGACGACCUUUUGUGACAACUUGUCACAAGCCUGAUGGCUUGUCACAAAGUGUCGUCACCUUAAGGCAAAAAGUCACAAAAUCCAACCUUUUGUGACAACAUUUGGUGACGACUUGUCACAAAAUGUUGUCAACCUUAAGCCGAAAAUCAUAUAAUUCACCCUUUUUGUGACGAUAAUACGUGACGGCCUAUCACGGGCCUGGCGACUUAUAACGAAUGUCGUUAGCUAUUUUUUUUCCACCAAUUAAGGGACAUUUUUUCAAGGUCAUUUUGGUCAUUUCCGCCCAUUUUGGUCAUAUAUAUAUAUAUAUAUCCAAGUAGAGAAGAGAAGUUUAUUUUCUCUCAUUUCUCUUCCAAGAAAGAUUUAGAACUAGGGUUUCUUUCAAAAUCCUAAAUCAAAUCUUCUGCAAGAAAAUUAAAAAAUAUUUCCAAGAUUUCAGUAAGUUUUGCAAAAAUCAAGUUCUCCAAGUCAAAGGCAUCAAGAACUUAGUUCAAAAGUGUGAAGAAGAGUUUCGAAUCAAGCUUGCUCAUCUUAAAAUCAUAAUCCAAGUUGGGAGAUUUGAACAAGAACACUUCUUUCAUUCUUGUGCGCAAAGAUUUAAUUUUUGCUAUUGAAAUUCAUGAUUUUGCAAAGUGGGUUUACACCCAAAUUACUUUAUUAAUGAUUUAUGAUAUUUGAGCUAUUCAAGAUUGAUACACAUGAAUAUUUCAUCAUUUUAUUUCUUAAAUUGAGAACUUAUGCCAUGAGUUGAAUAUUGUUAUUAUGAGUUGAUGAUUUCCGAAUGAUUCGAGAUAAGAGUUAUUAUUUAAGCUUUUCUAUGAGAAGUUUGAUUAUUGAAUAUAGAUAUUGAUAUUUGUUCUUGAGAGUAAAGAAUGAGUUCUAUGAUGUUUUCUUGAAGUUUUUGAUACAUGAUUAUUUUACAAUUUCCAAAUUAUGACUUGAUAUUCAAUAUUGUGAAUUUCAUAUUUCUACCAUGAGUUGGUAUUUCAAGUGCUUUCAAGAGAUAUGUCAUGAUUUAAGAUUUCUUAUGACAAAUUAGAUUAUUGAGUAUAUUGAUUCAUGAGAUUGAGUUGUUACAAUGAGUCUUGAUAUUUCCUCAAAGUCAAUGAUGUUGCCAUGAUUUAAUGAAUUGAUACAUUUUGAUAUUGAGAAAGAUUGAUUUGAGUUGAGUUGAGUUAGGAAUCCACAAAUUGAUUAGGAUUUGAUAAAUGAGAAAGAUAUUUGAUUUGGUCUUCAUGGAAGACCAUUGUGAUGUUUGUGGUAGAUUUUCUAACGUGUUCUGAGCUUGUUUCUAGGAUUAAUAUUUAGCACCGAGUGGGAAAUAUGGUAUUUUCCCCAAAACUAUGUGCUACCAUAGGAUUGAUAUUGAUAAUUAUGGGCCGGAGGUCGAGUAUGAGAUUGUGAUCACUAAAUUUAGGUUGUACUCCCUGACAAGAGUACGAUGCUCCCGUCAAUGUGGUGUUCUCUCCUUAGGAGGGAAAAAUGUUGGACUCCAUGUAGCUUACAUGGUUUAUGUCGGUUAUAAGAAUCUCCCAAGUCCAUAAGAGUUCAAGUUUCAUGAGUUACCGAGACACUCUAAGUCAUGAGUUAAAGAGUUUGAGUUGAGUAUAAUGAUUUAUGAGAUAUAUAAUGCUUGCUUUACUAUUGAUGAUUUACAAGGAAUAUAUUUCAGUUAAUUCAAGCAAAGAAAGUCGUUAUCAUCAUCAUGCAUGAUUUUCAUAAUCAUUUAUGAUAUUAUUUAUAAUGUUGCAUUGUACUCCCACAUAUUCAGUACAUUUCUUAAAGUACUGACCCCCAUAUAUUUCUAUGUGCUAUAGUUUCUUAUAAUGUAGGUACCAGUUGUAGUGCAGAUACCACAUUCAGUCAGUCCUCCGCUCCCAGUCAGCAAGUGAUGAGUCCUUUUGAUUUGAGGGCUUGAGUUAGAUAUAGUUCAAAAAGUACCAUAAUUUUUUCCUUAUUUAGUCGUAUUGAGUUGGGGUACUUAGGAUUCAUGACACUACUACAUAGAUUCAAUGCUAUUAGAGGAUUCAUAGACAGGCAGUAGAAUUUGAUGUAUUCAUUUCCCAUUUUGUACAUAUAAACAGAGUUGUAAUUUUUUAAAUUUAGUUGGUAUUAGACAAAGUUAUCUUUUGUAUUAUUAUUUUCUUUUGAUAUGUGUAUAUUGUCCAGUUGCUCAUGAGUUAUGCCAGUAGAAGGGUUAGCUUGGGGUCACUUGUGCCCCUAAGCACCGUGUGAUGACUCGGGACCCAAUCUUGGAGCGUUACAAACUUGGUAUCAGAGCACUGAGUUCAAGUGACCUAAGGUGUCUAUGAAGCCGUUUCUAGUAGAGUCUUGCGGAAUAGUACGGAGACGUCUGUACUUUUCUUUGAGAGGCUACAAGACAUUUAUAAAAGGUCUUUAUUCUUUCAUGUCUUAGAUCAUGCUAUAGAAAUGUUCUUUGAGAAACUUAUGUAGAUUCUCAUCUUCCUCUAUCAAGGCAUCCUCGCCUUAUUUUCGAGGUAUUAGAGACAAUCAAGAUUAACUCUUUGCAGAUAGUACUUUGUUAAGCAGUCUCCAUAGAUAGUUAUGAAUUUUUAAAUGAGCUAAAAAGUAUCCUAUUGGUGUCUUAUCAUGCCUUGGUUAUGAAUCGUGCAAUAAGCCUAAGUCAGUUAUGCUUCCAGAUUCCUUCUCACAAUCUAUACUGAUAAUCUAUACUUCUUUAUCUAUGUGCUAUUCUUGAGGUAACAUGACCUGUAACUUUUAAUUUCAUUCCCUGACAAUGCCCUUAGACUUGCAAGUGAGAA
This 96753-nucleotide long non-coding RNA is filed under the name Capsicum annuum. Its description in RNAcentral is "long non-coding RNA (CANN_LNC012405)". Lineage: Eukaryota; Viridiplantae; Streptophyta; Magnoliopsida; Solanales; Solanaceae. The record is from RNAcentral.